GGCAAUCCACCGUCACUCCAAUCGUGGAAUUCCUCAUCCUCGCCCUGUGAUUGGUCGGAAAUUACAUGCAUCGACAAUAUCGUCACUGAAAUUUCACUCAGCUACAAGACCAUCACAAAGAAAAUUCCAGCCAGAAUUUGUGACCUCAAGAACCUAAUCGUACUUGACGUCUCCUACAAUUACAUUCCAGGCGAGUUCCCGGAUAUUCUCAAUUGCUCUAAGCUCGAAUAUCUCCUCUUGUUGCAAAACUCCUUCGUGGGUCCAAUUCCAGCUGAUAUUGAUCGACUUUCACGUCUCCGGUACCUAGACCUCACCGCAAACAACUUCUCUGGAGAUAUUCCCGCAGCAAUUGGGCGGCUACGGGAGCUGUUCUACUUGUUUAUGGUUCAAAAUGAGUUCAACGGCACCUGGCCAACAGAGAUUGGUAAUUUGGCAAAUCUUGAACAAUUGGCCAUGGCCUAUAAUGACAAAUUCCGGCCUUCAGCCCUUCCAAAGGAGUUUGGCGCAUUGAAGAAGCUGAAAUUUCUGUGGAUGACGGAGGCGAAUUUGAUCGGCGAAAUACCGAAGAGCUUCAACAAUCUAUCGAGUCUGGAACGCUUGGACCUCUCACUCAACGAAUUGAAUGGUACGAUCCCGGUAGGCAUGCUUACGUUGAAGAAUUUGACCUAUUUGUAUUUAUUCUGUAAUAGAUUGUCAGGCCGCGUUCCUUCAUCGAUAGAAGCUUUCAACUUGAAAGAAAUUGAUCUUUCCGACAACCAUUUGACGGGGCCGAUACCAGCAGGUUUCGUGAAGCUACAAAAUUUGACAUGUUUGAAUCUUUUUUGGAAUCAGUUGUCAGGAGAGAUACCAGCAAAUAUAAGCCUCAUUCCUACACUUGAAACCUUCAAAGUUUUUAGCAAUAAAUUGAGUGGAGUUUUGCCCCCAGCAUUUGGCCUUCAUUCGGAGCUCAAAUUCUUUGAGAUUUUUGAGAAUAAACUAAGCGGGGAACUACCGCAACAUUUAUGCGCUAGGGGAACUUUGCUUGGAGUGAUUGCUUCCAACAAUAAUCUCAGCGGAGAAGUGCCCAAGUCCCUCGGGAAUUGCAGAAGUUUGCUCACCAUUCAGGUUUCCAACAAUCGCUUUUCAGGCGAGAUUCCUUCUGGCAUCUGGACAUCCCCGGGCAUGGUAUCGGUGAUGUUAGCUGGAAAUUCAUUCUCGGGGGCACUUCCAAGUAGAUUGGCAAGGAAUUUGUCCAGAGUGGAUAUCAGUAACAACAAGUUUUCUGGUCCAAUUCCUACUGAAAUCUCUUCUUGGAUGAAAAUAGGUGUUCUUAAUGCCAACAACAAUAUGUUGUCAGGAAAAAUUCCAGUGGAAUUGACCAGUCUUUGGAACAUCUCUGUUCUGUUGCUUGAUGGGAAUCAAUUCUCGGGUGAACUUCCAUCCCAGAUCAUCUCAUGGAAGUCACUCACUAAUUUGAAUCUCUCAAGAAACAAACUGUCAGGCCUAAUUCCCAAGGCAUUAGGUUCUUUACCUAGCCUUACUUACCUCGACCUGUCAGAAAACCAGUUCUUAGGUCAAAUUCCUUCUGAACUCGGUCAUUUGAAGCUUAAUAUCCUCAAUCUUUCGUCCAACCAACUCUCUGGGUUGGUCCCCUUUGAGUUUCAAAAUGCAGCAUACAAUUACAGUUUCUUGAACAAUCCCAAACUGUGUGUCAAUGUUCCCACUCUGAACCUCCCUAGAUGUGAUGCCAAACCCGUUGACUCCUACAAAUUGUCAACCAAAUAUCUUGUUAUGAUCCUAAUUUUCGCUCUAUCUGGUUUCCUAGCUGUUGCCUUCUUUACCCUGUUCAUGGUUCGACACUAUCACAGGAAGAAUCAUAGUCGAGACCAAACAAAUUGGAAGCUUACUCCAUUCCAAAAUCUGGAUUUCGAUGAACAGAACAUAUUGUUCGGUUUGACAGAAAAUAAUUUGAUCGGACGUGGUGGGUCAGGGAAAGUAUACCGAAUUGCUAAUGACCGUUCUGGUGAAAUCUUUGCUGUUAAAAUGAUUUGUAACAACGGGAGAUUGGAUCACAAGCUUCAGAAACCAUUCAUAGCAAAAGACGAGAUAUUGGGCACCUUACACCAUUCCAAUAUAGUGAAGUUGUUGUGCUGCAUAUCAAAUGAAACCACAAGUCUUCUUGUUUAUGAGUACAUGGAGAACCAAAGUUUGGAUAGAUGGCUUCAUGGGAAGAAGCAGAGAACAUCGUCCAUGACAAGUUCAGUUCAUAACUUCGUCUUGGAUUGGCCAACAAGGUUGCAGAUUGCCAUCGGAGCUGCAAAAGGCCUACGCCACAUGCAUGAAUACUGUUCUGCCCCGAUCAUACAUCGAGAUGUAAAGUCCAGCAACAUCUUACUAGACGCUGAGUUCAACGCGAAAAUUGCAGAUUUUGGAUUAGCCAAGAUGUUGGUCAAGCAAGGAGAGCCUGACACCAUGUCAGGAGUUGCAGGCUCUUACGGAUAUAUUGCCCCCGGUAAGACUAUCCAAGGCCUUCCUGUCCACAUGUUCUCAUUUCCAUAAUUUAUCGAUAAUUUUUAUCAAAUAAUUCUUGUAUGCUUGGAUGACAGAGUAUGCUUAUACAACAAAGGUGAACGAGAAGAUUGAUGUAUAUAGCUUUGGAGUAGUUCUGCUUGAGCUGGUGACGGGGAGAGAACCCAACAGCGAGCACAUGUGCCUUGUAGAAUGGGCAUGGGAUCAGUUUAGAGAAGGGAAAACCAUUGAGGAAGUGGUGGAUGAGGAGAUCAAGGAACAAUGUAACAGAGCACAAGUGACCACUCUCUUCAAUCUAGGCCUCAUGUGCACUACCACAUUACCAUCCACUAGGCCAACAAUGAAGGAGGUUUUGGAAAUUCUUCGACAGUGCAAUCCUCAGAAGGACCAUGGAAGAAAGAAAAAGGACCAUGAAGCUGCACUCGAACAUACAUCGAGAUGUAAAGUCCAGCAACAUCUUACUAGACGUUGAGUUCAACGCGAAAAUUGCAGAUUUUGGAUUAGCCAAGAUGUUGGUCAAGCAAGGAGAGCCGGACACUAUGUCAGGAGUUGAAGGCUCUUAUGGAUAUAUUGGCCCCGGUAAGACCAUCCAAGGCUUUUCUGUCCACAUGUUCUCAUUUCCAUAAUUUAUUGAUAAUUUUUAUCAAAUAAUUCUCGUAUGCUUGGAUGACAGAGUAUGCUUAUACAACAAAGGUGAAGGAGAAGAUCGAUGUAUAUAGCUUUAGAGUAGUUCUUCUUGAGCUGGUGACGAGGAGAGAACCCAAUAGCGAGCACAUGUGCCUUGUAGAAUGGGCAUGGGAUCAGUUUAGAGAAGGGAAAACCAUUGAGGAAGUGGUGGAUGAGGAGAUCAAGGAACAAUGUGACAAAGCACAAGUGACCACUCUCUUCAAUCUAGGCCUCAUGUGUAUUACCACAUUACCAUCCACUAGGCCAACAAUGAAGGAGGUUUUGGAAAUUCUUCGACAGUGUAGUCCUCAUGAGGACCAUGGAAGAAAGAAAAAGGACCAUGAAGCUGCACCCGAACAUACAUUGAGAUGUAAAGUCCAGCAACAUCUUACUAGACGCUGAGUUCAGCGCGAAAAUUGUAGAUUUUGGAUUAGCCAAGAUGUUGGUCAAGCAAGGAGAGUCGGACACCAUGUCAGGAGUUGAAGGCUCUUACGGAUAUAUUGCCCCCGGUAAGACCAUCCAAGGCCUUCCUGUCCACAUGUUCUCAUUUCCAUAAUUUAUCGAUAAUUUUUAUCAAAUAAUUCUCGUAUGCUUGGAUGACAGAGUAUGCUUAUACAACAAAGGUGAACGAGAAUAUCGAUGUAUAUAGCUUUGGAGUAGUUCUGCUAGAGCUGGUGAUGGGGAGAGAACCCAACAACGAGCACAUGUGCCUUGUAGAAUGGGCAUGAGAUCAGUUUAGAGAAGAGAAAACCAUUGAGGAAGUGGUGGAUGAGGAGAUCAAGGAACAAUGUGACAAAGCACAAGUGACCACUCUCUUCAAUCUAGGCCUCAUGUGCACUACCACAUUACCAUCCACUAGGCCAACAAUGAAGGAGGUUUUGGAAAUUCUUCGAUAGUGCAGUCCUUAGGAGGACCAUGGAAGAAAGAAAAAGGACCAUGAAGCUGCACCCGAUCAUACAUCGAGAUGUAAAGUCCAGCAACAACUUACUAGACGCUGAGUUCAGCGCGAAAAUGGUAGAUUUUGGAUUAGCCAAGAUGUUGGUCAAGAAAGGAGAGCCUGACACCAUGUCAGGAGUUGAAGGCUCUUACGGAUAUAUUGCCCCCGGUAAGACCAUCCAAGGCCUUCCUGUCCACAUGUUCUCAUUUCCAUAAUUUAUCGAUAAUUUUUAUCAAAUAAUUCUCGUAUGCUUGGAUUACAGAGUAUGCUUAUACAACAAAGGUGAACAAUAAGAUCGAUGUAUAUAGCUUUGGAGUAGUUCUGCUUGAGCUGGUGACGAGGAGAGAACCUAAUAGCGAGCACAUGUGCCUUGUAGAAUGGGCAUGAGAUUAAUUUAGAGAAGGGAAAACCAUUGAGGAAGUGGUGGAUGAGGAGAUUAAGGAACAAUGUGACAGAGCAUAAGUGACCACUCUCUUUAAUCUAGGCCUCAUGUGCACUACCACAUUACCAUCCACUAGGCCAACAAUGAAGGAGGUUUUGGAAAUUCUUCGACAGUGCAGUCCUCAUGAGGACCAUGGAAGAAAGAAAAAGGACCAUGAAGCUGCACCUGAACAUACAUCGAGAUGUAAAGUCCAGCAACAUCUUACUAGACGCUGAGUUCAACGCGAAAAUUGUAGAUUUUGGAUUACCCAAGAUGUUGGUCAAGCAAGGAGAGCCCGAUACCAUGUCAGGAGUUGCAGGCUCUUACAGAUAUAUUGCCCCCGGUAAGACCAUCCAAGGCCUUCCUGUCCACAUGUUGUCAUUUCCAUAAUUUAUCGAUAAUUUUUAUCAAAUGAUUCUCGUAUGCUUGGAUGACAGAGUAUGCUUAUACACCAAAGGUGAAGGAGAAGACCGAUGUAUAUAGCUUUGGAGUAGUUCUUCUUGAGCUGGUGACGGGGAGAGAACCUAACAGCGAGCACAUGUGCCUUGUAGAAUGGGCAUGGGAUCAGUUUAGAGAAGGGAAAACCAUUGAGGAAGUGGUGGAUGAGGAGAUCAAAGAACAAUGUGACAGAGCACAAGUGACCACUUUCUUCAAUCUAGGCCUCAUGUGCACUACCACAUUACCAUCCACUAGGCCAACAAUGAAGGAGGUUUUGGAAAUUCUUCGACUGUGCAGUCCUCAGGAGGACCAUGGAAGAAAGAAAAAAGACCAUGAAGCUGCACCCCUGCUUCUAAAUGGCACUUAACCUGCCACUUUCAAGCAUAACGACAAGGGAUUUCUAUUUUUCUGUCAUUACUAUAGUGGGAUUUCAAAGAAAUGGGCUUCAUUUUUUAAACUUCUUAUUACCAGCAGGAGUCCCACUACCGUUAGCACCUUUGUUAGUAGUUCUUGAGCUAAUCCCUCAUUGUUUUCAUGCAUUAAACUUAGGAAUGCAUUUAUUUGCUAAUAUGAUGGCCGGUCAUACUUCAGUAAAGAUUUUAAGUGGGCUUGUGUCACGCCCAAAAUCUAGGUAACCCAAAACUCGACUCGUGACCUCAGGUCAAAAGUUUGACCCUAAGAGUUACUCCUAUCCACGUUGGCAAUCAACCAAAAUAUCCUGAUUUUUUUUUUCUAUUUUUCAAUAAAGUGUUUAAUCCCAAAUAAAUUUAUUAAGUUAAGAUUUACUGUAACAUAUUAUUUUAUUUUUCCAAAACCAACUAUCACACUAUCUCCUGUUCACAAGUAUAAUAAAUCCACCAAUAAUCUUUCUACCCAAAAACUCAAAUAUUUAUAAUAAUCUCCAAGUCAAAAAGAAUAUUUCCAAAAAUGUUUUACAAACUAACAAAAUAUAAUUUAAUUUACAAAAGUCCAUAUAACUCAAAUUAACACAUGUCAAAAAGGUAAUAUACAUCUAAAAACAACCAUUAUUAUGGUUCUUUUGCUUUCUGGAACACUUCCUAAUCUUCCUGUGGCCCCUCAAAAACUAUAUUGACAUCUAAAAAUUUUAGAAAAUAAAAGAGUGAGCAUUUUCACGUUGCUUAGUAGGGUGUUUUACACCCAAAUGAGUUACACAUUCUAGGUCAAUAAAACACAACUAUAUACCAAAAUAUAAUGUUACAUUUACAUUAUACACACUAAAAGAAACCUCAACUAUACAAAUUUAAACUAAUCAAAAUUAUCAUUUUUCUUAUUCAAUAAUAUGCCUAACAUAUCAAUAAUUCUAAAUUUACAAAAUAAAUAAGCCAUUUUAGUCUUGAAUAAUAUAUUCAAACAUACACUUGAUAAAUAAUACAAAUCCUUCUUCCAAAUGCAACCAUGAUGCAAAUGUUUACACGCAAUCACGCAAUACACUAUCAUUCUCGAGCUUUCACCGAAAGAUACGCGUCCAUACCCAAAUACACUCUCCAUUUAGAAUUAUCUCGGGGUAAACUUUUGGGUCUUUCACCUUAAGGAUCUCACUCUCUUCUUAAUUCACCAUCUCUAGGGUCAUUCCAUUUCUUAUUUUUCUUUUCAUUUCAUUUUUGCCAUCUUCGGGGUCUUUUCAUUCUCAUUUCCCUUUCACACAACGAUUUAAUUUCUUUAAUUUUUCUUUUUCUUCACACAACCAUGAUGCAUAUGAAAUGCAAUCAAAUCAUAUUUUAACAUCCACAAAUUUCCAAAACAUAAUUCUAUUUACUCCCAUUAUGUUUCAUAAUUUCCAACAAUUCACACAACGAUUUUUCUCCACUUUAAUCACCACAAACGUCAAAGAAAAUUCAUAAUUAAUUUAUAUAGUAUCAAAACAUAGUUUUAGACCUUAGCCACAUAAAUUCUAUUUAUUCUCGACAUGCUUAAUAAUUUCCAACAACCAAUAUAACCAUUUUUUUUCUUCAAUUAAAUAACCACAUAUAACCAAGAAAAUUCCCACUAAUACAAAUAUCAACAAAAAAGUAAUUUAUGUCAUAAUUUAUUUAUCUUCAAUAAUCUCAAUAAUUUUAACACUCAAUACAACAAUUUUCCACAACUAAGCCACCACAACAUUCAGAAUUUUUUUUUCAAUAAUUCAAAUAUUAACAAAAUCCCAAUUUAUACCAUCAAUUUAUUUAUUUCUAACAAUAUUAAUAAUUUUAAAACAAUAAAUUUAACCAUAUCUCAAUAUUAAAAAAUUUCAACAAAUAAAUUCCAUUAUUUUCAACACUAAUAUAUCAUCAAUAAAUUUAUAAAAUUUCUAAUAUGAUAAAAAUCACAAAAAUAUAUUAACCAAUGUUCCAAAUAAACAAAGUUCCAUAACCACAAAAAUCCGGUAAAUUCUAUCAUAAGGACAACAAUUAAAUACCAACAAUUCUAAUAUUUUUAUCUUGCAUUAAACUUUUAUCCACUUUCCAUUUAACAUUUUCAAAGCAAAACCAAAUCAUUUCAUAUAUUUAGAGUUUUCAAAAAAUAAUCUAAAUGAAAACUAUAUGACGAUCUACUAUAACUCAACAACUCACCGAUUUUCAUAGAGUUUUUUGAAAGUAAAUAAAAGCAAAAUGAAAUGCCCUAAAAAUUUUGAGAGAGAAAUUUAGGAAAAACACAUCCCUACCUGUACAAUAAAAUCCAACCGUGGGAUCGAAAAUCCGACUCUGUAGAAGUGUUCACCACGUUAAAGAUUAUCAUUGUUUGAAAUUUCAUCAUGAUCAAAGGUCGUUUCACCAUCGGAUCAACAAAAACACACGAUAAAAAACCUUCUCAGCAUCUCCCCUGCAUCCCCCUUUCCCCUCAUUUCUUUCUUUUAAACCUCUCACCACCCAGCAACUCUCCAGCAACUUCAUAAUAUAUAUAUAUAUAUAUACACAUAUAUAUUAUUAAACAAUUUUGAAAUACCACACACAUCCUUUUAUUUUAAUAAAAUAAAUUAUUACUCUUUAUUUCACAUUUCAUAAUUAUAAAAUUAUACUUAACCUGUGAUUUUCCAUUUUACAAAAAAUUCCACCUUAUUCGUAAUUAAAUUUACUACAAGCUUGCUCUUCAAAAAUAUAAAUUAACUUUAAUUAUCCAAAACAUUUUUACUUUGAAAUUCACUUAAAAUAUGAUAUAAUUAACUAUUAACAAAAUUCAAUUUCAUAAAAUAUUAGAAACAUAAAAUAAUUUUUUGGCAACCAAAAAGUUGAAAUAUUUCGUCAUUCAAUUUAUAAAAAAAAAAAAAUCAACUUCUCAGCCCUUUGAUAUAUUUUUUUCAUUUAUUUUAUUAGUCAAUUUUCUCAAUUGCAUCAAACUUUCAAAUGUUAAUUUCACUAAAUUCACAUUUAAUUAAUUUAUCACUAUAUACAUAUAUAUAUAUAUUGAUUAACAUAUCAUAAUUUAAUAUUAAUUUAAUUUCAAUUUAAUUUUGUUUUGAUGUUUUGUAAUUCUAUAAAGUUUAAUUAUAAUUAUAAAAAUUAAAUUCAAUUUCUUUUUAAUUAUCCAUCAUAAUAAUUCGAUAUAAUAUAAAUUUUUACCAAGUUUUUCUUCCUACAUUUCUUUGAUAAUUACCAAAUAAUAAUUAAAUUAAUCCCGUAAUGCACUUAAUAAUUAAAUUUUCAAAACCUAAUCUCAAUUAUUUGUGAUUAAAUUUUUUUCUCCAAAUCAAAAUUUAAUUUAUGAAAUUCCCUAUUCUUACAUCUUACGUGAUAAAAUUUUCAAAUUAUUAAUUUUUAAUAUACUUUUCUAAAAUCUCUCUUAAUUAGAUACUAACACAUGGGUCCUCACCAUUUUUCUUUUUUACCAUUUGACCCACAAUUAUAUGAAACUUUAUAGUCCAAGAAUUUGACGUGCCCUUAAAAAUCCAGGUAUUAGAGUUUGCUCGGACUAUGCUAUGUAUGAAUGAUCUUUUAUGUUUCAUAGGAUCCUCGUCCCUUUUUUUUUUUUUUUAUAGUUCUUGCAUUAACCUGUCCGGAAGUAGGUGUAGCUAUGUCACAAGCUCAACAAAGAUGACGAUAUCUUGGUUUGAAAUUUGCAGCUUGUACAUAAGUCUCAUAAGGAAGCUUGUAAAUUAAGCCAAUGGCUGGGUUCCCUAGCAAAAUGCACGAUGGAAGCUUUAAUUUUAAUUUUUUUUUUUUCGAUUAUUGAGAGUUGGUAACUUAGUACAAGCAGCUGGGAUUGAGAGCUGUUUAUUUUUAAUAUGUGAAACAGAAAUCCAGUUGCAGUAAUGAAUUGAAGUUUUUUUUUUUUUUUUAAUUUUGUUUUUUGUUUGGUUAAUUUGGAGGUUUGUGGGUUGGUUGGUUAUCUAUCAGAAGCCGAACCGUUGAUCUUAAAUUAUGUUUUUAUUUUUCUGAAAUUCUGGGAAUAUCUACAAUUGAUGUGGUUUUUUUUUUCUCUUUUCUUUUUUAAUGCUUGGUGCUGCUGGGUUUGCGUUUUUUUACGGAUGUUUGGGUGGGCAAUAUUGAAAUUCGUGGGAUUAUUUUGAGAAAUUUAGUUUUUUGGUUGAGGAAUUUUUGCUUCUGAAACAACAAGCAUUCGUGUACGGUUUGACCGCUUGAAUUCCCAAUCUUGGGUCUGUGCUUCUCCAGAAAAACCUGUUCAAAUUAUUAAUGGGUUUUAUUUUAUUUUAUGAUUUAAUUUUUUGAAAAUCUUAAAUUAGGUGGAAAGAUCCAUCCCGUACAAUGAGCAUAGGCCAAGGAGGCCCCCACCAGACUUGUCUUUCCUGCUUGUCCAUGGGAGAAUAGUUUACAUCGGCAUGCCAGUAAGUAGUUAAACACAGUAUCUCUAUAUGGAUAUAAUUCUUUUAGGUGGAUAUCAAAACAAUAAGGAAUGGAUUAAGAUAUUCUUGAUGACAAAUAUGAUGCAUAUUUUUCUCCCUUUGGACAGAAUUUAUGCAAUUAUCUGUAAAUUCAACUUAUUUCCUGUUGUUGGGAUGACGAAUCUUGAAUUAGUUGUAAAAUUUAGUGAGAAGAUGUCUCAUCUUGGCCUUGAAGUUUAGUUGCUUACCUGUGGAGAGAAGGAAAUGGAGAAAGCCAUCAAUUUGCAUUAUUUUUCUAGAUCUCUAGUGGACUUGACAAGAACAUCUUGCUUUGGAUUGUGAAGAAGUUAACUAGCUUUCUAUCCCAGUAGCUUAUAUCAAUCAUCUCACAGGAGUGAAGAAACUGAAGCAUAAUGUUUCCUGUAUGGAUUUUCUUCCUUUUCUUCAAGCAUGUGGAUAAUAUAGGGUAAUUUCUGCUUCCCACUUGAUUCAUCACUUGAUUAAAGGAAAAGGACUUUGAAUUCCCAUAGGAACGUCCCUCAUUUACAUGUCUCUAAUUCAUUGCAAAAACUUGGGAGCUUGGGUCAUGAAAUUAUAUAACUAGAGAAAGUAAAGACAAUAGGAUUGGAAAAAUUUAGUAGCAUAGGCUUUUUAAAUAUGAAAAUUGAUACCAUUUUAUAUAAAUAGUGAACAAAAGAUAUACCCCUGGUUGACUCUACCUGAACUAGAGUCUUUUGACGUGAUGAGAUGUGCCCCAUGAACAAGUACCAUGUUAUCUAUUGUAUGGUAUAAAAGUUCCAUAUGGUGGUUUUUACAAGAAUGUUGUAUUGAUUUCUAAUUUUGAGUAACUCUCUAAGUCAAAAUGUCUAAGAAAACAAAAGGGAAAGAAUAUUUUACCAUAGUGGGCUAUUUGAACCAGUGAGAGGAAGCGAAAAUUGAAAAUAAUAUUGACACAAAUUAUGACGAGGGUGGUAGUCUUUACUUUGCCUUUGCAGGUAGUCUUUAUAAACAAAUUCCUCAUUAUUACUUCUUUUUUCUCUAGUUAAUAGUACGCUUAAUUUGCUUCCUUUGCCUUUGUGCUAACACUUCAUCAUUCCAUCUUAUGAUAACAACUUCCUUUAAUUUUAAAGCUAUUUACUACUGCUUUAGCCUCUACCUUCCAGUGAAGCUUCUCAAACAAAAAGUGGCAAGAACAUGUCAUGAAAGCUUUUAUUCCCAAAGAGAAGACCUAAAUGGAAAUAAGAGAAUUAUGCCCUUCUGCUGAGGGUUGGACAUCUUUAUUUAUGAGAAAAACCCAGAGUUUUAGUAUAAAAUCAUAUUCCUUCUGGACUCCUUUAAGUGGGUCUAUUUGUGAGUUUCAUCUUUCUGGAACUUAUAUUUCCUAGAGUCCUAGUCUUCCCUUCUAAUAGUGGUAUGAUAUGACUACUUGGGCCAUUGUGGUUCUAGGUUGUACCCUACUGAUGAAUAUCCCUUUUAGGUGUUGUAGAACAAUUUAAAAAUUCUCCAACAAAGAUUACCUAACCUUAGACUAUCUCAAUGUCAAGAAACUUUUCUUCCAAUAAUUUUUCAACAAAGCAUAAUAUCCACAAGCAAGAAUGUAUACAUCAACACUCUCCCAAUAAUUUAUCAAUGCAAAAUACAUGCAAAUGCUUCAACACUUCUCAAAAAUAAAUCAAAAGAACAAUCAUCUCCUCAACUCAUAACAAUUGACUCCAUGAUAUCAUUAAACAAAGUGAACAGAAGAAUUAUUAAAGACAUUCAAUAGAUCAUCACACUUAAAUCACUUCAUAUUUCUUCCAUUCAACAAGUAUGCCCAAGUAAUCAAUGAUAUCAAAAACAGAAAAUAAAUCAAAGUGUAGAGUGAGAGAAAAAGACAAUGAACACUGAAUUUUUAACGUGGAAAACCUCCGAAUAGAUCAAAAACCAUGGGCCUAUCACCGAUUGAAAAACUCCACUAUGAAGACUAAAAACUGAGUACAAGGUUUUAUCUAGCUCAAGCCAACCAAUCCUUCCCGGACUACUUGACUAGUACCUUCAUUUUCAGCUUCUCACCUUCUUCUUUCGGAGCACACUUGGAGUUCACACGAAGCUCAAUCCCGGCCUCUUCUUGAAUCCACAUAAGAAGAAAAUGGGUAUGUACCUAAACCCAAAUAGAUAAGAGAUUGAAAUGUGAAUGAAGGAAUGAAUCAACCGAUUUAUUGCUUAAGAAAAUCCAUUAAAAACUAGUUUGGAAAACAUUAAAAGAAGUGGAUUUUCUUUGAAAUCAAAAACCCCAAAUUAGGAAAACAAAAUGAGAAAAUGAAGAACACAAGGAGUGUGGCUACUCUCUCCACGUUUUCUGCAGUCACCACCUAGAAAAAUGAGAGAAGAUUGCUUUUUAAAGUGUAAAAAGAAACCCUUAAUCUAAUGACUGAGAUUUGAUAUAUAAAAAAUUAGUUGGAUCGAUCCACCCUUGCACCUAGAUCGAUCCAGAAACAGGGGAAUGAAAGCCUUGCACCAAAAACCAUUUCUUUCAACUUUCUAACACAUUUAAAUAUUAAAAAUCGGGUUGAUUCACAUCUAAUGACCACACACUUGGUUACAUACCUUGGCCUCUUAGCAAAGUUUUAGUUGUCAAAGUCAAGUAGUUUGAAUAGGAAUUGGAAAGCCGAGUUAGGGGACACUUAGGAAUUUUGUCCGGAAUUGUCAACCUAGUUUAACACUCACAAUGUGCAUCAUGUGAUUCAUAAUCUUCAUUAGCUAGCUCCUUCAUGGUUAAUGAAUCCUUCGUCUCAAGCUCCUUUCAACACACAAUCGGGCUGCUCGAUCCUUUAUUAAGCAGAAUUCAAUUUGAAUCAACAUUUCUUCGUCGACUGCAUCUGCCAUUUUGUCAUUUUCUACACACUGGAAAGCUGGAGUUCUGAUAUGCUUUUCACUUUCUGAUGGACUGGUUUCCAAUGAUGAAGAUGGAGAGCCAAAACCCUGCAGUCUUUUCUAAUCUAAAGACAUGCUCUAUGCAUGUCAAUUUCAAUGAGUCACCAAAUGCUCGAUGAUCCGUCGGAUUGCUUUCCUCUUAUUCUUAUAUUACCAGACUAAAUCCUAUACAAACCUUAACCACAAGUUUUCCCACUCCUGAAUGUAAGCUCCAGAUCAUCCAGAAGAUGAUUUAACUCUUGCACAGUUCAGGAUAGAUCAGUGACCGCUUCAACAAGGCCUCCCGCUUAGAAGUCUCCCCAUCCAAGUUCCCGAAACUAUGCAAAUUGCUGAUAUCUUCCUGUAAGCCUAGUUAUAUGAACCUUACUCAAUAGGCCAAGCAAGACUUUGGAGAGCGAAAAUCCAUUGUGGAAGCCUUGGAUGAGGAGAUCAUGGAAGAAAUGAGCAUUGUGUUCAAACUAGGCCUCAUGUGUACUAGCAAAGCACCUUCUGACAGGCCUUCCAUGAGGAGGUAUUGCUAAUUCUUGAUGGAUGUGGUCCUCAGCAUGGUCAUGCUACAUUACAAACGAUCCCACCACUUUUCAUGAAGUUAAAUGUAGUUAUUUAGAAGGUGUGCGUUGUAGAAAUGUAGAUACCAAGCAACCAAUUCUACCUCUCUUGAUAUUGUCUAGCUAACUAUUGAGCUCAUCUCUGGUAAAUGGGAAUGAACAGGAAUCAACGUCUCAUUUCUUUUCUCCUACGAGAAUUGAAACAAAAAUGAAUAUAAUGAAAAUGAAAUCUCAUUUAUAAAUGGGAUUUAAAUUCAUUCGAAGGUAUUUUGAUUCCCUUAUUUUUAUAAAUAUUUUUCAAAUGUUAAAAAGUUAAAGACUUUUUUAGAUAAGCUGAUUUUAAAAAUAAUUGGUUUUGUAAAAAACACAAAUUAUAAAUUUAAUUUAUAUAAUGUUAACUAAAUUUAAUUCACAUCUUAUUAAAAGUACAAAUAAAUUAGAAAUCAAUAGUUUUUAAUAAAAUAUAAAAAUAAAAUAAUAAAUUAUAUAUUUUGAUAAAUAUUAUAAAUAUAUAGAUAUUAACAUUAAUUGAUUUAUUUUGUUAAAAAUAAAGAAUAAUUAUUCAAAAUUAAUAAUUGCUAAUAUUAUUCUAUCUUAAAUAAAAAAAAAAAGAGUUAAUUUUUUAAGUUAUAAAUAAGUCAUUUUUUCAUAAUAUACAUAUGUUUAUUAGUCAAUUACAAAGAUGACAUUUUGAAAUAUUUUAUUUAAUCUAUAAUUAAUUAAUCAGUUUUUUUAAUUUCAAAUUAUUCUUAACAAUUACAAGAUUUAUUAAAGAAUUUAAAGCAUUAAUUAUAUCUAUUAUUUUUUAUAGUCGUUACAUUUUUUUGAGUUUUAAAUUAUUUUCUAAAAUUUUUAAACUUAUUAAUAAGUUCAAUACAAAGUUUGGUUUGGUUUGAAAUUCAUUUUCUCUAAUACAAAAAAUCGAAAGAAUAGUUAUCUAUUUUUACUUUGUUUUUAAAAAUUAUUUCUAAAGAGCAAUAACUAAAUAGUGGUAUAAAUUUUUGAAAGAAUUUUUUUUUUUUAAUUACACGUCCAAAUAGGUUUUUAUUAUUUAGCUAAAAAAAAAAAACUCUCAAGGGUUUUUUAAAUGAAAAUAAAAAACUAUUUCAAACUAUGUACAAUGUGAGUUUUUUAAAAUAAAAAUAAAAUGAAAAAUAUUUUAAAUCAUGUGUACAAAUAUUAUUAACAAUUUAUUUAUUUGUUUAUUUUUAUUCUCAUUUUUACUCAAAAUUGAAAUGGAAAUAAAUCAUCGUUCCAAUCUUAUAUUCCUAUAUGCAUCCAAACGUGAGAAUUAGAAUUACCAAAUUCAUUUUUAUUCAAGUAAGAAUAAGAAUAAAACAAAAUAUUUUUCCUCAUUCUUCAUUCCCACAUACUGAUCGCUUGAUUUUUCGUCGUUUAUUGGAUCAAAACAAAAUUUAUAACAUAAUUCACUAUUCUAGAGUAGCUUGUACCCAAUCAAAAAGUGGUUUUAGUACAAACUACUGUAGUAUAGUGGUUUUUAGGUGUCAUCCACUAGGAUGGAUUAUUCUUGGUAAUUAAGGCUUGAAUGAGAUGAUAAGAAAUGAUUGUGAUCGAGUGAAAUUGAUUUAAAAAUUCAUAGUGAAAAAUCAAUGUAACAAUGGUCUCAAAUUGAGAAGAAAAAUGAAAUACAAAAUAGAAGAAAAUUAAUAGAAAAUGAAAUUAUUGGAAUUAAGAUUUUCUAGAAAACAAUUUCCAUGGUGAAUAGAUGUUGAGAUCUAAUUUUCAUCAAGUUAGAUUAAAAACCUAAAUUUUCAUUCAAAUCGAUUUUUUAUUUAGCUUUAGAUCUAGAUUUAAUUUCUCUUCAAAUUAGGUCAUUUGAUCUAAGAGAUCAUUUCAAAUCAUAUAUUCAAUUCAUCUUAAAUUAUCUUCCAAUUAUUCACAUAAUGCAACUAUUCAAUCUCAUCAAAUCUAACUUUAAGAAUUUAAUGAAUCUAUGUAGUUUGCAUUGUAGAAGUCAUCCAAGACAAUUUGAAGAGAAAAAUUCUCAAAAUUCAAUUAAUUAAUCAAUUGGAUCAAAUUACCUUUGCAAUUCAAGCUCAUUUCUCUAAUUCACCAUAGAUUUUGCCUCUAAAUCCUCCUUCCUCCGAGAAAAAUGAGAUUUAGUCACUCAUGCUUGGAUAUUUGGUCUCACAAGGCAUGUUUGGCUAGCGAGAAAAUGAGAGAAAAUGAAGGAAAGUAGAUAAUUGUCUAGAGAGAGGAAAUCUGAAAAAUUCUACAAUUAGAAAUGUCUAAAAAGUUCUUUAAAUGAGAAAAUCAAGUUUCUAUUUAUAAGUCAAGGUCAAUUGGACACUUGGCAUUAUCUAAGAGGUCUUCCGGAGGUUUUUUCACUAAGAAAUCUGGAGUUUAGUAAUAAAAUGGUCAUUUCGCGCAAGAUCUAGCAAUUUCUCAUGAUUGUGCGAAAUAAAAAAAAUGCAAUAGCACCAAUUUUCGCAUGGUCAUGCGAAAUCAGCUUUGAGAUUUCCCUUUGAUUUGAAACAAAAAAAUGUCUUUUGGUUCAUUUCGCAUGACUAUAUAAAAUUUUUGCAUGAUCAUGCCAAAUGCAAAUACAUAAUUUUUCGCUCCUUUUUAUCAUUUCUUCCAUUUCUUUCUUUUGAAUCCACCUCAAUCACCUCCAAAUCCCGGUCUAAACCAAUUGCAUUACUUCUUUCAUUAUGCAUUUGGAUCUUCAUCAACUUUCUUUGUUCUCUUCAAUUUGAUUCAUCUCUUUUGUCACCAAUUUAUCAAAAUCAUACCUUGAAAUAACUCCAAAACUUCAUAAAACUUAUUAGUAACUCUUGCAAGGACAACAUGUUAAUCGAGUGUUUUAGGCAUAAUUACUACUUAAAAGAUAUGAAACUCAUGAGAAUUAUUAUUUGAAAUAUGCUCUUUUUGAGUAGUAAUCACAUACCAAACACACCUUAGCUUUCAUGGAUCCCCCAUCUAACAAUUACAUAUUUUACUUUAUCUAUUACCAUUUUUCCUAUUGAAAAUUCUCUCUUGUUUACCUAAUCAUUUUUUUCAUAAUUUCAUUUAUUACCUAUGUGUAGGCACCCCUCCACAUGUCAUCACACGUGUCACUUCGAACCAAGCACUGACCGGAUAAAGGGAAAGCAUUGCCUAGGUUCUUCCGUCCAGACCACAAUCAACCCAUCUAGGCAUAGACAGGAAGGCCCUUUCCCUACAUAGUUAGACAGCAGGCACGAUUGGAAUCCCUGAAUGGACGAAACCACUCGAUCAACAUUCAAGGCCCAUUGACCUACGCAAUCAUUCAUAUCUGGCAGGGGAAUGACUGAUGAGACCUCCCUCUACUCUCAAGUCGAUGUUAAUUAAUUACCGCACACAACCCCACACCUCCAACAGGUUAAAGGGACAAGAACUGCCUGAUCAAACAUCAUGCCAUAUCUUCUGAUGGCAUGUGCCAGUCGCCUGAAGCUGUAAUAAUUGCCCUGCCACUUGAAAAUAGUCAUCAUUACAAAGAAUGUUCAGUCAACACUACAAUGGCUUUCUCCUAAGCACUAUAAAAACCCUCCUAAAAGCACAAACAAAGUACGCAGGCACAAGAGCAAGCCUAUUCACUCUCUCUUUUGAGGAGCCUAACCUAUCUUUGUCUGACUUAAGUUUUAGAGGGGCAUGCCUGGACAACUUGUCCAAACAUCCUUUGUGCAAGAAAAAAACUCACCUAGUUUCCCCCAUUGCUAGGUAGAAGCUUUGAGAGGCACAACAUAAGGAGGAUUUGACUCCAGUUGGCCUUACAUCAACACUAUGCAUUUUCAAUGUUCAUAUAUUUUAGGGAUGUACCAUUUGAUAUAUUCAUGUGGGUUAAAGCAUGCAUUUUCUUUUAACCAUGUCAUAUUUUGAAUUAUUUAUUAUAUAACCAUCAUUAUAUUCAUUUAGGAGAAGUUAUUUUGUGAUGGGAUAUAUUUUCUGCUUUUUAUUUUAAAAAUUAGAAACCCCUAUGUACUCUCUUUAUCUUUCUUUGACACUUGAAUUUUUUAAGUUUUUAGGAGCUUCAAAAAUGUUAUAUGCACACCUUCCAUAUAAUCUCUCAAGAGUAAAGUGGAUAUUUAAAAAGACACAAAAGCAACUUCAUAGAUGAGUAUGUAUACAACAACUUAUGACUUAAUUAAGAGAGGGUGUUGCUAUGAGAAAAGACAUAUUCAAGCUUAUCACUUGAAAAGGCUUUAAAGAGGAUAUUCGAUAGAGGAUAAAGGAUUUGUAGACGUUUGGUUGGCUAAAAUGUGUCAACACAUUAUAUGUAUACCUUUUGGAGUUAAACUAGUCGUUAAACAUGAGUUCCCUGAUAGAUCAAACUUGAGGUUAACCAAGUGACUAGUCAUUAGAGUAUCAAAUACCUUAUAAUUUACAAGUAACUGUUGGAGGAAAAACUACUAAUAAGGUGAACCACAUGUCAACCAAGUAGCUUUUUUAUUUUUAUUAUUUUUCAUGUUUUCAAGUUUUCAACCAAAAAAAAUAAGUAAUAGGUCAACCACAUGUCCAUUGGUUCUAUUUUGUCACUACCUAAGCUUUAUUAAAGGAACUUUUCAGUAUCCUAAAGUCCCUUAAAUUAUGAAGCCAACUUUUGAGGACUUCAACCAAGUUUUAAGCAUAAUUUUCAAGUAAAAAAUAUCUUAAUUUAAUCUUUUAAUCUUUUAAGAACCUUAGAGUAUUAUACAUCAAAAAUGAGGUUCAUGGUGGUAUCAAAACUAGGAUUACCUAAUUUUUAAGCCAAUAGUUCAUAAUAUUUAAGAUGCCUUCUCAAACAAGGUUUUAGUUCCACCCCUUUAAAACUAAAGUUGAGAUAGUCUUUUCAAGAAAAAUAAUGUUUCAUACUUCAAUAAAGGAAUGUCUUGUACCGAUAUUCUUUUUUCCUCUAUUCUUCCUUACCUUCAUUCUUAUAAAGCAAACUGAUCUUUCCAAAUGAAACCCUAACUUUAAUUUUUAAGAAACUUAAAAUUUAUCUUAAAGUACAAAAAGGUGAUAACAACAAUGAGAGCGUUGCACUUGUAUGGAAUAAAUGGACAAUCAUAAGGAAAAUUUUAAAAUAAAAAAUAAAAAAUGGUCUUCUCUUUCUUAUUUCUUCCUAAAAUUUUUCUACUAAUUUUUUUAUACAAAGAAGCAUACCUUUAACCACAAAUUAUUCAAAUUUUCAAGCAAACCCUAAUCCUCAAAUCAUCAAAAUCAUUAAAAUAAAUAAAUAAAUAAAAUGUUAUAUAAAAACCCUAAGCUCACUUUUUGCUCUUAUAAUCAUCCAAUCAUCUUAUCUUUUUUGUCAUAAGAUAGCAAAAUGUAGGCUUUGUUUGGUUAUCAGAGAAUUUGAGAGAAAAUAUAAGGAAAAGAAAAAGAAAUGAAAUGAAAGAAAAUAAAAAAAUUAAAUCAAUAAAUUAUUUUUAUAUAUUUUUUCAAACUCAUUUAACUUAUUCUAAUUUUUCAAUUAUAAAAUUAAAUAAUUUGAAAAUAUAUAAAUUUCUAACUAAUUUUAAUUAUAUUUUAUUUUCUUUUAUAAUUUUCAUAUAUAGUAUAAUCAAAUACCAAUGUUUUCCAAACCGAACCGAUGCUUGAACCGGAAAAGUUACCAAUUCACAAUUCAUGGUUCACUGAUCGGACUGGUGGUCAAACUGCGGUCGAACUAAUAAUGUCAUAAAUAAUAAUUUUUUUCUUUCUUCUCACUAACUAAUCCCACAUCGGAAAUGGAUCUCAAAUAUGUAGGGAUUGUGGUAUAAAAGGCAUGAUAGAAUCAUUAACUUGCAGGACUAAAAUCUUAUUGGGCUUGAUGACAAAUGGGUUGGAUGGGCUCCUCAUGGAGUGAUCCCAUUCUCUUAGGGCAUCAAAACUUUUUGUUUUUUUUUGCUUCAAAAAAAAAAAAAGAAAAAGAAUUGUUCAAUUCGCUAAGAAUCGCCCAAUUCAGGUGAUUCGUUGGUUCAACUGUUGGUUUGUCCAAUUCACCAAUGGUUCGAUGCCCAAACGGUUUUCUGGGUGAACCGGAUUAGUUUUGUUACUAGUCAGACCAACCGGUCCAAUCCGAUAUUUAAAUCAUUACCAAAUACAAUAAAAUAUUUUUUCUUAAUAUUUUUUUUUCUUUUUUUAGUACUUCUCAAGAACCAAACAUAACCAUAAGACUAAUCAUAUUUUUUAUUAUAAGCUCAUUCGGAUACAAUGCCCCAUGUGAGAAUCCCAAAACGUUUUUCAAUGUUUUAUCAAUAUUAAGAUUUUGAAAAUCUAUGGAAAUUAUUAUUUUCUUUUUUCUUUUUUCUUUAUUUGGAUGAUAGAGCAUGAUUAUACAAGAAAGGUCAAUGCAAAGAUCAAUAUCUACAAUCUUGGAGUUGCACUUCUAGAGCUGGGCCCUAAAAGAGAACCCAAUAGGGGAAAGGGGCAACAUAUAAACCUUGUUCAAUGGGCAUGGCAGCACAUUGGAGAAGGAAAGUCAUUUGUGAAAGCAUUGGAUGAGGAGAUCAUGGCACAAUGCUACUUCAAAAAAAUGAGUACUAUAUUCCCAACAAUCAAACUUUAUCAUGAAAAUUUUGAUAAUAGUGAGGAUUCUCUUAUCUACGAGUAUAGAGACAAAUAGGUAAAAGGUAAAUAAAUUAUUAAUAGAGCUUAAAAUAAUAAAUUGAACAAAUAAACAUAUGGUAAGAUUGGAACUCAUUAUCCUCCUACUAAAUAAAGUUCUAAUACCAUAUUGGAUAACUAAAUUUUUUAAGAACUUAAACUUAAGAUUUGGAUCCUUAUGAUUGUGUAUCACACUUUCUAAUAAUAUAUCAAAUACUUUCCUAGAUUCCGUAAAUACCAAAAAUGAUAUUUGUUUUGGGAACAAGACUAGAGUUUUGAGUGGAUAUAAUAUAUUUUAAAAAAUGCACAAAAUAGAUUCUCAAGUAAAAUAAUUCCCAAGCUAGCACAUUUUAGCUACAUGGGCAUCCAUAUGGCUAGAGUUUUUUUUUAUGUUGUUUUAACUACGAUUUUGAAUUUUUUAAACAUAAAAUGAUAGUUAGAGAUUAUAGUUUUAAAUUUAUUUUUAAAAUCAUAGUCAUCAAUUAUGGUUUUGAGCUUAAAUUUAAAAUCUUAGUUGGUAACUAUUGUUUUAACCAUUUUCCAAUCAAAUCAAAAUUAUAGUUCACAACUAUGAUCAUGUGAUAUAGAUACACAUGUCAAUGAAACACUCCAAUUUGAAAAUUAUUUUGAGAAGGGAGCUACUUUGUAGAUUUUUAUUUUUUCAAAUAAAUUAUUUUUCCUCAAACCUUAGAAAGCUAACUUGUUUAGAACUAAAUUCAAUUAUACACUUUCCUAAUUUUUCUUUUUAUAAGAUCAAAUCCAUGUUCACUUUUCCUCUAGAAUCCUCAUGAUUACUUGUAGAAUUCUUGAGAUGAAAUGGAAGUGUGGUAUGAGAUGCAUGCUUGUUUAAACUUCAGUUUCAAUCUUGAUCAAUGCUGUCCAUUUCCUUAGCUGUGCAGGAUGUGGAACCACUGCUGGAUCCUGUUGUGAGACUUGACCAUCAAUAUCCUUCUCUCCAUUUGUGGGGUCCUGCCCACUUAAUCACUACUUUAGAAAUUUGACCAACACCCAAAUUCUCAACAGCCCAAAAAUAUUUUUAUUAAAGAGAAAGAUAAUUAUAAUAUUUCUGAAAUUUUUAGUUAAAUAGAAAAUUUGUUUCCCAAGCUGAUUAUGGUUACUUCUCAAUAACACAAAUAAAUGAUAUGAAGCAUAAAAUAGAAAGUUACAAAGGUUUUUAUUCUUUGAGUUGUUUGCACUUUGUACUGCUAUUUUUAUCAUUUACCAAUGUAAUUAAUUAAUGGUGAUUAAAUGUUUAAAAAAAUUGUACUUAAUGCAUAUUUUUAUGAUGACGAAGACUUGCAAAAGCAACCUUAGGAAUUGGUCUGGACCAUUUUUUUGAUAAGCUUCAUGGAAUUUUAAGAUGGAGAAUGCUACUUCCACUUUCUUUAACCAAGCGUGCCAAACGCGUUCUCUCUAAUUUUUCUAUAUUCUUAACUAAAAAAUUAGAAUAUAGAAAUAACAAAUUACCAUCCAAUAGGCCCACAAUGAAAGAGGUUUUGAAAAUUCUUCAACAGUGCAGUCCUCAAGAGGGCCAUGGACGAAAGAAAAAGGACCAUGAAGUUGCACCUCCACUUCGAAAUGACACUUACCCCGCCACUUACAAGUUAUGAGGAUAGAGCCCUUAAAAACAUGAUAUGAUGUAAUAGAUUUAGAAUUCAUUAUUUAUUUAAUGAUGUUCUGAUUUCACUUUUAUUUAUCCUUAUUACAUGUAUUAUACUUUAUGAGCAUUCUUGUCUGCAUAUUUUGCAUUGCACGUAACUUAGGUGCAUUAGAAGUUGCACAGAAGAUCUAGGUCAUGGGUUCCUUGCAAGUAGAUGACUUGUUCACAACCAGUUCAUGGGUUUAGGAAGCCCAUUAGAGGUUGUAGUUAACUACUUCCUAAUUGGAAGAAUGGCUAGUCUUAGCUAUUGGGAUGAGUUUCUCAUGGUGAAUGCAUUAGUGUGUAUGAUUACACAUUGGACAUGACUUAUGGUGAGUCAUGACUUAAGGCUAUCAAGCAGUCAUAACCUCACCAAGCUACUUCAUUGUGUUGUUUCCCAACCUUGAGAGAAUAUCGAGUUUAUACUAAAGUUAGCAAUGACUUUAACAUACGUGUGAGAUCGUAAAUUGAUCAUAUAUUCCCUAUGAAUUGAGUCACUAUUGAUGGAAGAUGGUAGCAAUAGGUAUUUUCAAUAAAAACCAUGAUAUCUCUUGGGAUUAAGACAAUAUGCCUCUUUUGGUGAUUCUAAAGAGGUGUGUUCAUGGAAACUAUGGUCAUAGUAGUUCCUUAAGUAAAACUCGAUAUAGGCUCUUUGAGAGCUAAGACAUGUCAAUUGAAUACACAAUAGGAGGAUUUAUAACUCAAGGAUGGUAGAGGUAGUCUUGAAAAACUAAUAACUUUCACUUUGUUAGACUAUGAAUAUCAAUUCAUGGGGAAACUAAACACAAUAAAUAGCAAGUCACGAACCCGAACAUUUGGUAUCUCAUUGUUAUUUUCAAUAAAAUAACAACGAGAUGGUAAGUUAAUCAUAUAUUCCUAAGGAAGUGUGUUCAUACAAACUAUGACCAUAAUAGUUCCUUAAGUGGAACUUGACAUAAACUCUUUGAGAGCUAAGACAUGUCAAUUAAAUACAUAAUAGGACGAUCUGUUAUUAAAAUAAGGAAGGAAGAAGAUUAAAAGAAAAUUUAAACUUUUUUAUCUUAGAAUAUCAAAAAAGAAUAAACUUUAAAAUGCUUUUUAAUACAAAAGAAAACAAAAUAGUGAAUAUAUUUAUUUUAAAUAGUAUUUUAAUCAUUAAAUUAUUUACUUUUAAAAUAUAAAAAAUAGUUUUUAUUAAUUUAAAUUAACAUAUUUUUUUAGAAAAUAUUUUUCAAAAUACUUUUUGAAUCAUUAAUAUAAUUUUUGUUUAUUUAUAAUUUAAUAAUAAAAAAUCUAAAAAUGGUUAAAUAAGGGAGAAUUUGCUUGAGGUGGUAUGUGAAGAGUAAUGUUUUAAAAACCGGAUCGGACCGACCGGUGUCCGGUUCCACCAACCAAACAGUUCUAAGUUAACCCCUGAUUUUGCAAACAUGGAAGGGUGUUCCAUUGGAUUUAAAUGUUUUGGGCUAAAGCCCACACCCAUCUCCACAAUUUUAUGAGCUGAGUCUUGAGCCCAUGUGAUGAUGGCUUUUAUAGGCAUUCUUUGUAGCCUAUUUCCUCUCACAAAUAGUUGUGGGAUUGCUAACUUAUCAAAGAAACAAAUAUAACAAGCCUCUCCACCACCAAGAGGGCUUGAACCUUGCACCUCAGGUUCUACCAUCAGAAUAUGACACCACUUGGCUACAUGCAGUUUGUUAUCUAACAUGCCAAACAAAACAAUAUACGUUAGAUUUUAACAUUUUUUAUAAUAUUAAAUAAAAAUAAUAUAAUAUUUUAAAAAAUUAUAAAAUUAGUUUAAAUUUUUAUUUUUAAUAUAUUCACAUUUAAAUAUUAUACACAUUUCAUUUAAAAUAUUAAUAUGAUUUAAUUUGAUAAUAUCAAAGAUAUAAAAUAAUAUUAUUGAUUUUUAAUUUAUUCAUAUAUAUUUUAAAAAAAAUUAAUUAUUUUUAAUUUUAAUAAUAUAUAAAUGACAUAUUUAUGACGUCACCGGUUCGACCACCGAUCCAACCAAUGAACCGGUAACUUUUUUGGUUCGAUGACCGGUCCGAUUUUGAAAACAUUGGUGAAGAGUGAGGGAUAAAGAAAAAAAUGAUGGCCCACAAACACCACAUGACCUUUGAUGUGAUAAAUGAAAAUGGGUAUGUUAGUCCCAUACUAUUGCCAUCCAACAGGUCCGCGAGUUUUUUUCUAGUCAAUGGACAUUUUCCACUUUCAUUUCGGAUUCCACGCAGACUUGCGAAGGCAACCUUACAAUUAUUGGUGGACGCAUUUUCCUGAUAAGCUUCGUGGAAUCUUUAAGACGAAGGAGGAUGCUACUGUCCACAUUCUUUAACCGAGCGAGCUAAACACGCUCUCUAAGUUUUCUAUAUUCUUAAUUUCUAAUGUUAUAUAUAUAUAUAAUAUUUUUUAAAUGUAAUAAUUAAAAAAUGAUUUUAAUUUAUCAUAAUUUUAAGAGUCAAAUAAUAAAAAAUUAUUUUUAAAAGAUAAAAAAUCAUUUAAAAAAAAAGAAGAAAAUUUCAACAUUUUAUAUCCAUUUAAAAAUUAUCUUUUAAAACAACUUUGGAUUGAUAUUUUAUAAAUUAUUAUAAAUUUUAAAAUAUUUUUUCAAUUGUUAUUCAUUAAAUUAUUUUUAGAAACUACCAUAUAUAUUUUUUUUUUGUCUCAUUCUAGUUUAAAAACGGAAGGAAGGGUAAGAUGCGGGCUUAAAUUUUAUGGUCCCAUUAAAAUAUAAAAAUAAAUAUCAAUAAUAAGAUGGUUUCAUGCAUAUUUUCUUUAUUCUUUUAUUCAUACUAUAAUUUUAUUUAUUUAUACUGGCUUUGUUAGUACGUUGGAUGACCAGAAUUUCAUGAUACCUUUUAUAUAUUACUAAUGGCAGUGAGGUGAUGGAAUAGACCUAUAUCAUGGGUCUAUUCAACUUUAUUAAAGUUUGGAUUCUUUCAAAGUUAGAUAAAAAUUCGUAUUAUUCCUACCACUUUGACCCAUGAUAAAAAAUUUAUAAUACAUAAAGAAAAACCUUUUUUUAUUAUUAUUAUCUUUUUUAACAUUCGGUUGUUAGACCUUCAAAACAAUGAACUAAAAAGAUGCAACCAAGUCCAAGUUAAAAUAAAGAAUAAAGAACUCAAACAUCUUAUAACACAUACUUGAUAUAAAAAGGUAAAAUAUAUAUAUAUAUAUAUUUAAAAAAAAAAUAGUUCAUGCUUUUGUGUGAAACAAAGUACUAUUAUUUUUAUAUUAUUUUAUUGUCCAUAAAGUAAUAUAAAUAAUUUUAAUGGUUUGAAUGCCCUCCAGUUUUUAACAUAAGAAUCCCUUACACAUAUAUGAACCAAAAAAGGACCAAUCAUACCAUACCAUAUGACAUAAACAUUUUAGGUUUUAUUACUUUGUACAUGAAUCUAAUUUCAUUAUUUUAUAUAUUAAUAUCAUUUAUUUGUAUUUGAUUUUAUCUAUUUAUACUUUGAUCCCAAAUAUUAGUAUUUACAUUCACUUAAAUUUUAUCGUACAUUUUCAAUGAUAAAAAUAAAUGUUGAUUUAAUACCUAAACUUUUUCUAACAUUAAAGUAAAUAUGAUUUCAUGAAUUUCACAUUUUCUAUUAUCUUGACCUAAAUGCAAUGGGGUUGAUCACUUUUUUCUCAUUCCAUAAUUCGAUCCAGUGAAGAUGAUUUGGUCACCAACCAUUUACUAAGUUGUGACACCCAUUUUCUACACCAACUCAAACACUCCACUUUUGUUAAUAACUUUUAGCCAAUAUAAAGAAAUGAACAUACCAUUUGAUAUAUUCACAUGGAUUAAAGCAUGCAUUUUCUUUUAAUGAUGUCAUAUUUUGAAUUAUUUUAAAUAUUAACAUCAUUACAUUCAUUUAAAAGAAGUUAUUUUAUGAUGGGAUAUACUUUUUACUUUUUAUUUUUAAAAUUGAAACCGUUAUAUACUCUCUUUAUCUUUCUUUUACACUUGAAUUCUUUAAGGUUUUAGGAGCUUCAAAAAUAUUAUAUGCACACCUUCCACAUAAUCUCUAGAGCAUAAAGUGGUUGUACAAUAGGUACAAAAAGCAACUAGCAUGUAGACAAUUUAUGACUUAAGAGAAGGUAUUGUUACGACAAAAGACAUAUUCAAGCUUAUUAUUUGAAAAGGCUUUAAAGAGGAUAUUCAAUGGAGAAUAAAUGAUUUUUCAAGGUUUUUAACUAAUUUUAAUUAUAUUUGAUUUUUUUUUCAUGUUUUUCAUAUACAUGUAUAAUCAAAUGAGAGAAAAUAAUUUUUUUUAAUAUUUUUUUAUUUCCUUAGUAUUUUUCAAGAACUAAACAUAAUUAUAAGAUUAGUCAUAUUUAUUAUUAUAAGCUCCUUGGGUAAAUUUCCCUUCAAUGAUUAUCCUAAAACGUUUUUACAUGUUUUAUCAUUAUUAUGAUUUUGAAAAUCUAUAGAAAUUCAUGGUUUUUAUAACUUAUUUAGAUGACAGAAUAUGAUUAUACAAGAAAGGCCAAUGAGAAGAUCGAUGUCUACCAUUUGAAGUUGCACUUCUAGAGUUAGCUACUAUAAGAGACCUAGGGGGAAGGGGCAGGAUAUGAACCUUGCUCAAUGGGCAUGGCAGCACCUUGGAGGAGGAAAGUCGACUGUGAAAGCAUUGGAUUGAGGAGAUCAUGGCACUACGCUCCUUAGAAGAAACGAGCACUGUGUUCAAACUCUUUGGCUGCCACCAGAUAAACUCAUUUUCAUUGCCUACUUUGCCUUCUUAUCUAAUACUAUCAUAUGCCUUUAAUGCCUUCUUUAUACAAUUUUGCGUGCAUGAACCAGAAAGCCUAUUGGUGGGCAAGGAGUGUUGCUCUCUCUUAGAAACCAAGAUUGGUUCUAUAAUGAAAAUACCGUCUUCCGAGGGCAUAUGAAACAAGAAGAUAAUUCUAAUAAUCAAAGCUUAAUCAUGAAAGUCUUCAUCAUAGUGAGAAUUCCCUUAUCUAAAAGCGCAAAGACAGAUAGACCUUUAGCAAAAUAAAUUAUGAAUAAGUUAAUUUGAGCUUAAAAUAAUAAAUAGAGCAAAUAAACAUGUAAUAAAGUUGGAACUCAUGACCCUCCUACUAAAUGAAGUUCUAAUAUUAUAUUGGAUAAUUAAUUUUUUUAAAAACUUCAACUUAAGAUUUGCAUCACCAUGAAUGUUGUGUCAUGCUUUCUAAUAAUAUAUCACAUAUUUUUCUAGAUUUUAUGUUAGACCUGUGAUUACUUCUCUAAAUCAAAUUUUGAGCACAUUGUAUAUAUGUACUUGUUAGGAUGAAUCAAUUAUCAAUGAAUGAAGAAAUACAACUCCUCGUAGAGUCUCUUUGCUUAUUUCCUCUACAACUUGAUUAGUUGAACUUAAAAGAACUCCUGAGUGCUUUCACAAAAUGUUUUGAACUUCAAACCUACACAAAGAUGGAAACCAUAUUGUUGAGGUCUCACGUCCCUGGUGACCCACGUAGUUGCCAAAUGGAUGGACGCACGAUCUCAACCAAUAUAGAUUCCUAGUUCAGUGGUUCCUGCAAAAGGCGUCCGGACAGGGUGUCCGGACACACCCUUUGAUGGUUUUGUCAGCCAUGGUAAGAGAGAUAAAUCAGUUGGUCUUUUUCUAGGUAUAACAAGCUUACCUUCCUCUUUGUGUGAAGGUUCAUAUAUAUAGUACCAGAAGCUCUGUUUCCCUCUUUAAUGGUAGGGAGAUAUUUUGGCUUGUCAUGAUGCCACUAGGUGGUGGCAGGGCCAUCAUCACCCUACGGGCGGCUGACAGAGAUUGUGGGAGGUGCCGCGGCUGUCAAAGAUCGUGGGAAGUGACUUGCCAUCACUUCAUUCCUGUCCUUUCACUCUGCAUGUGGCGGAAUGUGGGCCAUGGCAGACUGUUGUGAUAACAUGCAAGACUUGCUUACUUCAGUCAAUGAUCCGGACAAACAUAUCCGGAUAGUAUAUGUCGGUCGUCCGGAUGCGAUGUGGCGUUCGUCCGGAUGUUAUAUUUGUGAGUGUUGUGUGUCUCUCCUUGAGGGAGUCUGGAUAGGAGAGGCGCGCCACGUGUACUCUUAGGGAAAUCCGGAUGGGAUUAAUCCGGAUAGAAAUGUAUGCCACGUGUCACCAGGAAGUGUGUGCCACAUGUCAUCAGGGGGAGGGGUCCCUACAAUGAUAGAUUCCUGGUUCAGUGGUUCCUGCAAAAGGCGUCCGAACACACCCUCCAAUGGUUUUGUCAGCCAUGGUAAGAGAGAUAAAUCAGUUGGUCUUUUUCUAGGUAUAGCAAGCUUACCUUCCUCUUUGUGUGAAGGUUCAUAUAUAUAGUACCAGAAGCUCUGUUUCCCUCUUUAAUGGUAGGGAGAUAUUUUGGCUUGUCAUGAUACCACUAGGUGGUGGCAGGGUCAUCAUCACCCUACAAGCGGCUGACAGAGAUCGUAGGAGGCGUCGCGGCUGUCAGAGAUCGUGGGAAGUGACUUGCCGUCACUUCAUUCUUGUCCUUUCACUUUGUAGGUGGCGGAACGUGGGCCAUGGUAAGCUGUUGUGGUGACGUGCAAGACUUGCUUACUUCAGUCAAUGAUCCGGACAAACAUAUCCGGAGAGUAUAUGUCGGUCGUCCGGAUGCGAUGUGGUGGUCGUCCGGAUGUUAUGUUUGUGAGUAUUGUGUGCCUCUCCUUGAGGAAGUCCGGAUAGGAGAGGCGCGCCACGUGUACUCUUGGGGAAAUCCGGAUUGGAUUAAUCCAGACAGAAAUGUGUGUCACGUGUCACCAAGAAGUGUGUGCCACGUGUCAUCAGGGGGAGAGGUCCCUACACAUAUCAUUGAAAUAAUUAAAUAGAUCAACUGAAAUCAAAGUGCUAUUGUCUUAUUUAAAAAAAAAAUUACAAAAAAAAAAAAAAAUCAUGGGCUUUAUGCAAAAACGAUAGUUGCGCAAAACUCCUUCUUUGGAAUACUAGAUUGGUGUCAUGUAUCAUUUCACUUGGCACCUUCUUCCAUAACUAUCAAAAAUGAUAUUUGUUUAUGAGGAAAACAAGAGUUUUGGGCAAAUAUAAUAUAUUUGAAAAAUAAAUUCAUAAAAUAGAUCUUCAGCCAAAAUAAUUUUCAAGUUAGUGCAUUUUAACUACUUGGACAUCUAAAUAGUCUUAGAAUGUUUUAUUUUUUUUGAAGUAUAAAUUUAAAACCGUAGUUGGUAAUUAUAAUUUUAACCAUUUAAAAAAAGUAAAGUUUCUAAGUUAGUACAUUUCAACAUGAACAUCCACGUGGCUUGAGAAUAAUUUUUUUUUAAAAUGUUUUUUGCAUCACAAAAUUGUAAUUAGUAACUAUUGUUUUGAAUUUUUUUAAACAUAAAACCAUAAUUGGAGACUCUAAUUUUAAAUUUAUCUUUAAAAUUCAUAGUUGAUGAUCGUAGUUAUCGACUAUAGUUUAAAUUUAAAUUUAAAACCAUAAUUGAUAACUAUUAUUUUAACCAUUUAAAAAACAUCAAAAUUAUAGUUAAGUAUGGUUUGUGACAUGGAUACACAUGUAGAUAAGACACUCUAGUUUGAAAAUUAUUUUGAAAGGGACCUACUUUGUAGAAUUUUAUUUUUGCAAAUAAAUCAUUUUUCCUCAAAACUCAAAACUAACAUGUUUAGAAAUAAAUUCAAUUAUACACUUUCCUAUUUUUCUUUUCCCUAAUAUAAGACCAAGUCCAUGUUAUCACUUUUCCACUAGAAUAUUCCUCACUGAUAUCACUUUUCCACUAGAAUAUUUCUCACUGUCCAUUCCCUUAGCUGUGCAUUAUUCCAAGGCCAGUUUUCUAGCUACCAUAAUUUAGUCCAGGAUGUGGAACAACUGCUGGAUCAUGCUGGAUCCUUUUGUGAGACUUGACCAUCAAUAUCCUUCUCUCCAUUUGUGGGGUCCUGCCCACUUAAUCACUACUUUGGAAAUUUCGCUAACACCCAAAUUCUCAACAACCCAAAGCCACAGACUUCUGCAUCCUUCCAUCCAUCUUUCUUUAAGUAAAAUAGACACCCAUUUGGUCUUUGUUCGUCAUUUGUUUCACUUUCUCCCAAGAAUACUAAUCUUGUCUGACUGAUUAGUUUCAUCAGAGAUUUUUCAAGAAAAAGAAUAUCACAUUUUAUAUUUGAAAAAAAAAAAAGUAUUGAAUAUAUUAGCAAGAUAUCAUCCUCGAAAAGUUACGGUAGUUGACCGGCAUAGAAAAAAGAAUAAGUGAAUGGGGAUGACAACGGAGCGGGUUUUUUUGGGUACUCGUCCUUAAUGAAACGGAGUUUAAAUUUAAUAAACGAGUUUGAGAUGAGUAUGAAUUUUUUUUUUAAACCCGGGACAGGUUCGGGUAUUGCCCCAUCCCGUCCCGUCCCGAUUACAUAUAAAAUUAAUUUUAAAAUUAAUUUAAUUUAAAAUUUUAUUUUAUUAUUUUUAAUAUAUAGAUAAUAAUAAAAAAAUUUAAUAAAAUAAAUUAUAAAAUAUAUAAUAAUUUUAUUAUUUAUAAAAUAUAUUUAUUUUAAUGUAAUUAAAAAAUUUAAAAGUAAUUUUUAAAUAAAUAAAAAACUAAAUAGGGUGGGACGGGCCCAUAUCCGCCUCGUUUAAUUUUUUAAAUGGGACAAAAAUAAGAAUUAUUUUUAAUAAAUAGGACAGGAUUGGGAUGGAGUGACCCGUCCUGAAACCCUUCCGUUGGCAUUCCGACGAUUUUGGAAUUUUUGUUUAUGUUACUUUGCAUUGUUCUUAGAUUUCCCCUUUCCAAUAAAAGCCUGACAUUAUAUGUAUAGAAUUCCGUAUAAUCCAAUCAUUGCUUCGGUGGUUCGUGUAUACCACGGGAAUUAGGAUAAGUCUCCUCUUUUGACGAGUCAAUGCCCUUUCGCAUUCAUUUAUAAUUGUUUGGAUUACAUGAAAGACUAUAAAAGCAACCUGGCCCCAUUUUGUUGACGGAAGCUGCCACUUCCAAACACACUUACUGAUUUUUGGUUAUUUGUUUAUUCUGUUUUCUGUUUUUGAUUUUUAAAGAAAAUAAAAAUCAAGUUUAAAAACAUGUUUAGAUUUUUUUUUUUUUUUUAAUUUUGAGUACAAAAAUGGUAAGAAAUAAAAAUAUUAAUUUGGUGUUUUUAAAAUUUUCCUAUGACAAUGUUUUCCUUCAACUUAAAAAUAGAAAAAUUAUCUUUAGAAUUAAUUAUAAAAUUAUAUAUAUAUAUAUAUUUGAUAUAUUAUUUUAAAAUAAAAACAUAAUCAAAUACAGAACAAUAAAGCAAAACAAUUAUGUGUGACCGGGUCAGUGUCCAUGUCCAAUCUCCGCUACUCUAAAUCGUACCAUGCCCACAUCAAGCUUUCAUUGAGUCAUUCCAUGUUCAAACCAUAACCCACGGCAAGACUGACCCAGAAAAUUUUGCCCCAUCCCGUCCCACACGAUUACAUAUAAAAUUAAUUUUAAAAUUGAAUUUAAUUUAAAAUUUAAAAUUAAUUUAAUUUAAAAUUUUAUUUUAUUAUUUUUAAUAUAUAAAUGAUAAUAAUAAAAUUUUAAUAAAAUAAAUUAUAAAAAAUAUAAUAAUUUUAUUAUUUAUAAAAUAUAUAUUUUUAAUAUAAUUAAAAAAUUUAAAAAUAAUUUAAAAAAAAAAACUAAAUAGGACGGGAUAGGACGGGUACGAGAAUUUUAAACGGGAUUGAAAUGAAAAUUAUUUUUAAUAAAUGAGACGGGAUUGGAAUGGAAACGAUCCGUUGGAACCGCCCGUUGGCAUUCCGAUAAUUUUGGAAUGUUUGUUUAUGUUACUUUGCAUUGUUCUUAGAUUUCCCCUUUCCAAUAAAAGCCUGACAUUAUAUGUAUAGAAUUCCGUACAAUCCAAUCAUUGCUUCGCUGGUUCGUGUAUACCACGGGAAUAAGGAUAAGUCUCCUCUUUUGACGAGUCAAUGCCCUUUCGCAUUCAUUUAUAAUUGUUUGGAUUAUAUGAAAGACUAUAAAAGCAACCUGAGUCAAUACCCUUUCGCAUUCAUUUAUAAUUGUUUGGAUUAUAUGAAAGACCAUAAAAGCAACCUGGCCCCAUUUUGUUGACGCCUUGACGGAAGCUGCCACUUCCAAACACACUUACUGAUUUUUGGUUAUUUGUUUAUUCUGUUUUCUGUUUUUGAUUUUUAAAGAAAAUAAAAAUCAAGUUUAAAAACAUGUUUAGAUAUUUUUUUUAAAAAUUUUGAGUUCAAAAAUGAUAAGAAAUAAAAAUAUUAAUUUGGUGUUUUUAAAAUUUUCCUAUGACAAUGUUUUCCUUCAACUUAAAAAUAGAAAAAUUAUCUUUAGAAUUAAUUAUAAAAUUGUAUAUAUAUAUAUAUAUAUAUAUAUAUAUAUUAUUUUAAAAUAAAAACAUAAUCAAAUACAGAACAAUAAAAUAAAACAAUUAUGUGUGACCGGUCAGUGUCCAUGUCCAAUCUCCACUACUUUAAAUCAUUGAGUCAUUCCAUGUUCAUACCAUAAUCCACGGCAAGACGACCAAGAAAAUUUUGCAAGCGUCGACUUCUUCUUCUGAUUUUUACUGGCUGUCAGGAUACAAACCUUUAUCGAGGAAAAAGACUGCAUGCCUCUUUAGGCUUCUUCAAUUUUUUUUUUAUAAAUAUUUUUAUAAAAAAAUGAAUUAAUUUUCAAAUUCAACUUAUAUGAUAUAAUAAUAUAGUAUAAUAUAAUAUAUAAUAUUAAUAAAUAAUAAUAAAUAAAAUAGUUAUAUAUUAUUAUUAUAUAUUAUAUAUAUUAUAUUUUAUAUAGAGGAUGUUCGAUAAAUCAAUUUUAUGAUUUAAAGUGAUUUAAUAACUUAAUUUAAAUUAUUAAAUAAAUUAAAUAUUUUAUAAAAUAUCAUAAUAUUUAAAAUGAUUUUAAAUAUUAAAUCAAAAUAAUUAAUUUAUUUUUAAUCUGAAAUCAUUUUUAUUAGAUUUUAUUUUUUAGUAUAAGUUUACUCGAUUAAUGAAUUAAAUUUUUGAAAUUAUUUAAAAUAAUUAUAAAAUAUUUACUUUAUAAAAAAUGAGUCAUACAUAUUAUAAAGAUUGUUAUUACAUAUUUGGAGUGAUCUGAGAUUCAUAAUAAAUUUAGCAUUUUAAUUUAAUAUUUAAAUAUUAUUUUUAAUUUUAAAUUAUGAUAUUAAAUUAUUUUAUUAAAUGUAUUUAAUAACUUACAUUGAAUUAUUAAAUCAUUAUAUUAAUUUAUCACACACCUCCUAAAAAUCCUUUUUUCUAGUAUACCAAAAAUAAGACCAAUAAAAUCAUAUCAUUAGGUCUCAAUUUUUUUUUACGUUCCAUUUAUUUAUAUUUUAAUAAUAUAUGUUUGGAUCGUCGUGAAAUGACGUAGAUUUUACCUUACACUUUUGAUAGUCAGUGCUGCAUGUUGAUUAGGUUUACACUUGCCCUUCUUUCUAUGGUAUUUUCCUGCGCUGCCACUGUCGACAUGGCAGUCAACUAGUCAAGGAGCAUCGACUUAAAAGUGAUGUGAAAUCAGUUGGAAUUAUUAAUUAUACUUGUGGAAAUGAAGUGCUUUAGACCCAGGUGGGCCUGGAAAUCAGCUAAAGGUCCUCCUUUCGUCGUGAUAAUAAAUAUAUGAAAUAGGAAUGAAAAAAAAAAAUACUCCUUUGACUUAUCAUAACAAAUAUAUAAAAAUCGGGAAUAAUUAUAUUUUAGACCUAAUUAGACUAAAAAAUUAAGCUUUAAUCCAUAUAAAUUCAUAAUAUAAGCUAAAAACUUAUAGAAAGUGUGAAAAUUGAGAAGAAUGAUAUGAAAUUUUUAUCUUUCCAAAAAUAAUAUUUAUUGGUUAUGGAAAAAAAGAGAGUAGAAAAACAUUAAUUUAAAUUUUAUUCCUUUUGCAAAUUUCAAUAAAAUUUAAUAUAAUUUAGUGGUUUGGAAAAAAAUACACCCAUGUCCAAAAAAUUAAAAAUAAAUUAUUAUUAUUUAAAAAUCAAACAUCUUGGAAAAUAUAUAUAUUUAAAAUUAUGUAUAUAAAAAAUAAUUAAAAAUAUGUCAAUUUUUUUUUAAAUGAUAUAUUUUUAUAAUAUAUUUUAAAAAAAAUUAGUUUUCUAAAAAUAAUAAAUUUUCAUAAUAAUUAUUAAAAAAAAUUAAGAUAAAAAAGUUUUUCAAACCUUAUGAUAGAAAAUAGUUCUGAAUGGUAUAUUAGUCUCUUCAUAUUUUAUAUCAUCUCCAUCAAUUAUGCAACUUUUAUGGGUCAAAUCUUAAUUUUUAGGUCCAAUUGGGUUCAAAAGACAAUUGUCCCUAAAAAUUAUCUCAAAUAAUAAAUUGUUUUUACCCAUGUGGUGUUUGUAGGAUCCAUUAUUUUUGUCUCUAUUCCACCACUCUUUACAUGCUAAUUCCAACAAAUUCUUCCUUAUUUAGUCGUUUCUGGAUUUUUCAUUAUUUUUUAAAACUCUUUUAUAAAUAAUCUAAAGUCAACAAUAUUUUUUAUUUUUAAAUUAUAAAUAAAAAAAUACAUUAAUGAUUCAAAAACUAUUUUGAAUAAUAUUUUUUUAAUAUAUAUAUAUAUAUAUAUAUAUAUAUGUUCAUUUAAAUGAAUAAAACUGUCUUUUACAUUUAAAAGUAAAUAAUUUAAUGAUUAAAACACUAUUUAAAAUAAACAUAUUCAUUAUUUUAUUUUCUUUUAUACUAAAAAUCAUUUUAAAGUUUAUUUCUUUAUUUUUUUUACUAUUCUAACAUAAAAAGUUUAAAUCUUCUUUUAAUUUUUUUUCUUAUUUUAAUAACAUUUUAAACAUGACUUCUACUAAUAAGUUAUAUGAAAUGUUACAAAUUCAUCUACUAAGGAUUUUUUUUAAUGAUUUGAAUUAAUUGAAAAAUUAUCAAAAUAAGAAAAAAAAAAUAAAGAAAGAAAGAAGAUGGAUAAAGAGUUUAUUUUAAAUAUCCAACUAAAAUAAGGUAUGCAAGGUAUUUGUGUAAGUGAACGAUGUAUUUACAUUAAGUGUACAAGAUAAAUGUAUUAAUUGUACAAAGGUGUACAAGGCUAUAUUCCUUGAAAGAAUUCAAUCGAUUUUCAAAAAAUCGCUUACUCAUUUCCUUUUUCCAAGGAUGUAGGACAUUCCACAAACACAUUGUUUGAUGACAUACUUAUCUCAUCUAUUUUUUUGACAUUGUAUAUGUUCAUUCGAUUACCUAGCCCACUAAUGAUGAAUAGGAACAUAAAUUGGGUUUAAUUUUUCCCAUUUUCCCUUAGCCAUGACAAUGGAAACAUGGUUAGCCCACUCAUAUGCACACAUUGCAUUCUAGGUCUAUGAAAUUUGUGUAGGUGUACAAAGUAUUUACACAAAGUGUACAAAGUAAAUGUAUUAACUAUAUAAGGGUGUACAAGACUACUUUCCUUUAAGGAAUUCAAUUGAUUUUCAAAAACUUGCUCGCUCAUUUCCCUUUUGACAAGGAUGGAGGACAUUCCAUAGACACAUUUCUUGAUGAGACACUCAUCCUAUGCAUUUUUUUGACAUCACACAUGUUCAUUUGAUUACCUACCCCACUAAUUAUGAAUAAAAACAUAAAUUGGGUUUAAUUUUCCCAUUUUCCUUGAGCCAUGACAAUGGAAACAUGGUUAACCACCCAUAUGCACACACUGCAUUCUAGGUCUAUAGAAUUUGUGCAAGUGUACAAGGUAUUUACACUAAGUGUAUAAUGUAAAUGUACUAAUUGUACAAGAGUGUACACAGCUACCUUCCUUGAAGAAAUUCAACUGAUUUUCAAAAACUCGCUCACUCAUUUUCCUUUGUCAAGGAUCAAAGACAUUCCACAAACACAUUACUUAAUGACACGCUUAUUCUAUGCAUUUUUUUUUUACUUCGUACAUGUUCAUUUGAUUACCUACUCCACUAAUAAUGAAUGGAAACAUAAAUUGGGUUCAAAUUUUCCUUUUUCCCCUAAGCCAUGACAGUGGGAAUAUGGUUAACUCACUCAUAUUCACAUAUUGCAUUCUGGGUCUAUGGAAUUUGUGCAGGUGUAUAAGGUAUUUACACAAAGUGUACAAGGUAAAUGUACUAACUGUAUAAAGAAGUACAAGACUACCUUUCUUGAAGAAUUUCAAAUAAUUUUCAAAAACUAACUUGACUCUUAUUUCUAAAUUUCAUCAUCUAAAAUUUGUAACUUCAUAUUUUGUUUUUUGUAACCCGUAUAAUUUAAAUGUUCCGAAAACUCUUCAUCUAUUCUCAAUGUUUUCCUAUUGAACUGCACUUAUACUCUUUUUCCAACAUAUUUUUUCAAAUUUUCCUUAUAUCUUUAGAAUUAAGUCUAUAUUUAUGAAUUUUAAUAUUAUUGAAAAAAGAAAAAAAAAUCAUAGUCUUAGACUUAGAGUGUAGAAUGCAAUACUCAAAAUUUGAUAUAUAUUGUGAUUUUAAAAUUAACUUAUGCUUUCUACAUCUUUUUAUUAAUUCAUCAUGUUGGACACUAUGAAUACAUUGUGCAGUUGCACCCUUAUUGUGAAUUUGAUCACAUGCUAAAAGAAAAAAUAAAUAAAAAUUUGAAGGAAAAAAUAAAAUUACAUUGCAACCACCUAGCUACAUGCCCACAUUAUCAAAGACAUUCUGGAAAAUUCUUUUCCACAAUGCAAGGAAUUAGAAGACCCAAGUUUCUGGAUGAAAACCAAAGUCCCACAACUUUGGUUGUAGUUCUUCUUCACUUGUAGAUCCAUAGACAAACUUGUUAAUUCUAUCACACAUAUCCACUUUGUUCCAAUACUAAAAGUAGAAUACCUAACCUGCCCAAAAAGGAGAGCCUAAAAAUAGUUCACAUUCUCAUCCAAACAAGCCAAUUUUCUUGAGAAAAAACUAGUGAAAAGGGUAAAAACAAAACCAAAUACAAAAUUAAUCAAGAUGAUCUAUAAGUACCUGAAUAAGAAGCACAUGGAAAACUAAAUUCUCAACAACUAAAAAACUUCCACUAGUAAAGGUCUCGAUGUCGACGAAAUGGAAAAUGGUGAUGGUGAGGAACAUGGGGAUGCCGACUACUACAAUGACAAUAGGAGGACUUCGAGCUCCUUUAGGGAUAUUUGUGUGGCUACAACAAUGUUGACGACAACAACGACUACCGAGAUCCAAAGUAGAUGAUGGUGUGCUAGGGUUUAAGAUCAUUUUAGGGCUUCGACGUCUUCAAAAAAAAAAAAAACUAAUAAGAGAAAUAUUUUAAUUACCAAACUUGGAAUCCAUUUUGCAAAAGGAGAAUUGUGUUUUAGAUCCAGAUGGGUCUAAAAAUUGGCCUUAAAUCCUCUUAACCCGCAUAAUUGGGCCCAAAACCCAGCAAAGCCUUACAAAUUGAGAUGAAGGAUAUUGACAUUCCAUAAACCCGAAAAUGCCCUUCGUUAAGCUAGAAAAAAAAAAUUCAUGCUGGAAAUACAAUUUGAAAAAUGGAUUCCAAGUUUGGCAAUUAAAAUAUUUCUCCUAUUAGUUUUCAUUUUUUGAAGAAUUGAAAACGCCAAAGCCUUAAAUGAUCCAAAACCUUAGCCACCAUCAUUUACUCUAGAUCUCAGUGGCUGUCGUUGUCAACGACGUUGCUGUAGCCACUCAAAUAUCCCUAAAGUAUUCAUGAUGAAUUAAUAAAAAGACUUAGAAAGAGCAUAAGUUAAUUUUAAAAUCAUAAUAUAUAUAUAUAUAUAUAUAUAUAUAUAUUAUCAAAUUCUGAGUACUACAUUCUACACUCUAAGUUUAAGACUAUGAUUUUUUUUCAACAAUAUUAAAAUUCAUAAAUAUAAACUUAAUUCUAAAUAUAUGAGGAAAAUUUGAAAAAAUAUGUUGGAAAAAGAGUAUAUGUGUAGUUCAAAAGGAAAAAUAUUGAAAAGAGAUGAAGAGUUUUCGGAAUAUUUAAAUUAUAUGGGUUACAAAAAACAAAAUAUGAAGUUAUAAAUUUUGGAUAAUGAAAUUUAGAAAUAAGAGUUGAGUGAGUUUCGAAAAUUAUUUGAAAUCCUUCAAGGAAAGUAGUCUUGUACACCCUUGUAUAGUUAGCAUAUUUACCUUGUACGAUUAAUGUUAAUACCUUGUACACUUGCACAAAUUCCAUAGACCUAGAAUCCAAUAUGCGAAUAUGGGUGAGUUAAUCAUAUUCUCAUUGUCAUGGCUCAGGGAAAAGGGGAAAAAUUGACAUGUACGAAGUCAAAAAAAAAAAAAUUGCAUGGAAUAAGUGUGUCAUCAAGCAAUGUGUUUGUGGAAUGUCUUUGAUCCUUAACAAAGGGAAAUGAACGAGCGAGUUUUUGAAAAUCAAUUGAAUUCUUUCAAAGAAAGUAGUCUUGUACAAUUAGUAUAUUUACAUUGUACACUUUAUGUAAAUACCUUAUAAACUUACACAAAUUCCAUAGACCUAAAAUGCAAUGUGUGCAUAUAAGUGGGUUAACUAUGCUUCCAUUGUCAUGGCUCAGGGAAAAGGGAAAAGAUUGAACCCAAUUUAUGUUCUUAUUCAUCAUUAGUGGGGUAGGUAAUCGAAUGAAUAUAUACGAUGUCAAAAAAAUGCGUGAGAUAAGUGUGUCAUCAAACAAUGUGUUUAUGGAAUGUUCCUCAUCAUUGGCAAAAGGAAAUGAGCAAACGAGUUUUUGAAAAUCAGUUGAAUUCUUUCAAGAAAAGUAGUUUUGUACACCUUUAUAUAGUUAGUACAUUUACCUUGUACGCUUAAUGCAAAUGCCUUGUACACAUGCACAAAUACCUUGUACACAUGCACAAAUACCUUGUACACAUGCACAAAUACUUUGAACACUUUAUUUUAGUUGGAUAUUUAAAAUAAAAACUCUUCAUCUAUCAUCUUUUUCUCUUUUUCAUUUUCUUAUUUUGAUAAAUUUUCAAUUAAUUAAAAUCACUAAAAAAAUAAAAAAUAAAAAUCCUUAGUAGAUAAAUUUGCAACAUUUCAUAUAACUUAUUACUAGAAGUCAUAUUCAAAACGUUAUUAGAAUAAGGAAUGAAAGACAUUCAAAGAAAAUUUAAACUUUUUAUUUUAGACUAGUAAAAAAAAGAAAGAAAUAAACUUUAAAAUGUUUUUUAGUAUAAAAAAAAAAGAGGAAAAUGGUGAAUAUGUUUAUUUUAAAUAGUGUUUUAAUCAUUAAAUUAUUUACUUUUAAAAUGUAAAUGAAACUUUUUAUUUAUUUAAAUUAACACUUUUUUUUUUUUAACAAAAAGCAUUUUUUAAAAUAGUUUUUGAAUCAUUAAUUUAAUUUUUUUAUUUAUAAUUUUAAAAUAAAAAAUAAUAUUGAUUUUAGAUUAUUUAUAAAAGAGUUUAAAAAAAUAAUGAUAAAUAAAAAAAAUGGCUAAAUAAGGGAGAAUUUAUUGGAGUUGGUAUGUAAAGAAUGGUGAAAGAAAGACAAAAAUGAUGGUCUUACAAACACGAGAUGAGUUAAAACAAUUUAUUAUUUGAGAUAAUUUUUAUAUAUUUGAGAUAAUUUUUAUAUAUUUGAUGUGGUAAGUUAGGCUAUAUUUUUUGGGAAACUUGUGUUUUGAUGGGGCCAUUUGGCAAAUAUAUGCUUUUCAGAACCCAACUUUAUGAAAUCUAAAAACCAGUUUUUAAUGUGAAAAAUUAUAUCUUUUUUAUGCACUCUAAGCCGACUGCAUUUUUUGUACCGAGAUUGCCUUUUUUUUUCCUCCCUUACCCACCAUCCAUUUCUCCCUUCAUCCCCAGUGAAACCGGCUAGCCGACGUCAUCCCCGGCCGCCACUCACACCUCUCACCGGCCGGCAGGCAAAGGUUGUGUUUUUCAACCUGGCUCAAAAAUCGUGGAUUUAGGGUUCGUGAAAUUUAAAUCCAAUGGCACAAAAGCAAAGAGACCCCUAGAACAGAUCUAGAAAACACAUGGAUCAAAAAAAAAAAAGCAAUUUUUUUGGUUUUCCUUGGGGGUUUUGCAUGAAUUUUCUCGGAAAUCAAACGAGGAUGAAUUUUCCAAAAAAUCAAAUAUGGAUGGAUUUUCUUGGGGAUCAAACAAGGAUUUUUUUUUUUUUUGCUUCUAUCGCCGUCGUCAAUGAUUGCAAGACUUGUUGGUUGCCGCCGUCAAUGGCAACCAGUCGUGCCUUCUUCCCUCCGACCCUGGUUCUCCCCCAUUGCCAUCGCCUUUUUCUCUCUUGGUGAUGUCGAAAGAGAAUAAAAGAGAAAGAAAGAGGAAAGGGAAAAGGAGAAAGGGGGAGAUUGCCGACCAGAAAAAGGUGUGAGUGGCAGCCGGUGAUGACGCCGGUCGGCUAGUUUCACUGAGGAGAGAGGGAGAGGCGGAUGGUGGGUACAAGAUGAAAAAAAAAAAAGGCAAUCUCGGUACAAAAAAUGCAGCCGGCUUAGAAUGCAUAAAAAAGAUAUAAUUUUUUACAUUAAAAAUUGGUUUUCAGAUUUCAUAAAGUUGGGUUCCAAAAAGUAUAUAUUUACCAAAUGGCCCCAUCAAAACACAAGUUUCCCAUUUUUUUUUCAUUAUUAUUUCAUAUACUUAUCAUCGUGAUAAAAGGAUAAGGCCGAUCAUUGUCGCACUGAAUGGCACUCCACCCCAUGCCCAUGACACACGACCAAUUGAUAUUGACCCUUCACAUUGACUUUCAGAUCCAUUUUUGUUUAUCAGGAAUAGUUUUUCUUCACUUAUUCUUCAUAAUCCUGUAUUUAUAUACUAUAUCAAUAUUUCUAAAUCCUUACCAUUAAUAACUUUUUCAAAAUUCUUUAUUAGUAUCCAUGUUAUAAAUAAUAAAAUAUGAAUUGAACAUUUUCGCUCUCCUCAUAAGCAUAUCACACUUGUCUAUUUGGUUCUUAGAAAAUAUUAGGAAUAAACAAAGAUAGCAUUGGAAAAAAAUAAUUUUUUUUUAUAUUUUGUUUAACAUGAAAAUAUUAAAAUCAAAUCAAUAUAAUUAAAAAUAGUUUAAAUUUUAAACAUUUUAAACUAGUUUAUCUUUAUAUAAUACAAAAAUACAUACAAUGAAUUUGAAUAAACAUAGAAAUGUAAUUUAUUAAUAAUAUUAAUUAUUUUUCAUUUUCCUUCAUGUAAAAAAAAUGGAUAUUAUAUAUAUAUUUAAAAAAAAAGUAUAUGUGAUUCUUGGAAAAUUUAAGGGAGAAUUCAAGAAAAAAAUAACUGAAUUUUCUUUUUUUCUUUCUUUUCCUUACAUUUUCCCUUAAAUUUUUAGAGAAUUGAAGAUAGAUUAAAAGGUUUUUUUCCUACAUUUUUCUUACAUAAAAGGUUAGAAAAAAGUUGAGAAAAUACAUUCCUCAAUAAUUUUUUUUUCUUCAAUUUCUCAAUAUAUAUAAACCAAACUUAUUCCAAGAGAUAAUGAUUAUAUUUAUUAUCAAAUAAAAUUUUUAUAUCUAAUUUACUUUUAGCUAGUAUUGUCCAACAUAAUUAAAUAAUACCAUGGUGGCUUAGGUUAAUUCUAAAAUGAUGGGAAAUAAAUCAAAAUGGUAAUGGACUAAUGAUAGAAAAAUUAUCAUAUAAAAUACCUAGGCAACCAUAGGUGAAAAAAAAAAUUUGAAAAUAAGACUCAUAUUAUGAAAAUAUUAAAAAAUAUUAUAAUUUAAUCACAAAGAUAAUGAGUAUGACUAAGAUCGACGUUUAGGAAAAGAGAUUUUAUAAAUAAAUAAAAAUUAUUUUGAAGUAUCUUACAUGGAUCGCUGAUUUUUAUUCAAAUUUUAAACAAAUUCAUACUAAAAAACCAUAAUGCUUGCUAAAUCUAAUCUUGUAACCUAGUGUUUUGUUCUUAGAAUAUAUAUAUAUAACUGUCCCGGCAUCUUCCACCCUCCUCAUAGAGAUGCUGGUAACGAACUCAACGCCACAAAAAUGCCGAAAGUAAACUUUUAAUUUGCCAAAAUUCCAUUCCCCGCUCUGUUUCUCCUCCUCGUCCUCUCCUUACCCUUUCAAGUAAUUUCCGAAAAUCUGGACGAUGAACUAUCAAUCCUACUAGACGUUAAACAACAACUAGGCAAUCCCCCGUCACUCCAAUCUUGGAAUUCCUCAUCCUCACUCUGUGAUUGGCCGGAAAUUACAUGCAUCGACAAUAUCGUCACUGAAAUUUCACUCAGCUACAAGACCAUCACAAAGAAAAUUUCGGCUAGAAUUUGUGACCUCAAGAACCUUAUCGUACUUGACGUCUCCAACAAUUACAUUCCAGGCAAGUUCCCGGAUAUUCUCAAUUGUUCUAAGCUGGAGCAUCUCCUCUUGAAGAAAAACUUCUUCGUGGGUUCAAUUCCAGCUGACAUUGAUCGACUUUCACGUCUCCGGUACCUAGACCUCACCGCAAACAACUUCUCUGAAGAUAUUCCCGCAGCAAUUGGGCAGCUACGGGAGCUGUUCUACUUGUUUCUGGUUCAAAAUGAGUUCAACGGCACCUGGCCAACGGAGAUUGGUAAUUUGGCGAAUCUUGAACAAUUGGCCAUGGCCUAUAAUGACAAAUUUCGGCCUUCAGCCCUUCCAAAAGAGUUUGGCGCAUUGAAGAAGUUGAAAUAUCUGUGGAUGACGGAGGCGAAUUUGAUUGGCGAAAUACCGGAGAGCUUCAACAAUCUAUCGAGUUUGGAACUCUUGGACCUCUUAGUCAACAAAUUGGAAGGUACGAUCCCGGGAGGCAUGCUUACGUUGAAGAAUUUGAACUAUUUGCAUUUAUUCAUUAAUAGAUUGUCCGGCCACAUUCCUUCAUCCAUAGAAGCUCUCAACCUGAAAGAAAUUGAUAUUUCCGACAACCAUUUGACGGGGUCCAUACCAACGGGUUUCGAGAAGCUACAAAAUUUGACGGGUUUGAAUCUUUUCUGGAAUCAGUUGUCAGGAGAGAUACCAGCAAAUAUAAGCCUCAUUCCUACACUGGAAACCUUCAAAGUUUUUAGCAAUCAAUUGAGUGGAGUUUUACCUCCAACAUUUGGCCUUCAUUCGGAGCUCAAACUCUUUGAGGUUUCCGAGAAUAAACUAAGCAGGGAAUUACCUCAACAUUUAUGCGCUAAGGGGGCUUUGCUUGGAGUGGUCGCUUCCAACAACAAUCUCAGCGGGGAAGUGCCCAUGUCCCUCGGGAAUUGCACAAGUUUGCUCACCAUUCAGCUUUCCAACAAUUGUUUUUCAGGCGGGAUUCCUUCCGGCAUUUGGACAUCCCCGGACAUGGUAUCAGUGAUGUUAGAUGGAAACUCAUUCUCAAGGACACUUCCAAGUAAAUUGGCAAGGAAUUGUCUAGAGUGGAGAUCACUAACAGCAAGUUUUAUGGUCCAAUUCCUGCUGAAAUCUCUUCCUGGAUGAACAUCUCUGUGCUCAAUGCCAGCAACAAUAUGUUGUCUGGAAAAAUUCCAGUGGAAUUGACCAGUCUUUGGAACACCACUGUUCUGUUGCUUGAUGGGAAUCAAUUCUCGGGUGAACUUCCAUCCCAGAUCAUCUCAUGGAAGUCGCUCAAUAAGUUAAAUCUCUCAAGAAACAAACUUUCUAGCCUAAUUCCCAAGGCAUUAGAUUCUUUAACUAGCCUUAGUUACCUCGACCUGUCAGAAAACCAGUUCUCAGGUCAAAUUCCUCCUGAACUUGGCCAUUUGAACCUUAUUAUCCUCCAUCUUUCGUCCAACCAACUCUAUGGGAUGGUCGCCAUUGAGUUUCAACAUGAAGCAUAUGAAGACAGUUUCUUGAACAAUCCCAAGUUGUGUGUCAAUGUUCCCUCUCUGAACCUCCCUAGAUGUGAUGCCAAACCUGUCAACUCCGACAAAUUGUCAACCAAAUAUCUCGUUAUGAUCCUAAUUUUUGCUCUAUCUGGUUUCCUAGCUGUUGUUUUCGUCACCCUGUCCGUGGUUCAUGUCUAUCAUAGGAAGAAUCACAGUCAGGAGCAUACAGCUUGGAAAUUUACUCCAUACCAUAAACUAGAUCUCGAUGAAUACAACAUAUUGUCCAGUUUGACAUAAAAUAAUCUGAUCGGAUGUGGUGGGUCAGGGAAAGUAUACCGAAUUGCUAAUAAUCGUUCUGGUGAACUCUUAGCGGUUAAAAUGAUUUGUAAUAACAGGAGAUUGGAUCAAAAGCUUCAGAAACAAUUCGAAACAGAAGUCAAGAUAUUGAGCACCAUACGCCAUGCCAAUAUAGUGAAGUUGUUGUGUUGCAUAUCAAAUGAAACCUCAAGUCUUCUUGUUUACAAGUACAUGGAGAAGCAGAGUUUGGAUAGAUGGCUUCAUGGGAAGAAGCAAAGAACAUCGUCCAUGACAAGUUCAGUUCAUAACUUCGUCUUGGAUUGGCCAACAAGGUUGCAGAUUGCCAUUGGACCUGCAAAAGGCCUAUGCCACAUGCAUGAAUACUGUUCUGUCCCAAUCAUACAUCGAGAUGUGAAGUCCAGCAACAUCUUGCUAGAUGCCGAGUUCAAAGCGAAAAUUGUGGAUUUUGGAUUGGCUAAGACGUUGGUCAAGCAAGGAGAACCCAACACCAUGUCAGGAAUUGUAGGCUCUUACAGGUAUAUUGCCCCUGGUAAGACCAUCAAGGCCCUCCUUUCCACAUGUUUUCAUUUCCAUAAUUUAUCGAUAAUUUGUAUCAUACCAUUCUCGUAUACUUGGAUCAUAGAGUAUGCUUAUACAACAAAGGUGAACAAGAAGAUCGAUGUAUAUAGCUUUGGAGUAGUCUUGCUUGAGCUUGUGACGGGAAGAGAACCCAACAAUGGGGACGAGCACAUGUGCCUUGCAGAAUGGGCAUUGGAUCAGUUUAGAGAAAGGAAAACCAUUGAGGAAGUGGUAGACGAGGAGAUCAAGGAACAAUGUGAUAGAGCACAAGUGGCCACUCUCUUCAAACUAGGCAUUAGGUGCACUAACAAAUUACCAUCCAAUAGGUCCACAAUGAAAGAGGUUUUGAAAAUUCUUCAACAGUGCAGUCCUCAAGAGGGCCAUGGAAGAAAUAAAAAGGACCAUGAAGUUGCACCUCCACUUCAAAAUGGCACUUAUCCCACCACUUACAAGUUGUGAGGAUAAAGCCCUUAAAAACAUGAUAUUAUGUAAUAAAUUUGGAACUCAUUAUUUAUUUAACGAUGUUCUGAUUUCACUUUUAUCUAUUCUUAUUCCAUGUAUUAUACUUUAUGAGCAUUCUUGUCUGCAUCUUUUGCAUUGCACGUAACUUAGGUGCAUUAAAAGUUGCACAGAAGAUCUAGGUCAUGGGUUCCUCGCAAAUAUAUGACUUGUUCACAACCAGUUCAUGGGUCUAGGAAGCCCAUUAGAGGUUGUAAAAAACCACUUCCUAAUUGGAAGAAUGGCUAGUCUUAGCUAUUGGGAUGAGUUUUCCAUGAUAAGUGCAUUAGUGUGUAUGGUUACAUAUUGGACAAGACCUAUGGUGAAUCAUGACUUAAGGUUAUCAAGCAGUCAUGACCUCAUCAAACUGCUUCAUUGUGUUGUCUCUCAACCUUGAGAGAAUAUUGAGCUUGUACUAAAGUUAGCAAUGACUUUGACAUACAGGUGAGAUCGUAAGUUGAUCAUAUAUUCCCUAUGGAUUGAGUCACUGUUGAUGGAAGAUGGUAGCGAUAGGUAUUUUCAAUAAAAACACCAUGAUGUUUCUUGGGAUUAAGACAAUGUGCCCCUUUUGGUGAUCUUAAAGAGGUGUGUUCAUGGAAACUAUGGUCAUAGUAGUUCCUUAAGUAAAAAUCGACAUAGGCUCUUUGAGAGGUAAGACAUGUCAAUUGAAUACACAAUAGGAGGAUUUAUAACUCAAGGAUGGUAGAGGUAGUCUUGAAAGACUAAUAACUUUCACUUUGUUAGACUAUGAAUAUCAGUUCAUGGGAAGACUAAACACAAUAAAUAGCAAGUCACAAACCUGAACAUUUGGUAUCUCAUUGUUAUUUUCAAUAAAAUAACAAUGAGAUGGUAAGUUGAUCAUAUAUACCCUAUGGAUUGGGUCACUGUUGAUGGAAGAUGGUAGCAAUAGGUAUUUUCAAUAAAAGCACCAUAAUAUCUCUUGGGAUUAAGACAUUGUGCCCCCUUGGGUGAUCCUAAAGAAGUGUGUUCAUGGAAACUAUAGUCAUAGUAAUUCCUUAAGUAAAACUCAACAUAAGCUUUUUGAGAGCUAAGACAUGUCAAUUGAAUACACACUAGGAGGAUUUCUAACUCAAGGAUGAUAGAGGUAGCCUUGAAAGACUAAUAACUUUCACUUUGUUAGACUACGAACAUCAGUUCAUGGGGAGACUAAACACAAUAAAUAGCAAGUCACAAGCUCGAGCAUUUGGUAUCUCAUUGUUAUUUACAUAGGAUACCGGAGUUCAAUUGAUUCUUUGUAGUGGGAUGUUGAAUCAACUUUAGAAUUGGAUUUUGAGAGAGUCGGUAUUCCUAUGGGUCCCAAUGGUCCUUACUCUAAGCUUAUAUACUUUGUUGGCAAGGAUUAUAAGAGUCGGAUUAGCUCUAGGUUUACUUUUGUACAUAAGGGCAUUUUGAUAAUUACGCAAGGUUACACAAAGGUAAAUGAACAAGGUUUUUAGAUUGGGUUAAUUGAUUAAUUAGUAGGCCCUGUUUGGUUAAUUAAUCAAUUAGGACUUUCUAUAUUAAGUGACCUAAGCCCUUAGUGGGCUCAAGUCACUUAAACCUAAUAGAAAACCCUAUAAAUACCCCCUUAAGGGUUAGAGUUUAUAUAGUUUUUCUAAAAAGCCAUCUUCUAUCUCUAAAGAGAAAGAGAAAGAGUCAUAGCAUCCACCCUCCCUUCUAUCUCCACUAGAAGUGUGUCGAUCAAGGUUCAAGUCAUUGGGAGGAAAACUUUGAAUUUACGAGACUUCUGCGAUUUCGUUCUUCAUUUUCACAAUGUGGAUUUGAUUCGAGAACAUCCGAAUUUGAGGUAUGGUUUUCAUUAGCACUUUUUGAAUCCCUUUAAAGUUUAAAAAUGUUAUUUUUCCGUUGUGCAUAGGAUUAAUUUAGAAAAUGCUUAGAAUAGUUAUGCAAGUUCCUAACCUGAUCUGAGCUUAGGAAAUGGAGAGAACCUAGUUUUUUCCCUUAAUGUUUGUGCUCCAAAGUGUUGAGAUAGUUUAGAGGGUGACAUGAUGAUUGACAUAAUACCUUAUGUGGAGAACCUAGUGAAUCCCUUCUCCAAGACAUUGAUAGGGAGAGUCUUUGUUAGUCACAUGGAUAGCAUAGGUUUUAAAUGAGUAUUUGGCAUGCUUUAAAGGCAUGAUGCUUUGAGGGCUAAUGGGAGAAUGUUAGGAUAAAGCCCUUAAAAGCAUGACAUGAUGUAAAAAAUUUGGAAUUCAUUAUUUAUUUAAUGAUGUUCUAGUUUCACUUUUAUCAAUCCUUAUUCCAUGUAUUAUACUUUAUGAGCAUUCUUAUUUGCAUUUUUUGCAUUGUACAUGACUUAAGUGCAUUAGGAGUUACAUAGAAGAUCUAAGUCAUGGGUUUCUUGCAAAUAAAUGACUUGUUCACAACUGAUUCAUGGGUCUAGGCAACCCACUAGAGGUUGUAGUGCAUCAUACCACCUUCUAAUUGGAGGGAUGACUAGUCUUAAUUAUCAGGAUGAGUUUCCCAUGGUGAGUGCAUUACUGUGUAUGGUUACACAUUAGACAAGACCUAUGGUGAGUCAUGACUUAAGGCUAUCAAGUAGUCAUGACCUUACCAACCAACUUCAUUGUGUUAUCUCUCAACCUUAAAAGAAUAUUCAGUUUAUACUAAAGUUAAUAAACUGAAGUUAGCAAUGGCUUUGACAUACGAGUGAGAUCAUAAGCUAAUCAUAUAUUCCCUAUGGAUUGGGUCAUUAUUGAUGGAAGGCGUGAAAGGCAGACGCCCGGGCACGCAAAGCCCGUCUCAACGAACGGGAGGAGAAAAGGCAAGAAGGAACUUUGCGGAAGGCUCUUGGUGAUAAACGCCCCGCAUCCCCUCCACCUGCUGGCGCACUAGAUAAAAAGAAGAAGAAGCAGGUUUUCAACAAGGGAAAAGAAAUAAAACUCUCAUCUCCCCCAAAGGAAGUUGUAAUACCACCUCCAACUUUCGUAAGAGGAAUAACAAUAAGAACGCCAGAUCUCUCCGUUUUGCCCUCUGUUUCAAGCGGCUCCAGACAUAUCGCGUAUCUAAAUGGAUCGGGGCCUUCAGUGCCAGUGCCAGCGGCUAGACGGCUGGCUCUUCUGGCUGAGGAAGCGACUUCAGUGAAUCAGCCCGACUCUCCUUAUCCGGACGCGAAUGUAGCCGGGGCCUCUUGUACUUAAACGUUGCUUCUUAUGGCGCCUUUAACGGAAGAAACAGGGGUUGAAAGUCAGGGUUUGCCUCAUUGCGAACCAAGCUUCCUUGCCCUUGUACCGGUGAAGGGGCCAGCUAUAAGGAGGUCUCAUCCGGCCCGUGAUUUAAAGUCUGGCAUUAGCGGGCGGCUUCAGGACAUUCUUCUGGAAACCAUCGAAGUCAGCUGCUCAUCCGCCCAGGAGGAUCAUCCGGAGGAGAGUGAGACGGAGAUGGCAGAAGAGAACCCAACCGCCCCGGUGCUGGUCCCGGAUGAGGGUUCACCCGAAGAGAUCCAGCCGGCCGUGAAUAAUGGGGCCCUAGAUCCGAGGGAGGAGUCACACCCUACCGCCUCGUCAAGGGGAAGUCUAGUUGAUGAUGCGGCUUGCAUCUCCGCUAGCCCUUUCAAUUAUGCGGAGUUGGGAGAGAUGCUGAAACGGAUUCCACCCGGCUCAGAUGUUGAUGUGCCUUCAGCAAAAAUGUUUGAAGUGGCGGAAAUGGUAUAGUUUUACUUCUUGAUUUUUCUUGCCAUACUGAUGUGUUUGUCACAUGGGUUGUAAUUUUGUACUUCUUGUUUGUGGGUUUUUCUGCAGCUGGUGAGCGGUAUUCGUGGCAUGGCUUAACAACAUGAUCUUUUUUCAGACCUGCUGCGUACUGCCGAUUAUAUGAAGGUCUUCGUCUCCCAUCGCAUAAACAGUAAAGAAGAACUGCGCUUGAGAUUGGAGCAGGCCGAAGCUAGUUUAUCCGCUGCCCGGAGGGCCUCUGAAGAGAGUGUCGAAGCUUUGAAGAAAUCCCAAGAGGACAACGAGGUUCUCCGGGUAGAGCUAGCUGAGCCAAAGAGUCGGGAGGAAUCUACAGACGCCCGUCUGCAUGAGGCGGAGGGUGAGAUGGCCCAGUUGAGGGGAGAAGUGAGGCAACUCCGGACAGAGGUGUCCAUUGAGAAAAAGCAGAGAGAGGACUUGCAGUUGCGUUUAUCAGCGCAAAAAGAAGAGUUCGAGGCUGAGUUUGCUGCGAAAAGGGAGGAACUCGAGACGAACUACCAGAAGUAGGUAGAUGAGAUGUAUAUCUUUGGCUACCGCUGUUGCAUGAAGAAGCAUGGCAUCAAACGGGACGUCCCUUCGAUUCCCCCGGGUGAGGAAGAAAAGUUGCGUCGCAAGCCCUCCCAAUGAGAGUUUUUCUUUUUUUAUCUUUUAUUGCUUUUUUCUUUUUGUAUUUUGUAGUCCGGAGAACCUUUUUUGUAUACAAUUUUCACAAGUAUUAAUAAAACAUACUCAUUCACAUUGUACUUGUAUCUUUCUUUCAUUAGUAAUACUGCUUUAAAUUGGACACAUUCCAUGGUCGGAGCAAUGGGGUUCCAUCUAGCUUUUGUAGAUGAUAGACUCCAUUUUCACUUGUCUUGGAUACUAUAUAGGGGCCUUCCCAAUUGGCUUGAAACUUUCCUGCUCCUGUCUCAACAGUGUUUUCGAAAACCUUCCUAAAGACCAGCAUUCCACUUUUGAAACUUCUGGGCCUUGCUUUGCGAUUGUAGUGAGCGGCUGCCCUUUGUUGAUAGUCUGCCAUCCGGAUGGAUGCGGUUUCUCUUACUUCGUCUGCCCAGUCCAAGUUUCUUCCUAACUUCGCACUUGCAUUAUCCUGACUUCCUGCCUCGGUCCGGAUAGUGGGUAGCCCUAUUUCAGUAAGAAUGACUGCGUCCAUACCGUAUGCGAGGGCGAAGGGAGUGUUUCCUGUCGGACGUCCGGGUGUGGUUCGAUAAGCCCACAGGACGCCGGGUAGCUCCUCUACCCAUUUCCCUUUGGCUUGCUCGAGCCUCUUCUUUAAGGCAGUUAUUAGGGUCUUGUUUGUGGCCUCUGCUUGUCCAUUGCUUUGAGGAUAACGCGGUGUGGAGUAUGCAUUUCGGAUGUUUAGUUCCGAAUAGAAAUCCCGAAAAGUUUUGCUAUCGAAUUGUGGACCGUUGUAGGCUAUAAUGGUUUGGGGGAUUCCAAAGCGGCAGAUGAUGUUCUUCCAUACGAACUUGGUGACAUCUUUGUCUUUGAUGCUAGCGUAUGCUUCUACUUCCACCCAUUUACUGAAGUAAUCCAUGGCGACGAGUAGGAAUUUUUUCUGGGCAGCUGCGGCUGGUAGGGGUCCUACUAUGUCCAUGCCCCACUGCGCGAAAGGCCAGGGACCUGAAAUUGGUUUCCACGUCUCCGACGGCACAUGUGGUAUGGGGACAUGCCUUUGACAUUUGUCACAUUUUUUUACGUAGGCUGCCGCAUCCUUUUUCAUCGUGGGCCAGUAAUACCCUUGCGAAUAGGCCCUGUGCGCCAGAGAUCGACCUCCAGAAUGAUUUCCACAUACUCCCUCGUGCAAUUCAGCUAAUACAUACAGGGCCUCUUAGUGGUUUAGGCACCGGAGAUAGGGACCUGUGAAGGACUGUUUAUACAAAUGCCCCCCAAUCAGGGUGAAACGGGCGGCUUGUAGCUUGUGUGUCUGCUUGGGCUCUUCGAGCAGAGUGCCUGUCUGGAGGUACCUUAUAAUGUCUUCCGUCCACUCUUGGCCGUCUGCUUGGUUUGCCUCAAUGGUAUUGCAAAUGGAAGCUUCUGUGACGGAAGGGUUGACUUGCACAUGUAUAGGCAACAAUAUGGCUUCUUUGAUGGGGAGGGAGGCAGCUAUGCCUGCCAGGGCGUCGACACGUCCAUUUUCAGCUCGUUUAAUUUUUUCGAUCGUCCAUUCGGUGAACCGUUGUAAGGUGUCCCUUACUUUAGUCAGAUACAGUGCCAUGCGCGCAUUCUUAGCUUCGUAUUCCUUUUGGACGUGCCUUACCACGAGUUGAGAAUCACUAUAGACCCGGAGCCUUGAGACGGAUAGAGCCAGGACGAGGUCCAAUCCGAAUAGAAUGGCCUUAUACUCCGCUUCAUUGUUAGAGACGGGAAACCCCAGCCGGAUGGCUUGCUCCAGAUGUUCUCCUGUUGGGGACUAUAGCAGGAGCCCUACUCCGGAUCCUGAUGAUCAGGAGGUUCCAUCGACCCGCAAAGUCCACCACUCUUUUUCACUUGGUUCCUUGUGCUGGGUAGGCUUUUGGGAGUAUUCCAGCACAAAGUCAGCCAUCACUUGACCUUUCAUGGACAACCUGGGUUGGAACUCAAUUCCAUAUUCGCUCAACUCUAUGGCCCAUUGAAGCAUUCUUCUGGUUAGGUCCGGCUUAUGCAAAAUGUUGCAAAGAGGUUGGUCUGUUAGCACGACCACCGGGUGGGCUUGGAAGUAAGGGCGGAGCUUCUAGGCGGCACUUCAAAGAGCUAAGGUCAUUAGCUCCAUCUUUGAAUACCUGGUUUCUACGUCCGUCAACGCUCUGCUGACGUAGUAGAUAGGUUUCUGCUCCUUAGGUGAGGAGCAGCAGAAUAGAACAACGCUAAUUGCUCACUCCGAUACAGCCAAAUACAUAUACAAUUUUUCUUCAGGGAGGGGGUUGCUUAGGAUGGGCGGUUGCAUGAGGCAGUGUUUAAUUUUUUUCAAAAGCGCUCUAACAGCUGUCUGUCCAUCCGCUUGCUCCAUUUUUUCAUAUUGCCAAGAAGAAAGGUCGCAGUUCAUCAAUGAAGCGGGCUAUAAAGCGUCCUAGCGCGACGAGCUUGCCUAUGAGGCGCUAUAAUUCCUUCUUGCUCCUGGGGGGUGGUGUUUCCAUGACUGCCUUGACUUGAUCCGGGCUGACCUCUAUCCCCCUUUGGCUGACCAUAAAUCCUAGGAAUUUGCCAGCACUUACGCCAAAGGCGUAUUUAGAAGGAUUCAACCUCAUGUCAUACUUCUUUAAGAGGUGGAAGACUUCUUGCAAGUGGAGGACAUGUUCCUCUCGGGUUUUGCUUUUAACCACGAUAUCGUCAAUAUAUACCUCUACUGUGCGGCUGACCAGAGGUUUGAAGAUCUUUGUCAUCAGUCUCUAAUAAGUGGCGCCAGCGUUUUUGAGUCCGAACGGCAUGACUUUGUAGCAAUAAAGGUCGUGUGGUGUUAUGAAGGCUGUCUUUUCUUCGUCAGCCAGGGACAUGGGGAUUUGGUGGUAUCCGGAGAAGGCGUCCAAGAAGGAAAGCAUCCCUUGCCCAGUAGUGGAGUCCACAAUUUGAUCUAUCCGUGGCAAAGGGAAACUGUCUUUUGGGCAUGCAUUAUUGAGGUUGGUGUAGUCGACGCACACCCGCCAUUUGCCUUCUUUUUUGGGUACCACCACUACAUUUGCCAACCAGUCCAGGUAAUCCACUUCUCUGAUGAAUCCGACUUCUAACAAAUUGUCAAUCUCAUUCCAGAUAAUUUUUUGUCUGUCCGGGUGAAAACGUCUAACCCUCUGUCAGACGAGUCUUGCUAUGGGCAAGACAUUAAGCUUAUGGGAGACGAUGGAGGGGUGAAUCCCCUUCAUAUCAUAAUGCGCCCAUGCGAAAAUGUCAUGGCUUUGUUGGAGGGCGUUUUGGAUGUUCCGGGUCUCUUCUAGAGUUAGGAGAGAACUGAUAUAUGUAAGGUGAGUAAGUACCUUCUUUCGAAAUUUGGAUCGCCUGCAAGGGAUCCGCUUCCGGGGGAUCUUUGUCUGUCAGACUCAAUAAUUGCUAUUGGUCACGUGCAUGGCUGGACUCAGGGAGGGAUGCAUCCUCCUGGCUGGUCUCUGCUUCUCGUGCUAUCUAGUAGCAUUGGUGAGCAGCUAACUGGCUGCCGUAUAAGUCAAUUUGCCCAUCCUUGGUAAGGAAGCUUACCAUUUGAUGAUAUGUAGAGGGGAUGGCUUUCAUGUAGUGCAGCCAUGUGCGCCCCAAGAUGACAUUGAAGGAUGAUAAGUCUUGUACCACCAAAAAUUGUACGUUGAGAAUGACUAGGUCAGCUUGGACCGGCAGUACAAUGUCUCCCAAUGAAGUAGUUGACGCCCCGUUGAAUCCGGACAAGAUUCGCCCAGGUUUUUCGAGGCCUGUGAGACUGUGCCCCAUGUGGCUAACGACCGAUGCUUGUACAAGAUCGGCCAAGCUGCACGGGUCAAUUAGGAUGCGUCGCACGUCGAAAUCUCCUAUCUCUAGGGACAGGAUGAGGGCGUCGCGGUGCGGCUGUAAUAUCCGGGUGGGGUCUACUGGUAGGAAAAUGAUUGUCCCAUCUAUGGGGCGAGGGCCCCCCCAGUUAUCCUAGGCCGGAUGGAGUUGACACACUCGCGCACCGAUGCUGGUCGCAACAACUUUUGUCUCUUUCGUUUGGAAUCGUACUCCUCGUCGGAUGGGCCUCCGUUAAUAUAGUUUAUAACGGCUUUAGAGGUGGUUGGGGCCCUAGGGGCUCCAGAGUUGUGAUUUCGAGAAGCGUCUUCACCUCUGGCAUCUGAGCGGAGGUAUUGCUUUAAAUGUCCCGCCUUUAUGAGCCUUUCGACCAAAUGAUGGAGACACCUGCACGCCUCCGUUGUGUGACCAUGCUCCUUAUGGAAGACACCUGAACUCUCCUCUGGGAUUCAGCAAUUUAUGAAUGUAUCUUUAGGCCCAUGUAGAUAAAUCCAUGCUUGGUGGUAGUAUGCUUAUUGAUGAUAGUCUAGAGAUGUGGAAAUCAAAUGAUUCUGAUGAACUAAAUUUGAUGCGUGAUGAGAUAGAUGACGUGUUAUCUAAGGAUCACAAAGUUCAUCAAUAGAAACUCGUUUGAUGAUGCGUCAAUCUGAUGGAGAGAAUCCGUUGAUAAAAAAUGAUGAAAUGCCAAUUUGAAGAUAAUGACUGCGAUUCAUCUCCGAAGAUGAAUCUAAUGAGAACGUUCAGGAUUCAGAAAUGGAGAGCUAUAAUGGCAGUGGUGAUUUGCAACAACAUCGAUCUCUGGUGGCAGUGACAGCAAACUCUAAUGGUGGUAAACUACGCCGACAGAGACAAUCUCCAUGAAUUGCGCAACAAACUUCAAUGGCGAUCUCCAGUGGUGGUGAUGAAUUCUCCUACAACAAUGAACUCUCAUUCUCCUGUAGAGAUGAACUCUCAGAUGUCGGUGAAUUAUUUUUAUAUAUUUUUUUAAUAAAUUUUAAAUGAAAUAAAAUAAAUAAAUAAAUUUUAAAUCAAUAAAUUAAUUUUAUAUAUUUUUUUAAACUCAUUUAACUUAUUUUAAAUUUUCAAUUAUAAAAUUAAAUAAUUUGAAAAUAUAUAAAUUUAUAACUAAUUUUAAUUAUAUUUUAUUUUCUUUUAUAAUUUUCAUAUAUAGUAUAACCAAUACCAAUGUUUUCAAAAUCAGACCGCUGCUUGAACCGGAAAAGUUACCGGUUCACGAUUCACGAUUCACGAUUCAUUAAUUGAACUGGUGGUCAAACCGUAGUCAAAUCAAUGACAUCAUAAAUAAUAAUUUUUUUCUUUUUUCUCACUAACUAAUCCCACAUCGGAAAUGGAUAAAAAAUAUGUAGGAAUUGUGGUAUAAAAGGCAAGCUAGAAUCAUUAACUUGCAAGACUAAAAGCUUAUUGGGCUUGAUGACAAACAAGUUGGAUGGGCUCCUCAUGGAGUGAUCCGGUUCUCUUAUGGUAUCAAAACCUUUUUUUUUUUGUUUUAAAAUAAAUAAAUAAAUAAAUUGUUCGGUUCGCUAAGAAUCGCCUGGUUGGGGCGGUUCACUAGCUCAACCACUGGUUUGAUGCCCAAACGGUUUUUUGGGUGGACCAAACUGGUUUUGUUACCGAUCGGACCAACUGGUCCGGUCCAAUUUUUAAAUCAUUAUCAAAUACAAUAAAAUAAUUUUUUUUAACAUUUUUUUUAUUUUUUUAGUACUUCUCAAAAAUCAAACAUAAUCAUAAGACUAAUCAUAUUUUUUAUCAUAAUAUCAUUCGAAGACAAUGCCCCAAGUGAGAAUCCCAAAACUUUUCAAUGUUUUACUAAUAUUAAGAUUUUGAAAAUCUAUACAAUUUAUUUUUCUUUUUCUUUUUUUAAUAUUUGGAUGAUAGUGCAUGAGUAUACAAGAAAGGUCAACGCAAAGAUCAAUGUCUACAAUCUUGAAAUUGCACUUCCAGAGUUGGGCCCUAAAAGAGAACCCAAUAAGGGGAAGGGGCAGCGUAUAAACCUUGUUCAAUGGGCAUGAAAACACCUUGGAGAAGGAAAGUCAUUCCUCUACCGGUUGACUAAUAAUUUGAUGGUAAUGACAGUAGUUCGGAUCAUUAACAUGACUCAUUUCUUCUAAACAUUUGCACUUAGGUAGCUCAAUAACUUUUUUAUGGAAUAGGUCUUCCAACAUGUUAGGCACAUCAGAGUCAGGAAAAUGAUAUUUCUUAUCCUUUAAUUCCUUCAAGGUGAAUCGACGCCUCUCAUUUUCCUAAAUUGGUCUAGUCUCUCUUACUUCCUUCUUUUUAUCUCGUGCUGAGAUUUUGAUGGGCGUUAUAUUUACUGUCAUUGACUUGUGGAUGGGUUUUAUUGAGGCCCGAUCACUUGUUUUCUCAUCAUGUCUCUCUCUUUACCGAUCAACAAUUAAUAAGGUCUUUUUUAGCACCAUGGUUAGCUAUGUUGAGCUUCAUGUCAUGUGCUCAAGUAGUUAACUGUUCAAAAAUGUGAGGUCAUAUCCCUUAGAGGAUGUACAAAACACCCCAAUGCAUUCCUUGUAUGCACAUUUCCAUGGCUGAUACAUCAAAUAAUCUAUCUUUGUAGUCGAAACUUAAAGAACGCCAAUGAUUGACGUAGUUUACGACCGGCUCAUAUUUCCAUUGCUUAGUAUUAGUAAGCUCCAUCAUGCUUACAGUCCGUCGGGUGCUAUAGAAAUGGUUGAGGAAUUUGCAUUCCAUUUGGCUCUAACUAUCGAUACACUUAGGUGUAAGGUCUAUGUACUAAUGAAAGCAUUCCCUCAAAAGGAACGAACAAAUUGUUUAACUAACAAGUCACUAUGUGCACUUGCAUUGUUAGAAGUUUUAACGAAAUGACAUGUUGUUUUGGAUUUCUCUUCCCAUAAAAUGAUUGAAACUUUGGAGGUUGAUAACCUACAAGCAUACAUAGGUUAUCAAUCCUCUUAGUGUAAGGUUUAGAGUACAUAAGUGUACUCUGUGAGGGUCCAUCGUACCGCACUCUAAUGGUGUUAGUUAUUAUGUCUUGAAGUUGCUAGACAGAUAACAACUCCAUCGAGGCAAAUUCCAUCAUUUUUCUUUCGACUUGCACUGUUCUAGAUGCAUGUGGUGCAUCAUCGAGAAGAGAUGCAACAUUCAAAAGGUGGUUAAGUCUUUAACUUGACUCACUUGUAUUUUGUACUUGUGCCUCAACCUUGUUUAUGAGAGAGGCUAUCUGCAUAUCAUUCUCCUCGACUAUCGUAGUGAAUUUGGUAAUGGUGUCAGUCAUCUCUACCAAUUGUUCCUCUAUAGAUGUAGUACCAACUGUCAUUACCGGCAUAGUCAUUGAGAUGAGAAAAAUAAAAUAGUCGAAAUGAUUGGAGUAGUUUUCCUCAUUCGACAUUCCAAUUGGUGAUUCGGAGUGUGAGCUGGUGCUAGAGUUAAUAUUGGUAAUAAAGCAAGGAGACUCAUCCCGAAAGUCCUUUAGUGCUAAAGAGAGUUUUCCCCUACUAUGAGGAUUGUGGCUCUUUGCCCCUAAGGAGGCCAAAGUGAUGAAUGGUUGGUGUUCAUCAUGUGUCCUUACCGAUUUUAGUAGACAAGUAGACCUAUUUAUUUCGUUGAAAGUGAAGAUGUUGAUUUUGAUUUGCUACGAGUCAUGGGACCCAUAGCAGUGUUGUGUGUUGAUUAUGCAAUGAUGAUCUUGUCAUUGUCCUUGUUGACAUGCACAACUUGAGUUCUUUUGGAUAUCAUCAACGUAGUAGAGAUCAAUCUUCUAACAAAAGAUAUGAGAGGCAGAGAGAUCCCAUCAAACAUGCUAGAAAUUUGUAUGCACAAAUUUCAUAAAGGUCCUGCAAAAUUAGCAAAACAAUACGAAAAUAAUGUGAACAAAAUAUUUAUCAAAAUUAAAAAUAUUGUGGUAUAAUAUAAAAAAUAAUACUCUUUACAAAACAAUAUUUUUUUCUCUAAUUUUUUUUGCCUUGAUCACAAUUUGAAAGACGACAAUGUCGUUUUCUUAUUUUGAAGAUUAAUUGAGGGCCACAAGUGACUUAUUCCUAAAUGAACACGUUGAAUGAUGAAGAACGCAUGUAGCAAUUCUAUCAUUUGCCGAACCUAUAGGGAGAUUCGAUGAUUUUUUUUUUUUUUUUUUUUUGUAAAGCCUUUUUUCCCAUACAAAGUUACCUCUAGAUUUUCUUCUUUAGGAUUUUCUUUUCUAGAUUUUUCUAAUUUUUGAGUUUCUCCCAUUUCUUGAAAGAAUUCACCUCUAUUUAUAGGUGAAGGUAGGAAAUUCGAAUUUUGAAUUCCCAAAUUUUAGUUGCUUAAUUCAAGGAAUUUAGUUAACUUUUCUUCUUGAGAAGGUUUCUCAUGAUGAUGAUGAUGAUAAUAAUAAUAAUAAUAAUAAUAAUAAUAUUUUUUUAAUUAUCAUUAUUAUUAUAUUUUCGAUUUUUUUAGGAAACUUAUUCGUAAUAGGAUAUUUAUUUAUUUAUUUAUUUUGAAUAUCAAAUUAGUGGUAAUUAAUCCACUAAAAUUUUUAUGUCUACAUCCUUAUCCACAAGUGUAGAGACAAAUAUGUCGUAAGUAAAUAAACUAUGAAUGACUUCAUUUGAGCUUAAAAUAAUAAAUUAAGCAAAUAAGCAUGUAGUAAAAUUAGAACUUACGACCCUCCUACUAAAUAAAGCUCUAAUAAUAUGUUGGAUAAUUGAUUUUUUUAAAAGCUUAAACUUAAGAUUUGCAUCCCGAUGGAUGUGCAUCAUGUUUUCUAAUAAUAUAUCACAUACUUUUCUAGAUUUUAUGUUAGACUUGUGAUUACUUCUCUAAAUUAAUUUUUCAGCAUAUUGUAUAUAUGCAUUUGUUAGGAUGAAUCAAUUAUCAAUCAAUGCAGAAAUACAAGUACUCCUCAUAGAGCCUCUCUACUUAUUUCCACUACAACAGCUUAGUUGGUUGAACUUAAAAGAAUUCCUAAGUGCUUUCACAAAUGUUUUGAACUUCAAACCUGCACAAAGAUGGAAACCAUAUCAUUGAAAUAAUUAAAACAAAUCAACUGAAAUCAAACUGCUAUUGCCUUGUUUAAAAAUUUAAAGAAAAAAACAAAAAAAAAAUCAUGGGCUUUUACGCAAAACUUAACAGUAGGGUUCCCAAAGUUCAUUAUUCAGAAUACUAACAAGUGUCAUGUAUCAGUUCAACUCGGCACCUUCUUCCAUAAAUAAAUUAUAUUUGCUUUGGAAGAAAACUUGAGUUUUGAACAAAUAUAAUAUAUUUGAAAAAAAAAUCCAUAAAAUGGAUCUUCAAUCAAAAUAAUUCUCAAAAUAGUGUAUUUGUACUUGGGCAUCCAAAUAGUUUGAGAAUAUUUUUUAUGUGAUAAAAUCCUAAUUGAUAACUAUGAUUUUAAUUUAUUUUUUUUAAAUAUAAAACCGCUGUUGGUAAUUAUAGUUUUAACCAUUUUAAAAGAAAAUUCAAAAUCAUAAUUAACAACUAUAGUUUUAUAAGGUGGAUAUGUUAGCUCUUUUCUUAUAAUGUGUGAUCAUAUAUAAUUAUAUUUGUGUAAAUAUUAUUUAAGAGUAUCAAUUGAUAGAUAGGUGAAUCAAUUGAUUGGGCAUUCAAGAGUCUUAUGUAUGGAAGACUCAAAUUAUAAAUGGGGAGUUAGAAAAUUUAAUUUAUAUGAAUGUGGUGUUUAUAACCCCAUCAUUAUGAAAUUUAUUUUGUACAUUAUAUUUAUGAGUAAUAGAGGAAAAUGAAAAACUAUAACCUAUGCAUUUAUAUAAAUGCAUUCAAGUUCAUAACUCACCAUUACCCAUUAAUUUGUACAUAAUAGGUGUAAAUAAUGAGUAUAACUCUCGUAUAAUCUUUUAUAAGAAGACUAAGAGAUGUACAACUUUUUAUAAGUUAAGGUCUCAAGUCACAUUCUCAUUCUUAUGUCAUUUUGUUGUUUUAUUUUUUAACAACAUACACCACAUAAGUGACUCAUCCACUAUAUGAGAGUAGUGAGUUGAAGACUUUGACAAUACAAUUCACAAAAUGAUUCAAUUUCACUUCAAAAAUGAUAUUGAUAUUAUGGAUCAAGGUAAGAAUAUGAUCAUUAUUUUAAUAUUUAUAUUUAUUUUGUUUUAUGCAUUCAAAAUUAUUUUUUUUUAAAUAAUGAUUUCCACAUAAAGUUUAUAAAAGUUUAGUUAACAGGAAACCCAUGUGGAUGAGAUGCACUAAAAUUAUUCUGAGAUGGAAUCUAACCUGUGGAAUUUUUUUUAAAUAAAUUAUUUUUGUUCAAAACUUAGAAAAAAAAACUUGUUGAAAACUAAAUUCAACUAUACACUUUCGUAUUUUUCUUUUUAUAAGAUCAAAUCCACGUUAUCACUUUUCCACUAGAAUCCUCAUGAUUAAUUGUAGAAUUCUUGAGAUGAAAUGAAAUGGUUGUUGAAACUUCAGUUUUCAAUCUUGAUCAAUGUUGUCCCUUCCCUUAGCUGUGCAUUAUUCCAAUGCCAGUUUUUCUCCACAAACUUAGUCCAGAGACAAGAUUAGAUUCCGUGUGGAACCAUUCAUGUGUGGAUCCCGUUGUGAGACUUGACCAUCAAUAUCCUUCUCUCCAUUUGUGGGGUACUGCCCACGUGACCACUGCUUUGGAAAUUUGAGUAACACACCUAAAUUCUCAAAGACCCAAAACUACAGAUUUCUGCUUCAUCUUUCUCCUCAUUCAUGUGCACCUUUUCAAAGUAUUCAGUGGAGAUUGGCCCCAUCAGUCACGUUUUCCAUAAUGCAUGGUUACGUCACCAUCCAUUUGCUAAGUUGUCAUGCCUUUUUUCUACACCAACUCAGAAACCCCACCCGGCUGGUAUGGUUUUCAUUUUUUAUUUAUUUAUUUUUUUUAACCAAUAUAAAUAAGGCAUGAACCCAUCCAUUUUCAUAUCUGUACCUAAUGUUAAUAUUAAGUGAUUCUACUUAAAAAUACUUUUAGUUUAUAUUAUUAUUAUCUGUAAUACUUUUAUUAUUUAGAGAUAAUUACUUAAUAUUUAAAUAUAUAAAUAAGAAAAAAAAUUCAAAAAAACAUCCAUCAAUAUAUAAUAUAACAAAUUAUUGUCUUUAAAACCUAAUUUUUAGCAUAAAAAAAAGGUAUUUUAUCUCACUCAAAGUUACUCCCAAAUCAACUCUUAAGGAUUGUUUGAAAUUGCAAAUUUAACUUUUAUAUUGAUAAAUAAAAGAGGUAAAAGUAAUUGUUAUGUUUGAAAAUUAUAUGUCAAAAAUAUUGUUAUUAAAGAGAAAGAUAAUUUUGAAAUUUUUAGUUAAAUAAAAAUUUUCUAAAAUAUAUAUAUAUAUAUAUAUAUAUAUAUAUAUAUAUAUAUAUAUAUAUAUAUAUAUAUUUAAUGCAUAUGAAUUUCUAUUCACAUCCAAUUAUGAUCUAAUAUUCUUAUAUAAAACCUCAUUCAAUUUAACAUGAGUAUAAUUACUUAUUUUAUUAUUUAUUAAUAUAUAUUAUAAUUAAUUAAUUAAUUUAUUUAUUUUAAAAAAAAAAACUAUGAAUGAUUGAUAUUUCCAUAAAAUCAAAACGUGAUGUAGACUAAUUGGUGCCUAGCGUUGACCCAAAGUCAAGUCUUUUCUCUAGUGUGGCAUUUUACACAUUUAUUUAUGAUUACCAAGACUUGGAAAAGCAACAUUAGGAAUUGGUGUUCCCCAAUUUUUUGUCAUCAGGUUUAAAAGAUAAAAUAGAGGGUAAGACAUGGAUUUAAAUUUUAUAAUCAGAUUAAAAAACCGAAAACAAUAUCUAUAAUCAAACAAUUUCACAUGUGUUUUGAAGUUUUAUUGUUUUAUUUAUUUAUAGAUUGAUUCAACAACCUAAAUUUUAUUAUAUAUAUUUAAUGAUUUAGAUUUUUUAUUUUAUAUGUAUAUUCUCUCUCUUAACAUUUUCUCAAAUUCCAUCAAUUCAUGAGUUUCCAAGAAGUAUCCCCUACUCCACUCCAUGAAACAUAUCUUGAAAAUGAAGUUGUCCCUUAGAAUAAAAUAUCUAUCCUCAAGACUUAAGACCUCAAACCUAAAGCUAAGGAUAGACCUCCAACCACCAUCUGGAGGACAUUAAUUAGUCUUGUUUUCUUAAUUUUUAUUUUCCAACCCCACUUUAACAACCGAAAAGAUUUACUUGUCUUUAUUUAUGAUUUAAAAAUAAAUAAAUUCAACUUUAUAUUAACUUGACUUUCAAAUAUACUAUUUAACCGUUGGUUUUCAUCUUUCCCACCCAUCUUCCUCCCAACUCAUAGAGAAGCGGUAAGGAACUCAAUGUCACCAAAAUGCGGAAACCACCAUUUUUAUUUACCAAAAUUCCAUUCCCCGCUCUAUUUCUCCUCCUCGUCUUCUCCUUAACCUUUCAAGUAAUUUCCCAAAAUCUAGAUGCUGAACGAUCAAUCCUACUAGACGUUAAACAACAACUGGGCAAUCCACCGUCACUCCAAUCGUGGAAUUCCUCAUCCUCGCCCUGUGAUUGGCCGGAAAUUACAUGCAUCGACAAUAUCGUCACUGAAAUUUCACUCAGCUACAAGACCAUCACAAAGAAAAUUCCGGCCAGAAUUUGUGACCUCAAGAACCUAAUCGUACUUGACGUCUCCUACAAUUACAUUCCAGGCGAGUUCCCGGAUAUUCUCAAUUGCUCUAAGCUCGAAUAUCUCCUCUUGUUGCAAAACUCCUUCGUGGGUCCAAUUCCAGCUGAUAUUGAUCGACUUUCACGUCUCCGAUACCUAGACCUCACCGCAAACAACUUCUCUGGAGAUAUUCCCGUAGCAAUUGGGCGGCUACGGGAGCUGUUCUACUUGUUUCUGGUUCAAAAUGAGUUCAACGGCACCUGGCCAACGGAGAUUGGUAAUUUGUCAAAUCUUGAACAAUUGGCCAUGGCCUAUAAUGACAAAUUCCGGCCUUCAGCCCUUCCAAAGGAGUUUGGCGCAUUGAAGAAGCUGAAGUAUCUGUGGAUGACGAAGGCAAAUUUGAUGGGCGAAAUACCGGAGAGCUUCAACAAUCUAUCGAGUCUGGAACUCUUGGACCUCUCAAACAACAAAUUGGAAGGUACGAUCCCGGGAGGCAUGCUUACAUUGAAGAAUUUGAACUAUUUUCUUUUAUUCAUUAAUAGAUUGUCCGGCCACAUUCCUUCAUCCAUAGAAGCUCUCAACUUGAAAGAAAUUGAUCUUUCCGACAACCAUUUGACGGGGUCCAUACCAGCGGGUUUCGGGAAGCUACAAAAUUUGACGGGUUUGAAUCUUUUCUGGAAUCAGUUGUCAGGAGAGAUACCAGCAAAUAUAAGCCUCAUUCCUACACUUGAAACUUUCAAAGUUUUUAGCAAUCAAUUGAGUGGAGUUUUACCUCCAGCAUUUGGCCUUCAUUCGGAGCUCAAACUCUUUGAGGUUUCCGAGAAUAAACUAAGCGGGGAAUUACCUCAACAUUUAUGCGCUAGGGGGACUUUGCUUGGAGUGGUCGCUUCCAACAACAAUCUCAGCGGGGAAGUGCCCACGUCCCUCGGGAAUUGCACAAGUUUGCUCACCAUUCAACUUUCCAACAAUCGUUUUUCAGGCGGGAUUCCUUCCGGCAUCUGGACAUCCCCGGACAUGGUAUCGGUGAUGUUAGAUGGAAAUUCAUUCUCAGGGACACUUCCAAGUAAAUUGGCAAGGAAUUUGUCUAGAGUGGAGAUCGCUAACAACAAGUUUUAUGGUCCAAUUCCUGCUGAAAUCUCUUCCUGGAUGAACAUCUCUGUGCUCAAUGCCAGCAACAAUAUGUUGUCUGGAAAAAUUCCAGUGGAAUUGACCAGUCUUUGGAACAUCACUGUUCUGUUGCUUGAUGGGAAUCAAUUCUCGGGUGAACUUCCAUCCCAGAUCAUCUCAUGGAAGUCGCUCAAUAAGUUAAAUCUCUCAAGAAACAAACUUUCUGGCCUAAUUCCCAAGGCAUUAGGUUCUUUAACUAGCCUUAGUUACCUCGACCUGUCAGAAAACCAGUUCUCAGGUCAAAUUCCUCCUGAACUUGGCCAUUUGAACCUUAUUAUCCUCCAUCUUUCGUCCAACCAACUGUCUGGGAUGGUCCCCAUUGAGUUUCAACAUGAAGCAUAUGAAGACAGUUUCUUGAACAAUCCCAAGUUGUGUGUCAAUGUUCCCACUUUGAACCUCCCUAGAUGUGAUGCCAAACCCGUCAACUCCGACAAAUUGUCAACCAAAUAUCUCGUUUUCGCUCUAUCUGGUUUCCUAGCUGUUGUUUUCGUCACCCUGUCCAUGGUUCAUGUCUAUCAUAGGAAGAAUCACAAUCAGGAGCAUACAGCUUGGAAAUUUACUCCAUACCAUAAACUAGAUCUCGAUGAAUACAACAUAUUGUCCAGUUUGACAGAAAAUAAUCUGAUCGGAUGUGGUGGGUCAGGGAAAGUAUACCGAGUUGCUAAUAACCGUUCUGGUGAACUCUUAGCGGUUAAAAUGAUUUGUAAUAAUAGGAGAUUGGAUCAAAAGCUUCAGAAACAAUUCGAAACAGAAGUCAAGAUAUUGAGCACCAUACGCCAUGCCAAUAUAGUGAAGUUGUUGUGCUGCAUAUCAAAUGAAACCUCAAGUCUUCUUGUUUACGAGUACAUGCAGAAGCAGAGUUUGGAUAGAUGGCUUCAUGGGAAGAAGCAGAGAACAUCGUCCAUGACAAGUUCAGUUCAUAACUUUGUCUUGGAUUGGCCAACAAGGUUGCAGAUUGCUAUCGGAGCUGCAAAAGGCCUAUGCCACAUGCAUGAAAACUGCUCUGCCCCGAUCAUACAUCGAGAUGUGAAGUCCAGCAACAUCUUGCUAGAUGCCGAGUUCAACGCGAAAAUUGCAGAUUUUGGAUUGGCCAAGAUGUUGGUCAAGCAAGGAGAGCCAGACACCAUGUCAGGAAUUGCAGGCUCUUACGGAUAUAUUGCCCCUGGUAAGACCAUCAAGGCCCUCCUUUCCAAAUGUUUUCAUUUCCAUAAUUUAUCGAUAAGUUGUAUCAUACCAUUCUUGUAUACUUGGAUGAUAGAGUAUGCUUAUACAACAAAGGUGAACAAGAAGAUCGAUGUAUAUAGCUUUGGAGUAGUCUUGCUUGAGCUUGUGACGGGGAGAGAACCCAACAAUGGGGACGAGCACGUGUGCCUUGCAGAAUGGGCAUGGGAUCAGUUCAGAGAAGAGAAAACCAUUGAGGAAGUGAUGGAUGAGGAGAUCAAGGAAGAAUGUGAUAGAGCACAAGUGGCCACUCUCUUCAAACUAGGCAUUAGGUGCACUAACAAAUUACCAUCCAAUAGGCCCACAAUGAAAGGGGUUUUGAAAAUUCUUCAACAGUGCAGUCCUCAAGAGGGCCAUGGAAGAAAUAAAAAGGACCAUGAAGUUGCACCUCCACUUCGAAAUGACACUUACCCCACCACUUACAAGUUGUGAGGAUAAAGCCCUUAAAAACAUGAUAUGAUGUAAUAAAUUUGGAAGUCAUUAUUUAUUUAAUGAUGUUCCGAUUUCACUUUUAUCUAUCCUUAUUCCAUAUAUUAUACUUUAUGAGCAUUCUUGCCUGCAUCUUUUGCAUUGCACGUAACUUAGGUGCAUUAAGAGUUGCACAGAAGAUCUAGGUCAUGGGUUCCUUGCAAAUAUAUGACUUGUUCACAACCAGUUCAUGGGUCUAGGAAGCCCAUUAGGGGUUGUAAUAAUCCACUUCCUAAUUGGAAGAAUGGCUAGUCUUAGCUAUUGGGAUGAGUUUCCCAUGGUAAGUGCAUUAGUGUGUAUGAUUACAUAUUGGACAUGACCUAUGGUGAAUCAUGAAUUAAGGUUAUCAAGCAGUCAUGACCUCAUCAAACUACUUCAUUAUAUUGUCUCUCAACCUUGAGAGAAUAUCGAGCUCGUACUAAAGUUAGCAAUGACUUUGACAUACGAGUGAGAUCGUAAGUUGAUCAUAUAUUCCCUAUGGAUUGAGUCAUUGUUGAUGGAAAAUGGUAGCAAUAGGUAUUUUCAAUAAAAACACCAUGAUGUCUCUUGGGAUUAAGACAAUGUGCCCCUUUUGGUGAUCCUAAAGAGGUGUGUUUAUGGAAACUAUGGUCAUAGUAGUUCCUUAAGUAAAACUCGACAUAGGCUCUUUGAGAGCUAAGACAUGUCAAUUGAAUACACAAUAGAAGGAUUUAUAACUCAAGGAUGGUAGAGGUAGUCUUGAAAGACUAAUAACUUUUACUUUGUUAGACUAUGAAUAUCAGUUCAUGGGAAGACUAAACACAAUAAAUAGCAAGUCACAAACCUGAACAUUUGGUAUCUCAUUGUUAUUUUCAAUAAAAUAACAAUGAGAUGGUAAGUUGAUCAUAUAUACCCUAUGGAUUGGGUUAUUGUUGAUGGAAGAUGGUAGCAAUAGGUAUUUUCAAUAAGCACCAUAAUAUCUCUUGGGAUUAAGAUAGUGUGCCCCCUUGGGUAAUCUUAAAAAGUGUGUUCAUGGAAACUAUGGUCAUAGUAAUUCAUUAAGUAAAACUCAACAUAGGCUCUUUGAGAGCUAAGACAUGUCAAUUGAAUACACAAUGGAGGAUUUAUAACUCAAGGAUGAUAGAGGUAGCCUUGAAAGACUAAUAACUUUCACUUUGUUAGACUACGAACAUCAGUUCAUGGGGAGACUAAACACAAUAAAUAGCAAGUCACAAGCUCGAGCAUUUGGUAUCUCGUUGUUAUUUACAUAAGAUACGGGAGUUCAAUUGAUUCUCUGUAGUGGGAUGUUGAAUCAACUUUAGAAUUGGAUUUUGAGAGAGUCGGUAUUCUUAUGGGUUCCAAUGGUCCUUGCUCUAAGCUUAUAUACUUUGUUGGCAUGGGUUAUAAGAGUCGGAUUGACUCUAGGUUCACUUUUGUACAUAAAGGCAUUUUGAUAAUUACACAAGGUUACACAAAGGUAAGUGAACAAGGUUUUUAAAUUGGGUUAAUUGAUUAAUUAGUAGGCCUUGUUUAGUUAAUUAAUCAAUUAGGACUUUUUUUGGGCUAUAUUAAGUGACCUAAGCCCUUAGUGGGCUCAAGUCACUUAAACCUAAUAGAAAACCCUUUAAAUACCCCCUUAAGGGUUAGAGUUUAUAUAGUUUUUCUAAAGAGCCAUCUUCUAUCUCUAGAGAGAAAGAGAAAGAGUCAUAGCGUCCACCCUCCCUUCUAUCUCCACUAAAAGUGUGUCAAGAUCAAGGUUCAAGUCAUUGGGAGGAAGACUUUGGAUUUACGAGACUUCUGUGAUUUCGUUCUUCAUUUUCACCACGUGGAUUUGAUUUGAGAACAUACGAAUUUGAGGUAUGGUUUUCAUUAGCACUUUCUGAAUCCCUUUAAAGUUUAAAAAUGUUAUUUUUCCGUUGUGUAUAGGAUUAAUUUAGAAAAUGCUUAGAAUAGUUAUGCAUGUUCGUAACCUGAUCUGAGCUUAGGAAAUGGAGAGAUCCUAGUUUUUUCCCUCAAUGUUUGUGCUCCAAAGUGUUGAGAUAGUUUAGAGGGUGACAUGAUGAUUAACAUAAUACCUUAUAUGGAGAACCUAGUGAAUCCCUUCUCCAAGACAUUGAUAGGGAGAGUCUUUGCUAGUCACAUGGAUAGCAUAGGUUUCAGAUGAGUAUUUGGCAUGCUUUAAAGGCAUGAUACUUUGAGGGCUAAUAGGAGAAUGUUAGGAUAAAGCCCUUAAAAACAUGACAUGAUGUAAUAAAUUUGGAAUUCAUUAUUUAUUUAAUGAUGUUUUAGUUUCACUUUUAUCAAUCCUUAUUCCAUGUAUUAUACUUUAUGAGCAUUCUUGUCUGCAUUUUGUGCAUUGUACAUGACUUAAUUGCAUUAGGAGUUAUAUAGAAGAUCUAAGUCAUGGGUUUCUUGCAAAUAAAUGACUUGUUCACAACUGAUUCAUGGGUCUAGGCAACCCACUAGAGGUUAUAGUGCACCAUACCACCUUCUAAUUGGAGGGAUGACUAGUCUUAAUUAUCAGGAUGAGUUUCCCAUUGUGAGUGCAUUACUGUGUAUGGUUACACAUUAGACAAAACCUACAGUGAGUCAUGGCUUAAGGCUAUCAAGUAGUCAUGUCCUUACCAACCAACUUCAUUAUGUCGUCUCUCAACUUUAAGAUAAUAUUGAGUUUAUACUAAAGUUAGCAAUGGCUUUGACCUACAGGUGAAAUCAUAAGCUAAUCAUUUGGGUCAUUGUUGAUGGAAGUCGGUAGCAAUAGGUAUUCUCAAUAGAAAUACCAUGAUAUCUCAUGGGAUUUAGACAGUGUGUCCCCUUGAGUAAUCUUAAGAAAGUGUGUUCAUACAAACUAUGACCAUAGUAGUUCCUUAAGUGGAACUUGACAUAGACUCUUUGACAACUAAGACAUGUCAAUUAAAUAUAUAAUUGGACGAUCUGUAACUCAAAGAUAGUAGAGGUAAUCUUUAAGGAUUGAUAACUUUCACUUUAUUAGACUACAGACACUAAUUCAUGGGGAGACUAAACAUAAUGGAUAGCAGGUCAUGGACCCGAGUACGUAAUAUCUCGUUGUUAUUUACAUAGGAUAUUGGAGUUCAAUUGAUUCUCUAUGGUGGAAUGUUGAAUCAACUUUAGAAUUGGAUUUUGAGGAAGUCAGUACUCCUAUGGGUCCCAAUAGUCCACACUCUAAGCUCAUAUAACCUAUUGACACGGAUUAUGAGGGUCGGAUUGGCUUUAGGUUCAUUUUUGUGUAUAAGGGCAUUUUGAUAAUUACACAAGGUUGCAUAAGGGUAAGUGGACAAGGUCUCUAAAUUGAACUAAUUGAUUAAUUAAUAGGCCUUAUUGGGUUAAUUAAUCAAUUAGGACCCAUUUUGAGUUAGAUUAAGUGACCCAAGCCCAUGUGGGCUCAAGUCACUUAAGCAUACUUAGGAACCCUAUAUAUACCCCCUAAGGUUUAGGGUUCCCACAACUUUUGUCCUCCACCUGUUAGGAUAGAGCCCUUAAAAGUAUAACAUGAUGUAAUAAAUUUGGGAUUCUUUAUUUAUUUAAUGAUGUUCUAGUUUCACAUUAUUUAUUUAAUGUGAAGACAUUUGGAACCCAUCUCUCCUUCACAGAUUUAUCCAAAAGUUGCAUGCUCUGACUCAAGUUUCCAUGCAUACACAACCCUCUGAAGUGAUCAUCAACUCCAUUACCUUAGUAGUUUUUUCCAUGUCAAGCAUACAGUUAGUUUUGAGAGCGAGACCCAUUUUCACUAUGAACUCAAUGACUGUGCUUCGAUCAACUAGUUUGGCAUUUUCAUUUCUUUAUGGCAACCAAAUUUGGACUAGAUCUAACACUUGGCAGGCCAAAGGGCAUGAAUCAAAAACAGAGGAAAGCGACGGAAAAAAAAAAAAAAAACAAAGCACAAAUGGUUGAAACAAAACGAACUAAUAAAAGCCACAUUUUAUGUUUCAAUCAACCGACUUAGAUGUAGGUGAGUGAAACUAAAAAGAUUUUAAACAAGAACACAAGUAUUAUUCAGACAUUCUAUAGGAAAGCUACAACAGAGAUAAAUCAUGCUCAAACAUAACCAAAGGAAAUGAGGCAUGAAUCAACUAUAACCAAAUCACAGAAACCAAGAGAUUAACAAUAACAAGUGUGUGUCCUACGAUUAUCCAGACCCAAAACAUGGAAAAUUUUAGAAUCUAAUUGAUAAAUGAAAGAAAAAAAUGGAAAAAAUGGAGAUGAAGAAAAUUAAAUACACAAUUUAAAGGACUGAGAACCUGACCUGAACUCUUCUCUAAGAUUUAGCAAUUUAUGAAUGUAUCUUCAGGCCCCUGUAGACGAAUCCAUGCUUGGUGGUAGUAUGCUUAUUGAUGACAGUCUGGAGAUGUGGAAAUCAAAUGAUUCUGAUGAACUAAAUUUGAUGCGUGAUGAGAUAGAUGACGUGUUAUCUAAGGAUCACAAAGUUCAUCAAUAGAAACUCGUUUGAUGAUGCGUCAAUCUGAUGGAGAGAAUUCGUUGAUAAAAAAUGAUGAAAUGCCAAUUUGAAGAUAGUGACUGCGAUUCAUCUCCGGAGAUGAAUCUAAUGAGAACGUUCAGGAGUCAUAAAUGGAGAGUGUAGGGACCCCUCCCCUUGGGAAACACGUGGCACGCAGCUCAUAGUGACGCGUGGCACGUGUUAUCAGCCGGACCGUCAUUAUCCGGAUUCCCCUAAGGAUAUGCAUGGUGCAGAUAUCCUAUCCGGACCGCCUCAAGGAAAGGCAAACGACGUUUCAUCUUCUCCUAUCCAAGGAAGAGCAAACGACGUUGGCAGAGCGUACACAUCCGGAUAGUCUCCACAACACAUCCGGAUAGUCAACAUGAGCCAUCCGGAUAUAAAUCUUCUGGAUGGUCAAUUAAAGUAAAGCGAGUCUUACACGCAAUCACAACAAGCAGCCAUGGCCCACAUCCCAUCACCUGCAGAAUGAGAAGACAAGAGGAAGUGACAGCAAGUCACUUCCCACGAUCAUUCUGCAUAAUCGCUUCCCACGAUCUCUGACGGCCGCAUCACCUACCAUAGUCUCUGACAGCCAUUCAUAGGAUGAUAGUGCUCCUACUAACACCUAUUGUCAUCAUCACAACAGAAAAGAUCUCCUCACCAUUAAUGAGAGGAACAGUACCCCUGAAGCUGGAUAUAUAUACCUUCGCACGAAGAAGAAAGGGGAUCUCCUGGUAAUCUCUUGAUACCUAGAAAAAGGCCAACUGAUUUAUAUAUCUCUUUCUCACCAUGGCUAACAAAACCAUCGGAGGGUGCGUCCGGACACCCUGUCCGAAUGCCUUUUGCAGGUGCAACCACUGAAUCAAGAACCCCUUGUGUGUUGAGAAUCACGUAUCCAUCCAUAUAGCAGCAACGUGGACCAUCGGAUACGCGAGGUGACAACAGAGAGCUCUAAUGGCGGUGGUGAUUUGCAGCAAUGUCAAUCUCUGGUGGCAGUGACAGCAAGCUCUAAUGGUGGUAAACUACGCCAACAGAGACAAUCUCCAUGAAUUGCACAACAAACUUCAAUGGCGAUCUCCAAUGGUGGUGAUGAAUUCUCCUACAACAAUGAACUCUCAUUCUCCUGUAGAGAUGAACUCUCAGAUGUUGGUGAAUUAUUUUUAUAUAUUUUUUUAAUAAAUUUUAAAUGAAAUAAAAUAAAUAAAUUUUAAAUUUUUAUACAUUUUUUUAAACUCAUUUAACUUAUUUUAAUUUUUCAAUUAUAAAAUUAAAUAAUUUGAAAAUAUAUAAAUUUCUAACUAAUUUUAAUUAUAUUUUAUUUUCUUUUAUAAUUUUCAUAUAUAGUAUAACCAGUACCAAUGUUUUCAAAAUCAGACCGGCGCUUGAACCAGAAAAGUUACCAGUUCAUGAUUUACGGUUCAUUAGUUGAACUGGUGGUCAAACCGCGGUCGAAUCAAUGACAUCAUAAAUAAUAAUUUUUUUUCUUUUUUCUCACUAACUAAUCCCACAUCAGAAAUGGAUAAAAAAUAUGUAGGAAUUGUGGUAUAAAAGGCAAGCUAGAAUCAUUAACUUGCAAGACUAAAAGCUUAUUGGGCUUGAUGACAAACGGGUUGGAUGGGCUCCUCAUGGAAUGAUCCGGUUCUCUUAUGGUAUCAAAACUUUUUUUUUUGGCUUUAAAAUAAAUAAAUAAAUAAACUGUUCGGUUCGCUAAGAAUCGCCCGAUUGGGGCAGUUCACUAGUUCAACCGCUGGUUUUGUUACCGAUCGGACCAACUGGUCCAGUCCGAUUUUUAAAUCAUUAUCAAAUACAAUAAAAUAAUUUUCCUUAACAUUUCUUUUAUUUUUUUAAGUACUUCUCAAGAAUCAAACAUAAUCAUAAGACUAAUCAUAUUUUUUAUUAUAAGAUCAUUCGAAUACAAUGCCCCAAGUGAGAAUCUCAAAACGUUUGUCAAUGUUUUACUAAUAUUAAGAUUUUGAAAAUCUAUACAAUUUCUUUUUCUUUUUUUCUUUUUUUAAUAUUUGGAUGAUAGAGCAUGAGUAUACAAGAAAGGUCAAUGCAAAGAUCAAUGUCUACAAUCUUGAAAUUGCACUUCUAGAGUUGGGCCCUAAAAGAGAACCCAAUAGGGGGGAGGGGUAGCAUAUAAACCUUCCUCAAUGGGCAUGGCAACACCUUGGAGAAGGAAAGUUAUAAGUGAAAGCACUGGAUGAGGAGAUCAUGGCACAAUGCUACUUCAAAAAAAUGAGUACUAUGUUCCCAAUAAUCAAACUUUAUCAUGAAAAUGUUGAUAAUAGCGAGGAUUAUCUUAUUUACAAGUAUAGAGACAAAUAGGCAAAAGGUAAAUAAAUUAUUAAUAGAGCUUAAAAUAAUAAAUUAAGCAAAUAAACAUAUGGUAAGAUCGAAACUCAUUAUCCUUCUACUAAAUAAAAUUCUAAUACCAUAUUGGAUAACUAAAUUUUUUAAGAACUUAAACUUAAGAUUUGGAUCCUUAUGAUUGUAUAUCACAUUUUCUAAUAAUAUAUCAAAUACUUUUCUAGAUUUUGUGUUGACUUGUGAUUACUUCUCUAAAUCAAUUUUUCAGCAUCUUGUAUAUAUGUAUUUGUUAGGAUGAAUCUGUCACGCCCCAAGACCCACUCCAAGGGCGUGACGGUCAUUUCACACCUCAAACCCGAAGGCUUAAAGUAUAAUCUGACCCAAACAAUCAUAUUGUAACUGGAUGUUACCAAUUACCAAAUACCUGUUCAGAGUAGCGGAACAAAAUCUAAAAUCCUCAAAAUUCAAUUUCCAAAUAACUUCCAAAUAUCAAAUGAUCCAAAUGAACAUAACUAACAGUUAAACAAAAUCCAACAUAAAAUCCUAAGUCAAAUCCUAAUGAUGACCAUUCCUCAGCCUAGCCAUCACUCCUCACCCGAACUAAGAGUACCUGAAAAAUUUUCAACAAUUGGGAAUGAGCUCACAGCCCAAUAAGGAAUAUUAAUGCAAUUCAUGGAUCAAAUAUUUUCAUUUCAAAUAGGAGAUAUCAAUUUUUUUUUUUCUCAUCGAAUAUCAGAGUUUCAAAAAUACCAAUAUAUUCAAAAUUCAACCAACCAAUUUCAUAUCAAAUUCAAACACUUUCACAUCAGACUCAAUCAAAUCCAUUCAAUUUUUUCAUUACUCUGGUUAUCAAAUAUCAAAUGCCCAGUUAGGUGGGACUUUUCAAAUGGGUGGCUAGCCUCAAAUUGUUCCUGGUGGACGAAACCAAACACUACUAGUACUAGUAACCUCUAACCAAACCCCUAGAGGCUGGGGUCCAAAUCAAUUACAUUCCCACCAUGAAAUGUAAAGGUCAACUAUUAUAGCCCGUUGACAGGGCCGAAUAGUCAACUAUUAUAUCCCGUUGACAAGGGCCAAACAAACCAGAGUGAUGUUUUUGUUCAAGUAUUCAAAUUUACACAACAUAAUAUCUCCAUAUUUUGUGUCAUAAAUAAAACAAAAUAUUCCAACAUAAUAUUCAGUGCAAAACAAUUUGAUCCAUGCAUGGUAACAAAAUAUCAUUUUCUUUUCCACAAUUCAAAAUAACAUAUAAAAUAAUUUAAUUUUAUAAAUAUUGCAUUAACUUCCCUUACCUCAAAAGAAGUCCUUGAAAGCUUGGGAGAAGAAUAAUUCUGAAAAAAAUAUAAUCUACUCUUCACCUAAUAUAACAUAAGAGAAACAAUUAUUACUAUUUAUUUAUAAUUUAACUAAUUUAUUCCUUAUUUAAAUAAAACUAAUAAAUUCCCAAUUUGUUUCUAAUAACACACUACUAAUUUAAUUAAAUUACAAUUUUAUUUCAUUAUAAAAUUCUAUAUAUAUAUAUAUAUAUAUAUAUAUAUAUAUAUAUAUAUAUAUAUAUAUAUUGCUAAAUCUAUUAUUACUAUUAUCUUAAUUAUUAAUCUGAAACUAAAUAUCAUUAUUUUAUUAAUUACCUAAUUUGAGGCUAAAUCAUUAUUACAAAAAAUAUAUUAUUAUAUAUUUUGCUAAAUCUCUUACAUGUAUGGGGUACACACCAAACAAGUAAAACAAAGCAAAAAAAUUUUUUUUUUCCAUUGCCAUCAUCAUAAUAAUGAAUCAUUAUAUAUAUAUAUAUAAGUCUCCUUCCAUCCGGGCACACGCCCAAAUUUUUUUUUUUUUUAUUUUCCUUCCUUCCAAUGCUGUGCACACGCGUUCUCCUUUUUUUUUUUUUUUUAAUUAACCCUAACCUAAAAUUGAAAUAUUCCAAGGAAUUUUUUUUUUCUAAUAAAACUUAAGAUCUCCCAAAUUCCAAUACUAAAAUCAAAAUAUUAAAUUUUCACUAUUUGAUAUUAAAACGAAUUAAAAAAAAUAAUCUAACCCUAAUCUAGAUUUGGGGUUUUCCAAAAAAAAUAUAUCUAAUGUGUUUGAAAUUAAUCAAUGAAUCUAAAAUAUUAAACUAGGGGUUAGAAUCUUACCUAUAGAGAUUUUUUCUUCAACCCUGAAAUCUGACUCCAACCUUACGUUUUCUGAAAUUCUGCGAAUAGGAACUCUAUUCAGAAAAGAAGGGAAAAAAUAAAAUUUCUAAUUUAUACCUAGGGUAUUUAUUCGUAAAAUUACACUUUUACCCCUCUUCCACUUUAUUAAAUUAAUUAAUUAACUAAUUAAAUUAUUAAUAACAAUUUCCUAAAUUACCCUUAAAAGAAAAUGCCUGGGCGUUACAGAAUCAAUUAUCAAUGAAUGCAAAAAUGCAACUCCUCAUAGAGUCUCUUGCUUAUUUCCUCUACAACUUAAUUAGAAAAACUUAAAAGAACUCCAGAGUGAUUUCACAAAGAAAUAGGAUAAUUAUUUUAUCUUCAAACCUGCAAAAAAGAUAUGGAAACCGUAUCAUUGAAAUAAUUAAAACAGAAAACAAUUGGAAUCAAAGUGCUAUUGCCUUAUUUUAAAAACAAAAAAUAAAUAAAAUAAAUCUUAGGUUUUAUGCAAAACUAAAUAUUAGUUGCCUAAAGCUCCUUAUUUGGAAUACUAGAUGGGUGUCAAGCAUCAUUUCAACUCGGCACCUCCUUCGGUAAAUACCAAAAAUAAUAUUUGUUUUGGGAACAAGACUAGAGUUUUGAGCGGAUAUAAUAUAUUUUAAAAAAAUACACAAAAUAGAUUUCCAAGUAAAAUAAUUCUCAAGCUAGUAUAUUUCAGCUACAUGGGCAUCCAUAUGGUCGUAGAUUUUUUUUUUUUUAAUGUUGGUCUAUGUCAUAAAACUUUAAUUAGUAACUACGAUUUUGAUUUUUUAAAACAUAAAAUGAUAGUUAGAUAUUAUAGUUUUAAAUUUAUUUUUAAAAUCAUAAUCAUCAAUUACGAUUAUAAACUUAAAUUUAAAACCUUAGUUGGUAACUAAUGUUUUGACCGUUUUACAACAAAAUCAAAAUUAUAGUUCACAACUAUGAUCAUGUGAUAUAGAUACAAGUGUCAAUAAAACACUCCAAUUUGAAAAUUAUUUUGAGAGGGGAUCUACUUUGUAGAUUUUUAUUUGUUCAAAUAAAUUAUUUUUCCUCAAGGCUUAGAAAACUAACUUGUUUAGAACUAAAUUCAAUUAUACACUCUCCUAAUUUUUCUUUUUAUAAGAUCAAAUCCACGUUAUCAGUUUUCCACUAGAAUCCUCAUGAUUACUUGUAGAAUUGUUGAGAUGAAAUGGAAGUGUGGUAUGAGAUGCAUGCUUGUUUAAACUUCAGUUUCAAUCUUGGUCAAUGCUGUCCAUUCCCUUAGAUGUGCAGGAUGUGGAACCACUGCUGGAUCCUGUUGUGAGACUUGACCAUCAAUAUCCUUUUGGACUUGUGAAAGCAACCUUCCCCCGUUUUCUUGACGCAACCUGCUACUUCCACGUGAGCAUGCCAAACACGCUUAGGGCCUGUUUGUUGGUGUUUUCAAAUACAUUUUUGGAAACAGUUUUUACUGUUUUCAGAAAUAAAAUUAUGUUUAUUUAUUCUCAAAAAUAAAAAGAAUAAAAAAAAAAUAUUUAGUUCAGUUAAUAAAAAUAAUUUUUAAUAACAAAUAAAACAAAAAAACUUGUUUGGAAAAUAUUAUUGUUGGUUUUGUUUUUUAAAGUUGAGUAUUUUAUUUAACUAAUUGAUAUUGUAAAUAUAUAAAUAAUUUUUCUUCGUAAAAAUAAAAAUGUUCCAUUCUAAACAUUUUUUGCAUCGGUUUUAAUUUUUUUAAACAAAUUAUUACUUUGUAAACAUGUCUAAAUAUGUUUGAUUUCAAUAAUUGAUAAACCAUCUUAUCAAAAUAUCAUAAAUCGGUAAAUAUCAAUAAUUGGAUUUUAUGAAGAUAAAAUUUAUGAUAUCAAAUAAUAAUGCAUUAUACUUGGAAACCGAUGAUUUAUCUUUUCUACUAAUAAUAUAUUUAUGAUAAUUUUUUAUUUAAAAAUAUUUAUAAUUUUAUUUUAUAUUUAAGAAUUAUAUAAAAGAUAAAAAAAUUAAAGUAAAUCAAACUAAUUUAUUUAUAAAAAAUUAUUAAUUUUUAUAAAUUUACAUAUUAUAUAUAUAUAUAUAUAUAUAUAUACGACAGGAAUCCUUGUACUCUUUUCUCUCAUUCUCCUUAUGUUCUCCGUUUAUCUUCCAAGGCCCAAACUUUUAUUCACUAAGGUUGAACCAUUUCUCUCCUCAAAUAUUAACUCACUAAAGUCAAAAUUUAGAUCUAUGAUUGUUGUUAAGAUUCUUGGUUAGGAUUUCAUCUUUUGUGUUAUUGUUUAUGUUUUUGUUUGGUUUUUGAGAAAUCCUAGAAUUUAUGAAAGUUUCUGCUUUGAAAUACAUUAAAAAAAAUCAUAUCAGGAUAAAAUCCCAAAAUAUCCGAAAAAUAUUGAAAUGGAAAUGAAGAAAAAAUAAAUAUAAAUAAAACUUGUUGAUUAAGUUGAAUUUUUUUUAAACCGAAUUUUCAAUUUUCUAAUUUUUCUCAUUUUCCUUGGCAGUGUAAAAAAAAAAAAAAGAUAAGAGCACAUAGAGAACACGACAACAACACAAAAAACAUCAUUUUAAAACCAGGUUUUAGAAAACACAUAAAACACUUGAGAACAAAAAACACUCUUUUAUAAAACAUGAUUUUUGUGUUUUUUGUUCUAAAAAAAGAAAACAAUUUUUGGAAAUACCAACCAAACAAGCCCUUAAUGACUCAUUUUUCUUUUAUUUAUUUAUUUUAUUUUUUUGCUUAUUUGUUUAUUCUCUUGUCUGUUUUUAUUUUUAAAGAAAUAAAAAUAUUUUUCAAAAAAAUAAAAAAAAUAAAAUUAAAGAAUGUUCUCCAAACUAAAUGAAUAUUAUAGAACCCGACCAACAACAUACUAAACAAAAUGUAAAAAUCUAAAAAUAUGUUUGGUAGUAAUUGUUUUUAAUAUUUUUAAUACCUAAAAAUGAAAAAAUUUAGUGUUAAAAAAUGAAAAAUAUUUUAUAAAAUCACUGUAAAACUUAUUCUAAAUUAUUGAACUAAAUACGAAAAUAACAUAUCAUGCACGAAAAUAAGAUGAAGCAAAAAUAACUUGUAAUGUACACCUUGGGAAACACAUGAUAUUUUAGCAUCGUGUAGCAGAUUGCAAAAUCAAAUUUCGUGAGGAAUCAGGUGCCCAUAAAUCUCGUAUCUUCAUAAUGGCAUAUAGAGGAAAGUCAAGGUAAACGAAACCAUCAUAUUCUUCAACUUGCAGCCAACCAAAUAUGUUCAAGUCCAUUCAAUACAGUCCAUAAAAAUUUUAUUUUAUUUUUACAAAUUUUUUUUUCUUUCUAGAAUUCGAAUCUGAGCCUCACGACUAAAACCGAAUACGUACAAAGCAUCUAUUCUAAAAAUAAAAAAAUUAAAUUGAAUUAAAAAUUUUGGAUAUUAUAAAGCAGAAUACGUACAAAUUCUGUUGAAAGGUGAGUCAUAACAGUUAAAAAUUUAUAUAUAAUUUUUAUAUAUAUUUUAAUUAGUUUUCAAUUUUGGAUAUUAUCAAAUAAAAUUUUUAUGUAUAAUUUACUUUAGUCAGUAUUGUCCAACAUAAUUAAAUAAUACCAUGGUGGCUUAGGUUAAUUCCAAAAUGAUGGUAAUGGACUAAUGACAGAAAAAUUAUCAUACAAAAUACCUAGGCAACCAUAGGUGAAAAAAAAAGUAAUAUAAAUUCCAUAUAUUAUUAUUUAAUAUUAAUUUUCAGUCACCAUCAUAUGAUUUUUCAUAAAAUAAAAUAAAAAGGUAAAAAGUAAAUGUUCAUUAUGUUUGUUAGUAUAGUAUCAAAAGAAACUUAUUAAAUUUUUAGAAAUAUAAUUUAGAUUUAAAAGUAAUUGUAAAAAUUUGAAAAUAAGACUUAUAUUAUGAAAACAUUAAAAAAUAUUAUAAUUUAACCACAAAGAUAAUGAGUAUGACUAAGAUCGACGAUUAGGAAAAGAGAUUUUAUAAAAAAAAAAAUAUAUAUUUUGAAGUAUCUUACAUGGAUCAUUGAUUUUUAUUCAAAUUUUAAACAAAUUCAUACUAAUUUGGUUCUGGUUCUACUUGUUUCUGGUUCAAAAUGAGUUCAACGACACCUGGCCAACGGAGAUUGGUAAUUUGGCGAAUCUUGAACAAUUGGCCAUGGCCUAUAAUGACAAAUUCCGGCCUUCAGCCCUUCCAAAAGAGUUUGGCGCAUUGAAGAAGCUGAAAUAUCUGUGGAUGACGGAGGCGAAUUUGAUUGGCGAAAUACCGGAGAGCUUCAACAAUCUAUCGAGUCUGGAACUCUUGGACCUCUCAGUCAACAAAUUGGAAGGUACGAUCCCGGGAGGCAUGCUUACGUUGAAGAAUUUGAACUAUUUGCAUUUAUUCAUUAAUAGAUUGUCCGGCUACAUUCCUUCAUCCAUAGAAGCUCUCAACUUGAAACAAAUUGAUCUUUCCGACAACCAUUUGACGGGGUCCAUACCAGCGGGUUUCGGGAAGCUACAAAAUUUGACGGGUUUGAAUCUUUUCUGGAAUCAGUUGUCAGGAGAGAUACCAGCAAAUAUAAGCCUCAUUCCUACACUGGAAACCUUCAAAGUUUUUAGCAAUCAAUUGAGUGGAGUUUUGCCCCCAGCAUUUGGCCUUCAUUCGGAGCUCAAAUUCUUUGAGAUUUUUGAGAAUAAACUAAGUGGGGAAUUACCUCAACAUUUAUGCGCUAGGGGGGCUUUGCUUGGAGUGGUCGCUUCCAACAACAAUCUCAGCGGGGAAGUGCCCACGUCCCUCGGGAAUUGCACAAGUUUGCUCACCAUUCAGCUUUCCAACAAUCGUUUUUCAGGCGGGAUUCCUUCCGGCAUCUGGACAUCCCCGAACAUGGUAUCGGUGAUGUUAGAUGGAAAUUCAUUCUCAGGGACACUUCCAAGUAAAUUGGCAAGGAAUUUGUCUAGAGUGGAGAUCGCUAACAACAAGUUUUAUGGUCCAAUUCCUGCUGAAAUCUCUUCCUGGGUGAACAUCUCUGUGCUCAAUGCCAGCAACAAUAUGUUGUCUGGAAAAAUUCCAGUGGAAUUGACCAGUCUUUGGAACAUCACUGUUCUGUUGCUUGAUGGGAAUCAAUUCUCGGGUGAACUUCCAUCCCAGAUCAUCUCAUGGAAGUCUUUCAAUAAGUUAAAUCUCUCAAGAAACAAACUUUCUGGCCUAAUUCCCAAGGCAUUAGGUUCUUUAACCAGCCUUAGUUACCUCGACCUGUCAGAAAACCAGUUCUCAGGUCAAAUUCCUCCUGAACUUGGCCAUUUGAACCUUAUUAUCCUCCAUCUUUCGUCCAACCAACUCUCUGGGAUGGUCCCCAUUGAGUUUCAACAUGAAGCAUAUGAAGACAGUUUCUUGAACAAUCCCAAGUUGUGUGUCAAUGUUCCCACUCUGAACCUCCCUAGAUGUGAUGCCAAACCCGUCAACUCCGACAAAUUGUCAACCAAAUAUCUCGUUAUGAUCCUAAUUUUCGCUCUAGCUGGUGCUUUCGUCACCCUGUCCAGGGUUCAUAUCUAUCAUAGGAAGAAUCACAGUCAGGACCAUACAGCUUGGAAAUUUACUCCAUACCAUAAACUAGAUCUCGAUGAAUACAACAUAUUGUCCAGUUUGAUAGAAAAUAAUCUGAUCGGAUGUGGUGGGUCAGGGAAAGUAUACCGAAUUGCUAAUAACCGUUCUGGUGAACUCUUAGCGGUUAAAAUGAUUUCUAAUAACAAGAGAUUGGAUCAAAAGCUUCAGAAAAAAUUCAAAACAGAAGUCGAGAUAUUGAGCACCAUACGCCAUGCCAAUAUAGUGAAGUUGUUGUGCUGCAUAUCAAAUGAAACCUCAAGUCUUCUUGUUUACGAGUACAUGGAGAAGCAGAGUUUGGAUAGAUGGCUUCAUAGGAAGAAGCAGAGAACAUCGUCCAUGACAAGUUCAGUUCAUAACUUCGUCUUGGAUUGGCCAACAAGGUUGCAGAUUGCCAUUGGAGCUGCAAAAGGCCUAUGCCACAUGCAUGAAAACUGCUCUGCCCCGAUCAUACACCGAGAUGUGAAGUCCAACAACAUCUUGCUAGAUGCUGAGUUCAACGCGAAAAUUGCGGAUUUUGGAUUAGCCAAGAUGUUGGUCAAGCAAGGAGAGCCCGACACCAUGUCAGGAAUUGCAGGCUCUUACGGAUAUAUUGCCCCUGGUAAGACCAUCAAGGCCCUCCUUUCCACAUGUUUUCAUUUCCAUAAUUUAUCUAUAAUUUUUAUCAUACAAUUCUUGUAUACUUGGAUGAUAGAGUAUGCUUAUACAACAAAGGUGAACGAGAAGAUCGAUGUAUAUAGCUUUGGAGUAGUCCUGCUUGAGCUAGUGACGGGGAGAGAACCCAACAGCGGGGACGAGCACAUGUGCCUUGUAGAAUGGGCAUGGGAUCAGUUCAAAGAAGGGAAAACCAUUGAGGAAGUGAUGGAUGAGGAGAUCAAGGAACAAUGUGAAAGAGCACAAGUGACCACUCUCUUCAGUCUAGGCCUCAUGUGCACUACCACAUUACCAUCCACUAGGCCAACAAUGAAAGAGGUUUUGGAAAUUCUUCGACAAUGCAGUCCUUAGGAGGGCCAUGGUAGAAAGAAAAAGGACCAUGAAGUUGCACCUCCACUUUGAAAUGACACUUACCCCACCACUUACAAGUUAUGAGGAUAAAGCCCUUAAAAACAUGAUAUGAUGUAAUAAAUUUGAAAGUCAUUAUUUAUUUAAUGAUGUUUCGAUUUCACUUUUAUCUAUCCUUCUUUCAUGUAUUAUACUUUAUGAGCAUUCUUGCCUGCAUCUUUUGCAUUGCACUAGCUUAGGUGCAUUAAGAGUUGCACAGAAGAUCUAUGUCAUGGGUUCCUUGCAAAUAUAUGACUUGUUCACAAUUAGUUCAUGGGUCUAGGAAGCCCAUUAGAGGUUGUAAUAAACCACUUCCUAAUUGGAAGAAUGGCUAGUCUUAGCUAUUGGAAUGAGUUUCCAAUGGUAAGUGCAUUAGUGUGUAUGGUUACAUAUUGGACAUGACCUAUGGUGAAUCAUGACUUAAGGUUAUCAAGCAGUCAUGACCUUAUCAAACUGCUUCAUUAUGUUGUUUCUCAACCUUGAGAGAAUAUCGAGCUUGUACUAAAGUUAGCAAUGACUUUGACAUAUGGGUGAGAUCGUAAGUUGAUCAUAUAUUUCCUAUGGAUUGAGUCACUGUUGAUGGAAGAUGGUAGUGAUAGGUAUUUUCAAUAAAAACACCAUGAUGUCUCUUGGGAUUAAGACAACGUGCCCCUUUUAGUGAUCCUAAAGAGGUGUGUUCAUAGAAACUAUGGUCAUAAUAGUUCCUUAAGUAAAACUCAACAUAGGCUCUUUGAGAGCUAAGACAUGUCAAUUGAAUACACAAUAUGAGGAUUUGUAACUCAAUGAUGGUAGAGGUAGUCUUGAAAGACUAAUAACUUUCACUUUGUUAGACUACGAAUAUCAGUUCAUGGGAAGACUAAACACAAUAAAUAGCAAGUCACAAACUUGAACAUUUGGUAUCUCAUUAUUAUUUUCAAUAAAAUAACAAUGAGAUGGUAAGUUGAUCAUAUAUACCUUAUGGAUUAGGUCAUUGUUAAUGGAAGAUGGUAGCAAUAGGUAUUUUCAAUAAAAGUACCAUAAUAUCUCUUGGGAUUAAGACAGUGUGCCCCCUUGGAUGAUCCUAAAGAAGUGUGUUCAUGGAAACUAUGGUCAUAGUAAUUCCUUAAGUAAAACUCAACAUAAGCUCUUUGAGAGCUAAGACAUGUCAAUUGAAUACACAAUAGGAGGAUUUAUAACUCAAGGAUGAUAGAGGUAGCCUUGAAAGACUAAUAACUUUCACUUUGUUAGACUACAAAUAUCAGUUCAUGGGGAGACUAAACACAAUAAAUAGCAAGUCAUAAGCUCGAGCAUUUGGUAUCUAGUUGUUAUUUACAUAGGAUACCGAAGUUCAAUUGAUUCUCUGUAGUGGGAUGUUCAAUCAACUUUAGAAUUGGAUUUUGAGAGAGUCGGUAUUCCUACGGGUCCCAAUGGUCCUUGCUCUAAGCUUAUAUACUUUGUUGGCAUGGGUUAUAAGAGUCGAAUUGGCUCUAGGUUUACUUUUGUACAUAAGGGCAUUUUGAUAAUUACGCAAGGUUACACAAAGGUAAGUGAACAAGGUUUUUAGAUUGGGUUAAUUGAUUAAUUAGUAGGCCUUGUUUGAUUAAUUAAUCAAUUAAGACUUUUUUUGGGCUAUAUUAAGUGACCUAAGCCCUUAGUGGGCUCAAGUCACUUAAACCUAAUAGAAAACCCUAUAAAUACCCCCUUAAGGGUUAGAGUUUAUAUAGUUUUUCUAAAGAGCCAUCUUCUAUCUCCAGAGAGAGAAAGAAAGAGAAAGAGUCAUAGCAUCCACCUCCCUUCUAUCUCCACUAGAAGUGUGGCAAGAUCAAGGUUCAAGUCAUUGGGAGGAAGACUUUGGAUUUACAAGACUUCUGCGAUUUCGUUCUUCAUUUUCACCACGUGGAUUUGAUUCAAGAACAUCCGAAUUUAAGGUAUGGUUUUCAUUAGCACUUUCUGAAUCCCUUUAAAGUUUAAAAAUGUUAUUUUUCCUUUGUGCAUAGGAUUAAUUUAGAAAAUGCUUAGAAUAGUUAUGCAUGUUCCAAACCUGAUAUGAGCUUAGGAAAUGGAGAGAUCCUAGUUUUUUCCCUCAAUGUUUGUGCUCCAAAGUGUUGAGAUAGUUUAGAGGGUGACAUGAUGAUUGACAUAAUACCUUAUGUGGAUAACCUAGUGAAUCCCUUCUCCAAGACAUUGAUAGGGAGAGUCUUUGUUAGUCACAUGGAUAACAUAGGUUUCAGAUGAGUAUUUGGCAUGCUUUAAAGGCAUGAUGCUUUGAGGGCUAAUGGGAGAAUAUUAGGAUAUAGCCCUUAAAAGCAUGACAUGAUGUAAAAAAUUUGGAAUUCAUUAUUUAUUUAAUGAUGUUCUAGUUUCACUUUUAUCAAUCUUUAUUCCAUGUAUUAUACUUUAUGAGCAUUCUUGUCUGCAUUUUUUGCAUUGUACAUGACUUAAGUGCAUUAGGAGUUACAUAGAAGAUCUAAGUCAUGGGUUUCUUGCAAAUAAAUGACUUGUUCACAACUGAUUCAUGGGUCUAGGCAACUGAUUACUACUCAAAAAGUGUUAUUUGAUAGCUUGUAAUUAACUCUUUUAAACACUUUUGAGUAGUAGUUAUCACUUUUUAACCCAAUUAACAUAUUAAGGACCCUUACAAUCAAUUCUAAUCAAAUUGUGUUAAGUUUUGGUGUUUUGAUAGCUUUUUUAUCACCAAAGCAAUCCGAGAUUGAGGAGAGUUCUUUGGAAUCCAUGGCAAAGAUGUCCGGACAGGGCGUCCGGACACACCAUCGGAGGGCGGCGGAAUAUGGGUUGUGGCAGGCUGUCGGAAUGACGUAGCAAGGUUUGCUCACUUUAGUCAAUGUUUUCCAUCCGGACAACAUAUCCGGAUAGGAUAUGCUAUCGUCCGGGGUGUGAUGUGCACGAGUGUCGUGUGCUUCUCCCUAAAGGAGUCCGGAUAGCAUGGCGGCGCGUGUCCUCUUGGGGAAUCUGAAUGGAGUUGCACCGGAUAGCAAUGCGCGCUCCGUGUCAUCAGGGGAAGGGGUCCCUACACCUUGUACACGCAGAUGGUCCCCCUUGCAACGCGCGGAUAUCUCACUCCCAAAAUUCUGUCUGGUCAGACAUGUCUGGAUCCUCUGAUCGGAUAUUUCACAUCUGGAUAUCUCACAACCGGAUGGGAGAGGAGGACGUUUCAACUUCCCCGGUCAGACAUGUCCGGAUCCUCUGAUAGCGCCUACCCGGAGAGUUUUUCUCUCAGUAUACAGUGCCGCAGUGUUCUCCUGAAGCUUCCUGAUAUUUCCAACCGACAUCUUGAAAUAUUUUGCUUUAGAUAUUUGAUGUCUAAAUCCCCAAACUCUCCUUGUAACCCACCUAUCAUAGGAUUUCUUAGUCUUUAAGUAAGAAAAAUGGUGAAUAACCUCUGAUAUAUAUAGUUUGUAAUUUUCUUUAUAAGAAAUUAUGAUGUAAUCGGCGGAAGAAAGAAAUAUAUUUCACAGAGCACUUGCUCUGAUUUUCAUAUAUAUUUUUGUUUUCUCAUUCUUUUUCUUACUAGCCAAACAAGCUCUGAGGAAGUUUCCUCAGAGAAUGAGUGGCUAGACUUUUAGUUCCUUGGAGCUAAGGUUGCCGGGAAAGGUUUCAAGUGCAAGAAUUUAUAGCUUUGUGGUUUCGGCCAUUAAUGAAGAGAAAGUAUGAUCCUUUAAUGAUUUCUAUGUUUUUUAGUUAACUUAAAACACCUUCAAUUCACUUGAGCCAACACUUGGUAAGGCAAGUGAUCUCCGUCCAUGGGGAUGCACUAGUUUGCCUCUUGCGAGCUUUUGAGAAGUGACUUGAAAGUAGGAUUUUCUAUAAUUGCCAACACUUGGUAAGCUUUUGGACUCCAAGGAGACAUCCAUUAGUUAUCUUUUGCGAGCUUGAGAAAGGAAGUCCAAAGUUAAUGAUCACCUUGAAUGGCAAAUGCUAGAUGAGAGGCACGAGCCAUUGCAAGUUGCAUCAGUGAGAAGAAACUAGAGCUGAAAUCCAUUUAAAGGAUACAUCUGUACAACACCGGUUAGAGAAUUGACUAUAUGUAAAUUCUCUAAUGCGAGGAAAUGAACCAAAUGACCGAAGCUCUAUUUUUGCAUAAGGAACCUCCCUUGUGAACCUAAACCUUCAAGGAAUGUUUUUUUUCAUAAGUCAUUUACAUUACUUUCUUUUUAGUUAGCUUUAAACAAAAUCUCAUUUAAACAAAGUUUAUGUUUUAUUUCUUAAGCUAACCUUGAAAUGAAAAUAAGAUGAAGCAAAAAUAACUUGUAAUGUACACCUUGGGAAACACAUGAUAUUUUAGCAUCGUGUAGCAGAUUGCAAAAUCAAAUUUCGUGAGGAAUCAGGUGCCCAUAAAUCUGGUAUCUUCAUAAUGGCAUAUAGAGGAAAGUCAAGGUAAACGAAACCAUCAUAUUCUUCAACUUGCAGCCAACCAAAUAUGUUCAAGUCCAUUCAAUACAGUCCAUAAAAAAAAAAUUUUUUUUCUUUCUAGAAUUCGAAUCUGAGCCUCACGACUAAAACCGAAUACGUACAAAGCAUCUAUUCUAAAAAUAAAAAAAUUAAAUUGAAUUAAAAAUUUUGGAUAUUAUAAAGCAGAAUACGUACAAAUUCUGUUGAAAGGUGAGUCAUAACAGUUAAAAAUUUAUAUAUAAUUUUUAUAUAUAUUUUAAUUAGUUGUCAAUUUUGGAUAUUAUCAAAUAAAAUUUUUUAUGUAUAAUUUACUUUAGUCAGUAUUGUCCAACAUAAUUAAAUAAUACCAUGGUGGCUUAGGUUAAUUCUAAAAUGAUGGGAAAUAAAUCAAAAUGGUAAUGGACUAAUGACAGAAAAAUUAUCAUACAAAAUACCUAGGCAAACCAUAGGUGAAAAAAAAAUGUAAUAUAAAUUCCAUAUAUUAUUAUUUAAUAUCAAUUUUCAGUCACCAUCAUAUGAUUUUUCAUAAAAUAAAAUAAAAAGGUAAAAAGUAAAUGUUCAUUAUGUUUGUUAGUAUAGUAUCAAAAGAAACUUAUUAAAUUUUUAGAAAUAUAAUUUAGAUUUAAAAGUAAUUGUAAAAAUUUGAAAAUAAGACUCAUAUUAUGAAAACAUUAAAAAAUAUUAUAAUUUAACCACAAAGAUAAUGAGUAUGACUAAGAUUGACGAUUAUUUUGAAGUAUCUUACAUGGAUAGUUGAUUUUUAUUCAAAUUUUAAACAAAUUCAUACUAAAAACCCAUAACGCUUGCUAAAUCUAAUCUUGUAACCUGGUGUUUUGUUCUUAGAAUAUAUAUAUAUAUAUAUAUAUAUAUAUAUAUAUAUAUAUAUUUCCGCUGCUCCAAGUAAGCUGGAGAUGAAAGGGACCACCAAUCACGAUCAAUGGUUAGAUCAAAAUUAGCUUAUCUGUGUUACACACGACUCCUGGCUCCUUCGUAAUUAAUCCCAACACAUAGGCCAUUUUGUAAAAUUCAGUAAAUAAAUUCUGACAGCCAACCAGAUUUUGAAAAUGAACCGUCCCAACGCCACAAAAAUGCCGAAAGUAAACUUUUUAUUUGCCAAAAUUCCAUUCCCCGCUCUGUUUCUCCUCCUCGUCCUCUCCUUACCCUUUCAAGUAAUUUUCGAAAAUCUGGACGAUGAACUAUCAAUCCUACUAGACGUUAAACAACAACUGGGCAAUCCCUUGUCACUCCAAUCUUGGAAUUCCUCAUCCUCACCCUGUGAUUGGCCGGAAAUUACAUGCAUCGACAAUAUCGUCACUGAAAUUUCACUCAGCGACAAGACCAUCACAAAGAAAAUUCCGGCUAGAAUUUGUGACCUCAAGAACCUUAUCGUACUUGACGUCUCCAACAAUUACAUUCCAGGCAAGUUCUCGGAUAUUCUAAAUUGUUCUAAGCUGGAGCAUCUCCUCUUGAAGCAAAACUUCUUCGUGGGUCCAAUUCCAACUGACAUUGAUUGACUUUCACGUCUCCGGUACCUAGACCUCACAGCAAACAACUUCUCUGGAGAUAUUCCCACAGCAAUUGGGAGGCUACGGGAGCUGUUCUACUUGUUUCUGGUUCAAAAUGAGUUCAACGGCACCUGACCAAUGGAGAUUGGUAAUUUGGCGAAUCUUGAACAAUUGGCCAUGGCCUAUAAUGAAAAAUUCCAGCCUUCAGCCCUUCCAAAAGAGUUUGGCGCAUUGAAGAAGCUGAAAUAUUUGUGGAUGACGGAGGCGAAUUUGAUUGGCGAAAUACCGGAGAGCUUCAACAAUCUAUCGAAUCUGGAACUCUUGGACCUCUCAGUCAACAAAUUGGAAGGUACGAUCCCGGGAGGCAUGCUUACGUUGAAGAAUUUGAACUAUUUGCAUUUAUUCAUUAAUAGAUUGUCCGGCCACAUUCCUUCAUCCAUAGAAGCUCUCAACUUGAAACAAAUUGAUCUUUCCGACAACCAUUUGAUGGUCCAUACCAGCGGGUUUCGGGAAGCUACAAAAUUUGACGGGUUUGAAUCUUUUCUGGAAUCAGUUGUCAGGAGAGAUACCAGCAAAUAUAAGCCUCAUUCCUACACUAGAAACCUUCAAAGUUUUUAGCAAUCAAUUGAGUGGAGUUUUGCCCCCAGCAUUUGGCCUUCAUUCGGAGCUCAAAUUCUUUGAGAUUUUUUAGAAUAAACUAAGCGGGGAAUUACCUCAACAUUUAUACGCUAGGGGGGCUUUGCUUGGAGUGGUCGCUUCCAACAACAAUCUCAGCGGGGAAGUGCCCACGUCCCUCGGGAAUUGCACAAGUUUACUCACCAUUCAGUUUUCCAACAAUCGUUUUUCAGGUGGGAUUCCUUCCGGAAUCUGGACAUCCCCGAACAUGGUAUCGGUGAUGUUAGAUGGAAAUUCAUUCUCAGGGACACUUCCAAGUAAAUUGGCAAGGAAUUUGUCUAGAGUGGAGAUCGCUAACAACAAGUUUUAUGGUCCAAUUCCUGCUGAAAUCUCUUCCUGGAUGAACAUCUCUGUGCUCAAUGCCAACAACAAUAUGUUGUCUGGAAAAAUUCCAGUGGAAUUGACUAGUCUUUGGAACAUCACUGUUCUGUUGCUUGAUGAGAAUCAAUUCUCGGGUGAACUUCCAUCCCAGAUCAUCUCAUGGAAGUCGCUCAAUAAGUUAAAUCUCUCAAGAAACAAACUUUCUGGCCUAAUUCCCAAGGCAUUAGGUUCUUUAACUAGCCUUAGUUACCUCGACCUGUCAGAAAACCAGUUCUCAGGUCAAAUUCCUCCUAAACUUGGCCAUUUGAACCUUAUUAUCCUCCAUCUUUCGUCCAACCAACUCUCUGGGAUGGUCCCCAUUGAGUUUCAACAUGAAGCAUAUGAAGACAGUUUCUUGAACAAUCCCAAGUUGUGUGUCAAUGUUCCCACUUUGAACCUCCCUAGAUGUGAUGCCAAACCCGUCAACUCCGACAAAUUGUCAACCAAAUAUCUCGUUAUGAUCCUAAUUUUCGCUCUAGCUGGUGCUUUCGUCUCCUUGUCCAAGGUUCAUAUCUAUCAUAGGAAGAAUCACAGUCAGGACCAUACAGCUUGGAAAUUUACUCCAUACCAUAAACUAGAUCUCGAUGAAUACAACAUAUUGUCCAGUUUGACAGAAAAUAAUCUGAUCGUAUGUGGUGGGUCAGGGAAAGUAUACCGAGUUGCUAAUAACCGUUCUGGUGAACUCUUAGCGGUUAAAAUGAUUUGUAAUAACAGGAGAUUGGAUCAAAAGCUUCAGAAACAAUUCGAAACAGAAGUCGAGAUAUUGAGCACCAUGCGCCAUGCCAAUAUAGUGAAGUUGUUGUGCUGCAUAUCAAAUGAAACCUCUAGUCUUCUUGUUUACGAGUACAUGGAGAAGCAGAGUUUGGAUAGAUGGCUUCAUGGGAAGAAGCAGAGAACAUCGUCCAUGACAAGUUCAGUUCAUAACUUCGUCUUGGAUUGGCCAACAAGGUUGCAGAUUGCCAUUGGAGCUGCAAAAGGCCUAUGCCACAUGCAUGAAUACUGUUCUGUCCCAAUCAUACAUCGAGAUGUGAAGUCCAGCAACAUCUUGCUAGAUGCCGAGUUCAACGCGAAAAUUGCGGAUUUUGGAUUGGCUGAGACGUUGGUCAAGCAAGGAGAACCCAACACCAUGUCAAGAAUUGCAGGCUCUUACGGGUAUAUUGCCCCUGGUAUGACCAUCAAGGCCCUCCUUUCCACAUGUUUUCAUUUCCAUAAUUUAUCGAUAAUUUGUAUCAUACCAUUCUUGUAUACUUGGAUGAUAGAGUAUGCUUAUACAACAAAGGUGAACAAGAAGAUCGAUGUAUAUAGCUUUGGAGUAGUCUUGCUUGAGCUUGUGACAGGUAGAGAACCCAACAAUGGGGACGAGCACAUGUGCCUUGCGGAAUGAGCAUGGAAUCAGUUCAGAGAAGGGAAAACCAUUGAGGAAGUGGUAGACGAGGAGAUCAAGGAACAAUGUGAUAGAGCACAAGUGGCCACUCUCUUCAAACUAGGCAUUAAGUGCACUAACAAAUUACCAUCCAAUAGGCCCACAAUGAAAGAGGUUUUGAAAAUUCUUCAAUAGUGCAGUCCUCAGGAGGGCCAUGGAAGAAAUAAAAAGGACCAUGAAGUUGCACCUCCACUUUGAAAUGACACUUAUCCCACCACUUACAAGUUGUGAGGAUAAAGCCCUUAAAAACAUGAUAUGAUGUAAUAAAUUUGGAAGUCAUUAUUUAUUUAAUGAUGUUCCGAUUUCACUUUUAUCUAUCCUUAUUCCAUGUAUUAUACUUUAUGAGUAUUCUCGCCUGCAUCUUUUGCAUUGCACUAGCUUAGGUGCAUUAAGAGUUGCAUAGAAGAUCUAUGUCAUGGGUUCCUUGCAAAUAUAUUACUUGUUCACAACCAGUUCAUGGGUCUAGGAAGCCCAUUAAAUGGCUUCAUGGGAAGAAGCAGAGAACAUCGUCCAUGACAAGUUCAGUUCAUAACUUCGUCUUGGAUUGGCCAACAAGGUUGCAGAUUGCCAUUGGAGCUGCAAAAGGCCUAUGCCACAUGCAUGAAAACUGCUCUGCCCCGAUCAUACACCGAGAUGUGAAGUCCAGCAACAUCUUGCUAGAUGCCGAGUUCAACGCGAAAAUUGCGGAUUUUGGAUUGGCCAAGAUGUUGGUCAAGCAAGGAGAGCCCGACACCAUGUCAGGAAUUGCAGGCUCUUACGGAUAUAUUGCCCCUGGUAAGACCAUCAAGGCCCUCAUUUCCACAUGUUUUCAUUUCCAUAAUUUAUCUAUAAUUUUUAUCAUACAAUUCUUGUAUACUUGGAUGAUAGAGUAUGCUUAUACAACAAAGGUGAACGAGAAGAUCGAUGUAUAUAGCUUUGGAGUAGUCCUGCUUGAGCUAGUGACGGGGAGAAAACCCAACAGCGGGGACGAGCACAUGUGCCUUGUAGAAUGGGUAUGGGAUCAGUUCAGAGAAGGGAAAACCAUUGAGGAAGUGAUGGAUGAGGAGAUCAAGGAACAAUGUGAAAGAACACAAGUGACCACUCUCUUUAGUCUAGGCCUCAUGUGCACUACCACAUUACCAUCCACUAGGCCAACAAUGAAAGAGGUUUUGGAAAUUCUUCGACAGUGUAGUCCUCAGGAGGGCCUGGUAGAAAGAAAAAGGACCAUGAAGUUGCACCUCCACUUUGAAAUGACACUUACCCCACCACUUACAAGUUAUGACGAUAAAGCCCUUAAAAACAUGAUGUGAUGUAAUAAAUUUGGAAGUCAUUAUUUAUUUAAUGAUGUUCCGAUUUCACUUUUAUCUAUCCUUAUUCCAUGUAUUAUACUUUAUGAGCAUUCUUGUUUGCAUCUUUUGCAUUGCACUAGCUUAGGUGCAUUAAGAGUUGCACAGAAGAUCUAUGUCAUGGGUUCCUUGCAAAUAUAUGACUUGUUGACAACCAGUUCAUGGGUCUAGGAAGCCCAUUAGAGGUUGUAAUAAACCACUUCCUAAUUGGAAGAAUGGCUAGUCUUAGCUAUUGGGAUGAGUUUCCAAUGGUAAGUGCAUUAGUGUGUAUGCUUACAUAUUGGACAUGACCUAUGGUGAAUCAUGACUUAAGGUUAUCAAGCAGUCAUGACCUUAUCAAACUGCUUCAUUAUGUUGUCUCUCAACCUUGAGAGAAUAUCGAGCUUGUACUAAAGUCAGCAAUGACUUUGACAUACGGGUGAAAUCAUAAGUUGAUCAUAUAUUCCCUAUGGAUUGAGUCACUGUUGAUGGAAGAUGGUAGUGAUAGGUAUUUUCAAUAAAAACACCAUGAUGUCUCUUGGGAUUAAGACAACGUGCCCCUUUUAGUGAUCCUAAAGAGGUGUGUUCAUAGAAACUAUGGUCAUAAUAGUUCCUUAAGUAAAACUCGACAUAGGCUCUUUGAGAGCUAAGACAUGUCAAUUGAAUACACAAUAUGAGGAUUUAUAACUCAAAGAUGGUAGAGGUAGUCUUGAAAGACUAAUAACUUUCACUUUGUUAGACUACGAAUAUCAGUUCAUGGGAAGACUAAACACAAUAAAUAGCAAGUCACAAACCUGAACAUUUGGUAUCUCAUUGUUAUUUUCAAUAAAAUAACAAUGAGAUGGUAAGUUGAUCAUAUAUACCCUAUGGAUUAGGUCAUUGUUAAUGGAAGAUGGUAGCAAUAGGUAUUUUCAAUAAAAGUACCAUAAUAUCUCUUGGGAUUAAGAUAGUGUGCCCCCUUGGAUGAUCCUAAAGAAGUGUGUUCAUGGAAACUAUAGUCAUAGUAAUUCCUUAAGUAAAACUCAACAUAAGCUCUUUGAGAGCUAAGACAUGUCAAUUGAAUACACAAUAGGAGGAUUUAUAACUCAAGGAUGAUAGAGGUAGCCUUGAAAGACUAAUAACUUUCACUUUGUUAGACUACAAAUACCAGUUCAUGGGGAGACUAAACACAAUAAAUAGCAAGUCACAAGCUCGAGCAUUUGGUAUCUCGUUGUUAUUUACAUAGGAUACCGAAGUUCAAUUGAUUCUCUGUAGUGGGAUGUUGAAUCAACUUUAGAAUUGGAUUUUGAGAGAGUCAGUAUUCCUAUGGCUCCCAAUGGUCCUUGCUCUAAGCUUAUAUACUUUGUUGGCAUGGAUUAUAAGAGUCAGAUUGGCUCUAGAUUUACUUUUGUACAUAAGGGCAUUUUGAUAAUUACGCAAGGUUACAUAAAGGUAAGUGAACAAGGUUUUUAGAUUGGGUUAAUUGAUUAAUUAGUAGGCCUUGUUUGAUUAAUUAAUCAAUUAAGACUUUUUUGGGCUAUAUUAAGUGACCUAAGCCCUUAGUGGGCUCAAGUCACUUAAACCUAAUAGAAAACCCUAUAAAUACCCCCUUAAGGGUUAGAGUUUGUAUAGUUUUUCUAAAGAGCCAUCUUCUAUCUCCAGAGAGAGAAAGAAAGAGAAAGAGUCAUAGUGUCCACCUCCCUUCUAUCUCUACUAGAAGUGUGUCAAGAUCAAGGUUCAAGUCAUUGGGAGGAAGACUUUGGAUUUACGAGACUUCUGCGAUUUCGUUCUUCAUUUUCACCACGUGGAUUUGAUUCAAGAACAUCCGAAUUUAAGGUAUGGUUUUCAUUAGCACUUUCUGAAUCCCUUUAAAGUUUAAAAAUGUUAUUUUUCCUUUGUGCAUAGGAUUAAUUUAGAAAAUGCUUAGAAUAGUUAUGCAUGUUCCAAACCUGAUCUGAGCUUAGGAAAUGGAGAGAUCCUAGUUUUUUCCCUCAAUGUUUGUGCUCCAAAGUGUUGAGAUAGUUUAGAGGGUGACAUGAUGAUUGACAUAAUACCUUAUGUAGAUAACCUAGUGAAUCCCUUCUCCAAGACAUUAAUAGGGAGAGUCUUUGUUGGUCACAUGGAUAGCAUAGGUUUCAGAUGAGUAUUUGGCAUGCUUUAAAGGCAUGAUACUUUGAGGGCUAAUAGGAGAAUGUUAGGAUAAAGCCCUUAAAAGUAUGACAUGAUGUAAUAAAUUUGGAAUUCAUUAUUUAUUUAAUGAUGUUCUAGUUUCACUUUUAUCAAUCUUUAUUCCAUGUAUUAUACUUUAUGAGCAUUCUUGUCUGCAUUUUUUGCAUUGUACAUGACUUAAGUGCAUUAGGAGUUACAUAGAAGAUCUAAGUAAUGGGUUUCUAGCAAAUAAAUGACUUGUUCACAACUGAUUCAUGGGUCUAGGCAACUGAUUACUACUCAAAAAGUGUUAUUUGAUAGCUUGUAAUUAACUCUUUUAAACACUUUUGAGUAGUAGUUAUCACCUUUUAACCCAAUUAACAUAUUAAGGACCCUUACAAUCAAUUCUAAUAAAAUUGUGUUAAGUUUUGGUGUUUUGAUAGCUUUUUUAUCACCAAAGCAAUCCGAGAUUGAGGAGAGUUCUUUGGAAUCCAUGGCAAAGAUGUCUGGACAGGGCGUCUGGACACACCAUCGGAGGGCGGCGGAAUAUGGGUUGUGGCAAGCUGUCGGAAUGACGUAGCAAGGCUUGCUCACUUUAGUCAAUGUUUUCCAUCCGGACAACAUAUCCGGAUAGGAUAUGCUAUCGUCCGCGGUGUGAUGUGCACGAGUGUCGUGUGCUUCUCCCUGAGGGAGUCCGGAUAGCAUAGCGGCGCGUGUCCUCUUGGGGAAUCCGGAUGGAGUUGCACCGGAUAGCAAUGCGCGCUCCGUGUCAUCAGGGGGAGGGGUCCCUACACCUUGUACACGCAGACGAUCCCCCUUGCGACGCGCGGGUAUCUCACUCCCGAAAUUCUGUCUGGUCAGACAUGUCCGGAUCCUCUGAUCGGAUAUUUCACAUCUGGAUAUCUCACAGCCGGAUGGGAGAGGAGGACGUUUCAACUUCCCUGGUCAGACAUGUCCGGAUCCUCUGAUAGCGCCUACCCGAAGAGUUUUUCUCUCAGUAUAUAGUGUCGCGGUGUUCUCCUGAAGCUUCCUGAUAUUUUCGACCGACAUCUUGAGAUAUUUUGCUUUAGAUAUUUGAUGUCUAAAUCCCCAAACUCUCUUUGUAACCCACCUAUCAUAGGAUCUCUUAGUCUUUAAGUAAGAAAAAGGGUGAAUAACCUCUGAUAUAUAUAGUUUGUAAUUUUCUUUAUAAGAAAUUAUGAUGUAAUCGGCGGAAGAAAGAAAUAUAUUUCACAGAGCACUUGCUCUGAUUUUCAUAUAUAUUUUUGUUUUCUCAUUCUUUUUCUUACUAGCCAAACAAGCUCUGAGGAAGUUUCCUCAGAGAAUGAGUGGCUAGACUUUUAGUUCCUUGGAGCUAAGGUUGCCGGGAAAGGUUUCAAGUGCAAGAAUUUAUAGUUUUGUGGUUUCGGCCAUUAAUGAAGAGAAAGUAUGAUCCUUUAAUGAUUUCUAUGUUUUUUAGUUAACUUAAAACACCUUCAAUUCACUUGAGACAACACUUGGUAAGGCAAGUGAUCUCCGUCCAUGGAGAUGCACUAGUUUGCCUCUUGCGAGCUUUUGAGAAGUGACUUGAAGGUAGGAUUUUCUAGAAUUGUCAACACUUGGUAAGCUUUUGGACUCCAAGGAGACAUCCAUUAGUUAUCUUUUGUGAGCUUGAGAAGGGAAGUCCAAAGUUAAUGAUCACCUUGAAUGGCAAAUGCUAGAUGAGAGGCACGAGCCAUUGCAAGUUGCAUCAAUGAGAAGAAACUAGAGUUGAAAUCCAUUUAAAGGAUACAUCUGUACAACACCGGUUAGAGAAUUGACUAUAUGUAAAUUCUCUAAUGCGAGGAAAUGAACCAAAUGACCGAAGCUCUAUUUUUGCAUAAGAAACCUCCCCUGUGAACCUAAACCUCCAAGGAAUGUUUUUCUUCAUAAGUCAUUUCCAUUACUUUCUUUUUAGUUAGCUUUAAACAAAAUCUCAUUUAAACAAAGUUUAUGUUUUAUUUCUUAAGCUAAUCUUGAAAUGAAAAAGCACCAAUUUAACUUUGAAUUGGUAUCAGUUGUGAGUUGAAAACCCUUUCCAGUGAACGAUCCUAGAGCCACUAUGCUAUAUUAGCUAAAGUUAUCCUAAUGCAUAGUGAUAUAGGUUAUAAAUUUUGUUGAUCACUCCCUCAGUCAAGGAGCACCAACUGGACAUGAAUCAGCUAAGACACCAAUUGGGAAUGAAUCAGCAACCCACUAGAGGUUGUAGUGCACCAUACCACCUUCUAAUUGGAGGGAUGACUAGUCUUAAUUAUCAGGAUGAGUUUCCCAUGGUGAGUGCAUUACUAUGUAUGGUUACAUAUUAGACAAGACCUACGGUGUGUCAUGGCUUAAGGCUAUCAAGUAGUCAUGACCUUACCAACCAACUUCAUUGUGUCAUCUCUCAACCUUAAGAGAAUAUUGAGUUUAUACUAAAGUUAGCAAUGGCUUUGACCUACGGGUGAGAUCAUAAGCUAAUCAUAUAUUCCCUAUGGAUUGGGUCAUUGUUGAUGGAAGUCGGUAGCAAUAGGUAUUCUCAAAAGAGGUACCAUGAUAUCUCAUGGGAUUUAGACAGUGUGUCCCCUUGGGUGAUCCUAAGAAAGUGUGUUCAUACAAACUAUGACCAUAGUAGUUCCUUAAGUGGAACUUGACAUAGACUCUUUAACAGCUAAGACAUGUCAAUUAAAUAUAUAAUUGGACGAUCUGUAACUCAAAGAUAGUAGAGGUAAUCUUUAAGGAUUGAUAACUUUCACCUUAUUAAACUACAAACACUAAUUCAUGGGAAAACUAAACAUAAUGGAUAGCAGGUCACGGAUCCGAGCACGUAAUAUCUCAUUGUUAUUUACAUAGGAUAUUGGAGUUCAAUUGAUUCUCUAUGGUGGAAUGUUGAAUCAACUUUAGAAUUGGAUUUUGAGAAAGUCAGUACUCCUACAGGUCCCAAUAGUCCACACUCUAAGCUCAUAUAACCUAUUGACACAUAUUAUGAGGGUCGGAUUGGCUUUAGGUUCAUUUUUGUGUAUAAGGGCAUUUUGGUAAUUACACAAGGUUACACAAGGAUAAGUUAACAAGGUCUCUGGAUUGGACUAAUUGAUUAAUUAAUAGGCCUUAUUGGGUUAAUUAAUCAAUUAGGACUCAUUUUGAGUUAGAUUAAAUGACCCAAGCCCAUGUGGGCUCAAGUCACUUAAGCCCACUUAGGAACCCUAUAAAUACCCCCUAGGAGUUAGGGUUUCCACAACUUUUGUCCUCCACCUGUUAGGAUAGAGCCCUUAAAAGUAUAACAUGAUGUAAUAAAUUUGGAAUUCAUUAUUUAUUUAAGAUGUUCUAGUUUCACAUUUUUUAUUUAAUGUGAAGACGUUUGGAACCCAUCCCUCCUUCACAGAUUUAUCCAAAAGUUGCAUGCUCUGACUCAAGUUUCCAUGCAUACACAACCCUCUGAAGUGAUCAUCAACUCCAUUACCUUAGUAGUUUUUUCCAUGUCAAGCAUACAGUUAGUUUUGAGAGCGAGACCCACUUUCACUAUGAACUCAAUGACCGUGCUUCGAUCAACUAGUUUGGCAUUUUCAUUUCUUUAUGGCAGCCAAAUUUGGACUAUAUCUAACACUUGGCAGCCAAAGGGCAUGAAUCAAAAACAGAGGAAAGCGACAGAAAAAAAAAAAAAAAAAAAACAAAGCACAAAUGGUUGAAACAAAACGAACUAAUAAAAGCCACAUUUUAUGUUUCAAUCAACCGGCUUAGAUGUAGGUGAGUGAAACUGAAAAGAUUUUAAACAAGAACACGAGUAUUAUUCAGACAUUCUAUAGGAAAGCUACAACAGAGAUAAUUCAUGCUCAAACAUAACCAAAGGAAAUGAGGCAUGAAUCAACUAUAACCAAAUCACAAAAACCAAGAGAUUAACAAUAACAAGUGUGUGUCCUACGGUUAUCCAGACCCAAAACAUGGAAAAUUUUAGAAUCUAAUUGAUAAAUGAAAGAAAAAAAAUGGAAAAAAUGGAAGAAAAUUAAAUACACAAUUUAAAGGACUGAGAACCUGACCUGAACUCUCCUGUGAGAUUUAGCAAUUUAUGAACGUAUCUUCAGGCCCCUGUAGAUGAAUCCAUGCUUGGUGGUAGUAUGCUUAUUGAUGAUAGUCUGGAGAUGUGGAAAUCAAAUGAUUCUGAUGAACUAAAUUUGAUGUGUGAUGAGAUAGAUGACGUGUUAUCUAAGGAUCACAAAGUUCAUCAAUAGAAACUCGUUUGAUGAUGCGUCAAUCUGAUGGAGAGAAUCCGUUGAUAAAAAAUGAUGAAAUGCCAAUUUGAAGAUAGUGACUGCGAUUCAUCUCCCGAUAUGAAUCUAAUGAGAACGUUCAGGAGUUAGAAAUGGAGAGCUCUAAUGGCAGUGGUGAUUUGCAGCAACGUCAAUCUCUGGUGGCAGUGAUAGCAAGCUCUAAUGGUGGUAAACUAUGCCGACAAAGACAAUCUCCAUGAAUUGCACAACAAACUUCAAUGGCGAUCUCCAGUGGUGGUGAUGAAUUCUCCUACAACAAUGAACUCUCAUUCUCCUGAAGAGAUGAACUCUCAAAUGUCGGUGAAUUAUUUUUAUAUAUUUUUUUAAUAAAUUUUAAAUGAAAUAAAAUAAAUAAAUUUUAAAUUUUUAUAUAUUUUUUUAAACUCAUUUAACUUAUUUUAAUUUUUCAAUUAUAAAAUUAAAUAAUUUGAAAAUAUAUAAAUUUCUAACUAAUUUUAAUUAUAUUUUAUUUUCUUUUAUAAUUUUCAUAUAUAGUAUAACCAAUACCAAUGUUUUCAAAAUCAGACCGAUGUUUGAACCGGAAAAGUUACCAGUUCACGGUUCAUUAGUCGAACUGGUAGUCAAACCGCGGUCGAAUCAAUGACAUCAUAAAUAAUAAUUUUUUUCUUUUUUCUCACUAACUAAUCCCACAUUGGAAAUGGAUCAAAAAUAUGUAGGAAUUGUGGUAUAAAAGGCAAGUUAGAAUCAUUAACUUGCAAGACUAAAAGCUUAUUGGGCUUGAUGACAAACGGGUUGGAUAGGCUCCUCAUGAAGUGAUCCGGUUCUCUUAUGGUAUCAAAACUUUUUUUAUGGCUUUAAACUAAAUAAAUAAAUAAACUAUUCGGAUCGCUAAGAAUCGCCCGGUUGGGGCGGUUCACUAGUUCAACCGUUGGUUUGAUGCCCAAACGGUUUUUUGGGUGGACCAGACUGGUUUUGUUACCGAUCGGACCAACUGGUCCGGUCCGAUUUUUAAAUCAUUAUCAAAUACAAUAAAAUAAUUUUCCUUAACAUUUCUUUUAUUUUUUUAGUACUUCUCAAGAAUCAAACAUAAUCAUAAGACUAAUCAUAUUUUUUAUUAUAAGAUCAUUCGAAUACAAUGCCCCAAGUGAGAAUCCCAAAACGUUUUUCAAUGUUUUACUAAUAUUAAGAUUUUGAAAAUCUAUACAAUUUCUUUUUUUUUUUUUUUAAUAUUUGGAUGAUAGAGCAUGAGUAUACAAGAAAGGUCAAUGCAAAGAUCAAUGCCUACAAUCUUGAAAUUGCACUUCUAGAGUUGGGCCCUAAAAGAAAACCCAAUAGGGGGAAGGGGCAGCAUUUAAACCUUGUUCAAUGGGCAUGGCAACACCUUGGAGAAGGAAAGUCAUAUGUGAAAGCACCGGAUGAGGAGAUCAUGGCACAAUGCUACUUCAAAAAAAUGAGUACUACGUUCCCAAUAAUCAAACUUUAUCAUGAAAAUGUUGAUGAUAGUGAGGAUUCUCUUAUUUACAAGUAUAGAGACAAAUAGGCAAAAGGUAAAUAAAUUAUUAAUAGAGCUUAAAAUAAUAAAUUGAGCAAAUAAACAUAUGGUAAGAUCGAAACUCAUUAUCCUCCUACUAAAUAAAAUUCUAAUACCAUAUUGGAUAACUAAAUUUUUUAAGAACUUAAACUUAAGAUUUGGAUCCUUAUGAUUGUAUAUCACACUUUCUAAUAAUAUAUCAAAUACUUUUCUAGAUUUUGUGUUGACUUGUGAUUACUUCUCUAAAUCAAUUUUUCAGCAUCUUGUAUAUAUGUAUUUGUUAGGAUGAAUCAAUUAUCAAUGAAUGCAAAAAUGCAACUCCUCAUAGAGUCUCUUGCUUAUUUCCUCUACAACUUAAUUAGAUAAACUUAAAAGAACUCCAGAGUGAUUUCACAAAGAAAUAGGAUAAUUAUUUUAUUUUCAAACCUGCAAAAAAGAUAUGGAAACCGUAUCAUUGAAAUAAUUAGAACAGAAAAUAAUUGGAAUCAAAGUGCUAUUGCCUUAUUUUAAAAACAAAAAAUAAAUAAAAUAAAUCUUAGGCGCCUUUAUGCAAAACUAAAUAUUAGUUGCCUAAAGCUCCUUAUUUGGAAUACUAGAUGGGCGUCAAGCAUCAUUUCAACUCGGCACCUCCUUCGGUAAAUACCAAAAAUAAUAUUUGUUUUGGGAACAAGACUAGAGUUUUGAGCGGAUAUAAUAUAUUUUAAAAAAAUGCACAAAAUAGAUUUUCAAGUAAAAUAAUUCUCAAGUUUCAGCUACAUGGGCAUCCAUAUGGUCGGAGAUUAUUAUUUUUUUAAUGUUGUUCUAUGUCAUAAAACUUUAAUUAGUAACUACGAUUUUAUUUUUUAAAACAUAAAAUGAUAGUUAGCUAUUAUAGUUUUAAAUUUAUUUUUAAAAUCAUAGUCAUCAAUUACGAUUAUAAGCUUAAAUUUAAAACCUUAGUUGGUAACUAAUGUUUUAACCGUUUUACAACAAAAUCAAAAUUAUAGUUCACAACUAUGAUCAUGUGAUAUAGAUACAAGUGUCAAUAAAACACUCCAAUUUGAAAAUUAUUUUGAGAGGGGAUCUACUUUGUAGAUUUUUAUUUGUUAAAAUAAAUUAUUUUUCCUCAAGCCUUAGAAAACUAACUUGUUUAGAACUAAAUUCAAUUAUACACUCUCCUAAUUUUUCUUUUUAUAAGAUCAAAUCCACGUUAUCAGUUUUCCACUAGAAUCCUCAUGAUUACUCGUAGGAUUCUGGAGAUGAAAUGGAAGUGUGGUAUGAGAUGCAUGCUUGUUUAAACUUCAGUUUCAAUCUUGGUCAAUAAUGUCCAUUCCCUUAGAUAUGCAGGAUGUGGAACCACUGCUGGAUCCUUUGUGAGACUUGACCAUCAGUAUCCUUCUCUCCAUUUGUGGGGUACUGCCCACUUGAUCACUGCUGUGGAAAUUUGACCAACACACCCAAAUUCCCAACAACCCAAAACCACAGAUUUCUUCAUCCUUCCAUCCAUCUUUCUUGAAGUAAAAUAGACAUCCAUGUGGUCUUUGUUUUUCAUUGGUUUCACUUUCUCCCAAGAAUACUAAUCUUGUCUUUAUUGACUGAUUAGUUUAAUUAGAGAUCAUCCAAGAAAAAGAAUAUCACAUUUUAUAUUAAAAAAAAAAAGUAUUGAAUAUAUUAGCAAGAUAUCAUCCUCGAAAAGUUGGAAAUGUAAUCUUGUACAAGGAAAGGAAACAAGGGGGAGUCUUAAAUAAAUUGUUUCCAAAAGAGACCAAAUGACCCAUGUCUUUAGGGGUGUAUCCUUCAUGUAUAUAAAUAAGCAUUGAAAGCGAGGGAAUAUGGAAGUUUAGAGACAAGACUUUGUUUUCUAUGAAUAAAUUAAAUGUGGUUUCAUGGCUUCCAGCCCUUUUCAAAGUAUUCAGUGGAGAUUGGCCCGAUUCCAAUGGAUUGAUCACUUUUUCCAUAAUGCAUAGUUUGAUUAGGUCACCAACCAUUCGCUAAGCCGUCAUACCUUUUUUCUACACCAACUCAAAAACCCCACUUGUCCAAUAUGUUUUUAUUUUUUAAAACAGCCAUUAACACAACAUUUUUAAACACAUCCAUUCUCAUGUCUCUCUACCUAACGUUAAUAUCCCAUUUUUAAGUGAUUGAUGUAACCAUUUUCAAACACUUCCAUUUUCAUAUCUCUCACAUAUCUCCAUCUGAAUUUUGAAGUGAUUCUACUUUGAAAAAAAAUACUUUUAAAGAAAAUAUUUCAAUUAAAAACACAUUAAACAAAAAAUACUAUUAAACACACUUUUAAUUUAUAUUAUUUUUUAUCAGUAACACUUUUACUAUAAAAAAAUACUUUUAGUGGUAAUCACUUAAUAUUUGAAUAUACAAAUAAAAUUUACCUUUUAUAUAAUGUAUUAGAAAAAAAAAGGUUUUUAAAAGAAACAUCCAUCAAUAUAUUAUAUAACAAAUUAUUGUCUUUAAAACCUAAUUUUUAUUAUAAAAAAAAUGCUUCUAAAAAGGUAUUAUAUCUCACUCAAAAUUACUACCAAAUCAAUUCUAAUAAUAGUUUGAAAAUGGGUUGAACUUUUAUAUUUAUCAAGAAAAAAUUGUAGAAGUAACCACUAUGUUUGAAAAUUAUAUGUCAAAAAUAUUUUUAUUAAAGAGAAAGAUAAUUAUAACAAAGCUUAUUGUCAUUAUUUCUCGAUAACACAAUGAAAUCGUAUGGAGCUUAUAAUCAAAAGUUCUUUUCAAAUGACUAACAAAGGGUUUUAUUCUUGAGUUGUUUUAAUUUACUACUAUUUUUAUCAUUUACCUAUGUUAUUAAUGGUGAUUAAAUGAUAAAAAUAUAUAUAUUUAAUGCAUAUUAAUUUCUUUUCACAUCCAAUUUUCAAGUGGAUAUGCUAUAAAAAUGUUGUAAAAUAAUUUUUUUAAAAUAACAUUUUCAUGUGAUUUUUUAUUCAUAAUUAGUUAUAGAAAAAAAUUAAAAUGCUUAGUUAUGAUUAAAACGAUUCCAUUUCAUAUUUGACAUCAACACAUGUUAUUUUAUCAUCUAAUAUUGUUACAUUAAAAAACACUCAAUUUAACAUGAAUAUUAUUAAAUAUAUAUAUAUAUUUAAAAUUAUUUUAAUCUUUCUAUUUAAAAAAAAAAAUUGAUGCAUUAUCGAUAUUUCCAUGAAAUCCACACGUGUCCCAUGAUUAUAGACUAAUUCGUUUGUAGUGUGGACGCAAUGACAAGUCAGAAGUCUCCCAUUUCUUUUCUAGUCAAUGGGCAUGUUCCACAUUUAUUUAUGAUAUUUCGGAUUACACGAAGACUUCCAAAAGCAAUCGAUGGCCCAUUUUUCUUCUGAUAAGCUUCAUGGAAUCUUUUAGACGAAGGAGGAUGCUACUUCCACAUUCUUUAACCGAGCGUGUCAACCAAGCUCUCUCGAAUUUUUCUAUAUUCUUAAUUUCUAAAAAAAAUUCAAUAUGGGAUAUCUAUUUUAAAAUUAUCUUUUUGAUAGAUAUUUUAUAAAUUUUAAAAUGUUUUUUCAAUUAUUAUACAUCUCAAAUUAUUUCUAUACCAUUUUUUUAUUUGGUCUUAUCUAGUUUAAACAAUGAUAAGAUAAUUUCAUAUAUGAUUUUUUAAGUAUUAUUGUUUGUAACCUAAAUCCAUUUGUGUGUAUUAUUUUACCUUAAUUUCGUUUGUUUGCAUGUUCAACCUAUGACCUAAAUUUCAUUACAUAUAUUCAACCAUUUAGAAUUUUUGUUUGAUAUGUAAUGUUUUACCUUAAUAUGUUCUCAAAUUACAUAUAUUAUGGGGAUAUAUAUAGAUAGAUUAUGGUUUGUUCCAUUUCCGUCACUUCAUGAGUUUCCCCUAAUCCACUUACUCCACUCCCAAUAGUGAUAAACUAUAUCUUGAAAGUGAAGUUGGCUUCACUUAUCCCUGAAUAAAAGACCUAUCCUCAAGAGUCAAGAUACUCCAAUUUGAAUUUGAACUCAAACCUAAGGAUAGAUCUUCGACCACCACCAUCUAUUGUCUCCUAAUAGGGGAGAUAUUAUUAGCCUUUUUUUUUCUUUUUCUUUUUUUCUUUUACCCCACUUUAACCAAAAGAUAAGAUAAGCUUAUUACAAGAUUAUAGAAAGAACGUACUUGUCUUUAUUUAUGAUAUUUUUUUUAAAAUAAUUCAACUUUAUUAAAUCUAAGUUAGAUAUAAAUUCCAAUUAUUCUACUUUUGACCAAAUCAUAGCGGUGACCAACACUAACUAUUUAAAAAAUUAAAAUAAGUAAAAAAAAACACUUUUUUUAACUUUAAGGUGGUAGAGCUUCAAAACAAUGAACUAAAAAGAUAAAACUAAGUGCAAGUUAAAAUAGAGAAUAAGGAACUCAAACAUUUUAUAAGAUAUACUUGACAUAAGUGAAAAUAAUUUAAAAGAAAAAAUAGUUCUUGCUUUGUGUGAAACAAAGUACUAUUAUUUUUAUGUUUAUUUCAUGUUAUCCAUAAAACAAUACAAAUGAUUUCAAUAGUUUGAGUGUUCUCCAAUUUUUAAAAUUCAUUCUCACUAUUUCAAGCUAUAUUUACUAAAGUUAUAUGUUGGAUUUCUAAAAAUGAGGGAAUAUAUAAGUUAAUGGAUGAAGGUUUGAUUUUAACAAUAAGGAUUGUGUUAUGGUGCUCAUACAAUUCGAACCAAAAUACACGCAACAACUCUAGAAGUAAUGAUGUAAUGUUACUUAUGUUGGAUUUUAUGAAAAUAUCAAUAAAAAUACUUAUAUUCGUGUAAAGUUUAUGUGGUACCAAUCAUAUGAUAUCAUAUAAACAUUUUAUGUUUUAUUACUGGUUUCAUUCAUCUAUAUUUAUCUUAUCUAUUUAUGUUUUAACCCUAUAUAUUUAUAUUUUCAUUCAAUAUAAAUUUUAUCAUAUAGUUUCAAUAACAAAAACAAAUGUACAUUUAAUACCGAAACUGCUUCUAACAUUAAAGUAAAUAUGAUUUCACGAAUUUCAUAUUUUCUAUCAUCUUUACCAAAAUUGAAUAGGGUUGAUUACUUUUUUCCCAUUCCAUGAUUUGAUCGCGUGAAGAUGAUUCCACCACCAAUCAUUUACUAAAAUGUGACACCCAUUUUCUACACCAACUCAAGCACUCCACUUUUGUUAAUAGCUUUUAGCCGAUAUAAAAAAGUGAACAAAACCGCUUUCAUAUUUUACCUACCAGGGCUAAGAAAUAUAAAUAGAGAUAGAAAUAAUUACUAUUUGUUAAAUAUAUAUUUUAUGUUUUAAAUAUAUAUAUAUAUAUAUAUAUAUAUAUAUAUAUAUAUAUAUAUAUAUAUAUAUAUAUAUAUAUAUAUAUAUAUUCUUUUUAAAAAUAAAAAUAAUCAUGAUAUUAAUUUGUUAAAAUUUACUCUAACAUCAUCUAAUACAAAUAAAUCAUGUACGAAAAUGCAAGAAUUAUGAUCAAGAGUUUCAUCCAACCAAUUAUAAAAAUUAUGUUUUACCUUUAAAAUUGGUUUUUAACACAAAGCUCUUCUAAUUCAGAACUUUAUUCUUUUACUCUUAUUUUUAUCAUUUAAAUAUAUGAUUAAUCAUGAUUAGAUAUUAAAAAAACAACUUUCAUAUUUAAUAUAUUCCCUUAUCAUCGAUUAAGUUUGAUUUUUUUUUUUUUUUGUUGUGUGUAUAUCUUUAUACUUUUUCUUCUUACAAAUUUUUUUUCACAUUUUAAUAUUUUUAUCAUUUACCAAAGCUUCAUUUAAAAUUUUCGUGUUUUUGAUAAUUUUUUAUUUGUAUAAAAAUUUACAUGAAUAUAAAUAUUUUUAUUGAUAUUUUGAUAAAAUCCAACAGCAGGGACAUUUCAUCAUUGCUUCUUGAGGUGGUGCGUGUAUAGUGCAUAUAGCAUGGGAAUAAGGAUAAGUCUCCUUUUUUACUAUUCAAUUCAAUGCCCUUUCACAUUCAUUUAUUAAUUGUUUGGACUUGUGAAAGCAACCUUCCCCCGUUUUCUUGACGCAACCUGCUACUUCCACGUGAGCAUGCCAAACACGCUUAGGGCCUGUUUGUUGAUGUUUUCAAAUACAUUUUUGGAAACAGUUUUUAGUGUUUUCAGAAAUAAAAUUAUGUUUGUUUAUUCUCAAAAAUAAAAAGAAUUAAAAAAAAACAUAUUUAUUUCAAUUAAUAAAAAUAAUUUUUAAUAACAAAUAAAACAAAAAAACUUGUUUGGAAAAUAUUAUUGUUGGUUUUGUUUUUUAAAGUUGAGUAUUUUAUUUAACUAAUUGAUAUUGUAAAUAUAUAAAUAAUUUUUCUUCAUAAAAAUAAAAAUGUUUCAUUUUGAACAUUUUUUGCAUUGGUUUUAAUUUUUUAAAACAAAUUAUUACUUUGUAAACAUGUCUAAAUAUGUUUGAUUUUAAUAAUUGAUAAACACCAUCUUAUCAAAAUAUCAUAAAUCGGUAAAUAUCAAUAAUUGGAUUUUAUGAAAUAAAAUUUAUGAUAUCAAAUAAUAAUGCAUUAUACUUGGAAACUGAUGAUCUAUCUUUUUUACUAAUAAUAUAUUUAUGAUAAUUUUUAUUUAAAAAUAUUUAUAAUUAUAUUUUAUAUUUAAGAAUUAUAUAAAAGAUAAAAAAAAUUAAAGUAAAUCAAACUAAUUUAUUUAUGAAAAUUUAUUAAUUUUUACUAUUUUACAUAUUAUAUAUAUAUAUAAGACAAGAAUCCUUGUUCUCUUUUCUCUCUUCUCCUCAUGGUUUCUCUUCCAAGACCCAAACUUUUAUUCACGGUUGAACUAUUUUUCUCCUCAAAGAACAACUCAUGAAAGUCAAAAUCUAGAUCUAUGAUUGUUGUAAAGAUUAUUGGUUAGGAUUUUGCCUCUUGUGUUAUUGUUUAUGUUUUUGUUUGGUUUUUGGGAAAUCCUAGAAUUUAUGGAAGUUUAGGCUUUGAAAUGCAUUAAAAAAAUCAUAUUAGGAUAAAAUCCCAAAAUAUCCAAAAAAUAUUGAAAUGGAAAUAAAAAAAAUAAAAAUAAAAAAAUUGAAUUUUUGUUAAACCGAAUUUUCAAUUUUCUAAUUUUUCCCAUUUUCCUUGGCAGUGUAAAAAAAAAAAUGAUAAGAACACCCAAGAAUACUAAUUGAAAACACAGACAUUUUUUUUUUUUUUUACUUCUUAGAAUAGUGGCAACAACACAAAAAAAAAAUCAUUUUAAAACCAGAUUUUAGAAAACACAUAAAACACUUGAGAACAAAAAAACACUCUCUUAUCAAACAUGAUUUUUGUGUUUUUGUUCUAAAAAUGGAAAACAGUUUUUGGAAACACCAACCAAACAAGUCCUUAAUGACUCAUUUUUCUUUUCUUUUUUUUGCUUAUUUGUGUAUUCUGUUUUCUAUUUUUAUUUUUAAAGAAAAUAAAAAUCAAGUUUAAAAACAUGUUUAGAUAUUAUUCUUAAUUUUUAUUUUUGAAAAAUUGAGUUCAAAAAAGGUCAAAAAUGAAAAUAAUAAUUUGGUGCUUUUAAAAAAAUUUUAUGGCGAUGUUUUUCAAUCUAACAUAAAAAUAGAAAAAUUAUCUUUAGAAUUAAUUAUAAAAUUAUAAUAAAAAAUUUUGUAUAUUAUUUUAAAAUAAAAAUAUAAUCAAAUACAAAAUAAUAAAAUAAAACAAGGAACAAAUAUGAUAUAAUAUCAUAUAGUAGCAUAUAAUAUAUAAUAUAUAAUAUCAAUAAAUAACAACUAAUAAAAUUAUUAUAUAUGUUAUAUUUUAUGCUUGCUAAAUCAAUUUAAUGUUUUAAAGUGACUUCAUAACUUGAUUUAAAUUAUUAAAUAAAUUAAAAUUUUGAUAAAAUAACUUAAUAUCAUAAUUUAAAAUUAAAAUAAUUUUAAGUGUUAAGUCAAAAUAAUUAAUUUAUUUUUAAUGUCAAAUCAUUUUUAUUAGAUAUUUACUUUGUUCAGUAAAAUUGAGUUAAUCUUUUGAAAUUAUCAAAUUUACAUUUUUAUUUUUCUUAAUUUAAAGCAAUAAAUUUAUUUGUUACACGAUUUGUAUUAAUCGUAUUCCAAAUAUAUAAAAUAAUUACAAUAAUUACUAAAUAUUUAGCUCAAAGAAAAUGUGUCGUGAAUAUAAAAUCAUGCAUAUUAUAUAAAUUACUAUUACAUGUGUGAGUAAAUAAGAUAGAAAUGAUUUAACAUUCAAAAUAAAUUUAUUAUUUUAAUUUAAUAUUUAAGAAUUAGUUUUAAUAUUAAAUAUAUUUAAUUUAUUUAAUAACUCAAAUUAAGUUAUUAUUAAUUAUUUAAUAUAUAAGAAUAAAAAGAUAUAAAAUAAAAGCAAGGAAAUAUAAAAUAUUUCAAAAUUAUUAAUUAUUUUUUCAUGAGUGGAUAUAAAAAUAACUAGGGGAGUAUGAUUUUAAUUUUAUAUUCUUAUACUGCUGCUGGAAUAAUAUGUUUGCAUUAUUUUUCGAAGGUGAAAAUAUAAAAUUACAAACAUUCAAAUAACAUAUAGAGAUUGUUUUGUUACCAUUUUAAUAGGAAUAACUAUAAAUGCAUAAGAGCAAUUCUCAUUGGAUAUAGUUUCUAUAUACUUCAUUAAAACACGGAAAAUAAUUUAAAUUUAUUCUAAAAAAGUAGUUCAAUUUUGAAAAACAAGCCCUCAAAACCUUGUUUCCAGCACAAAACUUGCCAAUGAGUCACGUGGUAUAAACUUCCUUUGAUUGAACUUUUGAAGAAAAAAAUCACGCAGUGUUUUGUUUUUGAAAAGUGUAAAGAAAAAUAUAUUUGUUUUUAUAUCUACAUAUUAACAAAAAGGAAACUUUCAAUCCAUGUUAUAAAUAAUAAAAUAUGAAUUAAACAUUUUUGCUCUUCUUUCUUUCCUCAUGAGCACACCAUAGUAGUCUAUCUGGUUCUUAGAAAAUAUUAAGAAUAGAAAAAAAAAAUAUUAAGAAAUAAUUUUUUUUUAUAUUUUAUUAACAUGAAAAAUAUUAAAAUCAAAUCAAUGUAAUUAAAAAUAGUUUAAAUUUUAUGCAUUUUAAAUUAUUUUAUCUUUAUAUAAGAGAAAAAUAAAUAAAUGGGUUUAAAGAAACAUAUAAAUAUAAUUUAUUAAUAAUAUUAAUUUUUUUUUUCAUUUUCCUUCAUCUAAAAAACUGAAGAUUUUUUUAAAAAAUAAAAAAAUUACUACCUAAAUUGACUUGCCUUUUAAGUAAUAAUUAUUAGGAAUAUAAAAUAGUAUUAAUAGGAUAAAAUAAAGCGUCAUGUAAGCUAAUAUUUUGUAUUUUAUAAUUACAUAGAGUAAUCAUAAAGUCACAUAUGACAAAACCAAAUAAAUAAAUAAAUGAGAGCUUGCAUCACCAACUGGGUUAUUAAAGUAAUUAAGCCAAGAAAAUUCUUAUGCAGAGUCUGAUGAUUCAACAAGCUACCUUCCAGACAAUGGUGAUGACUUUGAAGGAAUCCUUCCUCCAAUAAGAAGAUCUAAGUAAUCAUCAGCCUUUUGUCUUCCAUCAAGAAUAUUUUACAAGCUUUGCAGUUUCUGUUCCAAAAGCAGCAAGCAUGUGUCUACACAGCAGCCUGCCAGAAGUCUUCUCAGCCAAAAGAGGGUUUUUCGGGGGAUUUCGGUAUAAAAGUGAAUCUUACUAUUCACUAUUCACUAUUCAAGCACGGGUCUACUAUUCAUGGUUACUAUUCAAGUUUCCUUUUUUGCCUAUUUAAGGAGGCUCGAGCCUCAUUUGUAAGCACGUUCAAUUUAGGCUCCCAUGCUCUCCAUUCUCUCUUCUUUCUCUCUCAUCAUGUAAACUCUUCAAGCUUUCAAGCUUUCUUCAAGCUUUCCUACCCCUGUCUAUUGUAAGAUAUUUCUCCUUGUGUAUAAUAUAAGUAUGUUUUGAUUACCUCCUAUAUGGAUGGUUUUUAAUUAUGUUUUGUUUUUCAUUUUAUUUUAUGUUCUUGUACUGCCUAUAUGGUCGGUUUUAAUUAAGCUUUGUUUUUAAGUUUAUGUCUUUUAUUUUGUACCGCCUACAUGGUCGGUUUUAAGCUUAUUAUGAACUAACAAGUUUUUGGUUCCUUCUCUUUAAAUUUCUUUAUUGGAUAUCUUUUGUAUUUUCUAACCCUCUUCUUUGUUUUGAAUCAUGGCAUAAUUCCGAUUUUCUGGAAAUCUUGAGGGGUCUUAGCUGCUGCAAGCAUGGCUUGUAACUGUUGCUUUUUAAGGAGAAACUGAGACAUAUCAUCACUGGCUGAGACUUGUGUGGGAUUUUGGAGGAAAUACUGCUUAACUGUAUCAAUAGAUGCGUCAUUUUUUAAGGCAUCCCACCAUUUAGUUUUAAAGGUCCUUCCAAGAGAUGGAAAGGCUGCUGAUUCAUCUGUAAUGAUAAUAUAGUCCCACUGGACUAUCCAAGCAAGGCCAAAUUUGCUGAAGAAGAAUAGUAAAGGGGGAAAAGCUGAAAGUUCUCUAGGGAUAUCAUUAUCUGAAUCAGUCCUUGAUUCAGAGUCUGAGUUUAACAUUACCUUACAAAGCAUAUUUUUUAGGUCAUCUGAGACACUUAAGUUGUUAAUCUUUUGCUUAACUCUACAAUUUUUUUUAUAAUGGCCAACUUUGCCACAUUUAAAACAGAUAAUUGGCUUGAUGUCUAAAGGAGUUUCUUACUUUUUCUGGGUAUCUCUGUUGACCCUUCUUUGGACGUGCCUUGACUGCUUAGUAUCAUUCAUCCUAUAGUUGUCAUAGGUACCUCUCUUACUGUGGUAAAACUUAUCUUUGCUAGGCUUCCUGCUUGGCUUUUGCUUAGAGGGAGGCAUAGUUUCUUUUUGGCUGAAACCAAACUGGCUAUAGAAUGAUCCAAAUUCAUUCUUGUAGAUUUUUUGUUCAUUCUUCAUUUGUUGCUUAAGCUUGAAGUCAUUGCACAACUUAAUCCCUUUAGCUGUGACAAUGCUUAUAAUCUCACCAUAGGUUAGCUUAUCAUAAGGGAUUUGACCAUUAUACUGUUCCCUUAUCUUGAUCCUAAUUCUCUCAGAGAAAAGCUUGGGUAAUCCUGAGAUGAACUUUUCUUUCCAAAAAGACUGGUUACAAUCUGAUCUUAGCAUGACUUUGGUUAGGAAGACUUCCUUAUACCACCUAAAAUCAUGAAGCUUGGGACACUUAAGGUUGGUUAAGAGAUCUGCAGUUUUAUCCUUAAUUUUUGCAGGAUCUCCAAUGAAGUGCUUGGAUAUUGAGUAGAUUAGAGUAGCCACUGCAUCCUCAAUAUCUUGGCCAUCUUCGUCUUUAACCACUUCAUUACUCUCAUUAAUCCUAUAGGCUUUAAGGAUACUAUUUCUAUCAUCAAAAGUGAGAUAAUUAUCCCACCAACCCUUAAGCUGUCCUAUAAACCCAGCAACAAUGGUCUGAGCUACAGCAUGAUCUGGCAGUCUAUUGUUUAAUUUAUAGGUUGUACUAACCAUGGUCAUUUCUUGAAGCUUAGUGAGUAUGUUAUACUCGGUCAUACCGUCUAUGUUCCAUUCAUAGAUAGUACCACUGGUGUAUGAGGCUUGAGUAUACUGAUUUCUUUCCUCAAACUGCAUGUCAGGAAAAGUAGGCCUAGGAUAGUAAUUCCUAGUCUUAAAGGUUUCCAAGUUGUUAAUAAUUUGAUUAUGGGGUUCCUCAAACAUCUUAAUUAGUUCAUCAGCUUCUUCUUCUGAACUAAUAUCACCUUUAACCAUAUUGAUUCUCUUAUCAGGCUGAACAGUCAAAGGGGCAACAAGAUUAUCCUUAAUCUUUUGAUUAAUCCUAUCAACAAAAGCCUGGUUGAUUUGGGGAUUUUCUUGGAAUUCCUUAGAAAAUUCAAAGGACUCAGUGCUCUUCGUAUUAUUAACACGCUUAUAAGGAUAAUCUGGAUAUUCCUCUUGUUUGAAGAGUUCAAACCAAAUCCAAAACUUAAUAUUUUUCUUUUCUUGUCUUAAGUAGGCAUAGAAUUCUUCUUGGUAAAUGGUUCUAAUGACCUUAGGGACCGUGCUAAAGAACCAAUCAUUUCUUUGCUUAUUGACUUCAGAAUAGAAGUCUUUUCUUAAGAGAUCCUUGUUGAUCUCAAAGUCCUCAUCACUUAGGCUUAUUGUGUUAAUCAUCUGGGAAUAGGUAGGAGACAUAACAGGGGACUCAUCCUGUUGGGAUUCUUGAGUAGACUCAUUUUCCUCAGAGUAAAAUGGUCUAGCCACGUUGGUGUAACUUCUGACACCUGUUAGCUUAAUGUUCUUAGGAUUUCCUGAGCUGGAUCCUUCUUCUUCCCUAGUGGUUCUAACUGGGAUGGAAGAGCUUGAAGCUCUAGAGGGUUCAUAAACAGAAACUCUAGGGCUGUUAGAAUGUUUGAAAGAUUUGGAGAAAACGAGUUCUCCUCCUCCAUCUGGAUAUUGAACAAUUUGUUCAAUACUUUCAGAACGUUGUGCAAUGGCUGGAACAUCAUUAGCAAAAUGUCAAUUUUCAGGAAAAUCAACAUCUUUCCACAAGAUCUUCUUGGGGAUGAUGAAAUCUGACUUAUCUAACAUAUCUGAGUGAAAGUAAGUGGUCUCACCUUUAGGACUGGUGCAAAGAGCCCCAGAUCCAACGCUUGUGUUCAUGCUCUUAUAGGCAAACCUGGUUAUGAUUGAAACAGGACUGUUUCCUGGUUUGAUCUUAAAGCCAUGGGUCUUAAUAUGCAGGACAACGGAAUCUAAGAUGUUUGCAUCUCUUAUUCUAACUGUGAAGUUAGGAUAGCACUGGAAAUAAACUGGGUCAUCAUUCAGUCCAGCUUGGACUGCGCCUAUAAUAGAAUCUCGAUAUUCGAGAUGCCUAUUAUCCCUUAAACACAUGACAAUAGAGGUGUUUAAACCUAAUCUUGUCAAAGGCUUAGCUGCUACUUGAAUCAUACCAAAGUGUAUGAAAUUAUAGUCAUCUUUCUUAUGCUUUUCAACGGAUCUGUUAUCUAGAAGUCUUAUGACUUGGUCGUCUUGUUCUAAACUGACUGACAUUUCAGAGGUCUUGAUGGUAUAACUAUAAAUGCAUAAGAGCAAUUGGAUAUAGUUUCUAUAUACUUCAUUAAAACACUGAAAAUAAUUUAAAAUUUAUUCUAAAAAAGUAGUUCAAUUUUGAAAAACAAGCCCUCAAAACCUUGUUUCCAGCACAAAAUUUGUCAAUGAGUCACGUGGUAUAAACUUGCUUUGAUUGAACUUUUGAAGAAAAAAAUCACGCAGUGUUUUGUUUUUGAAAAGUGUAAAGAAAAAUAUAUUUGUUUUUAUAUCUACAUAUUAACAAAAAGGAAACUUUCAAUCCAUGUUAUAAAUAAUAAAAUAUGAAUUAAACAUUUUUGCUCUUCUUUCUUUCCUCAUGAGCACACCAUAGUAGUCUAUCUAGUUCCUAGAAAAUAUUAAGAAUAGAAAAAAAAUAUUAAAAAAAUAAUUUUUUUGAUAUUUUAUUUAACAUGAAAAAUAUUAAAAUCAAACCAAUAUAAUUAAAAAUAGUUUAAAUUUUAUGUAUUUUAAAUUAUUUUAUCUUUAUAUAAUAGAAAAAUAAAUAAAUGGGUUUAAAGAAACAUAUAAAUAUAAUUUAUUAAUAAUAUUAAUUUUUUUUCCUUCAUCUAAAAAAAAUGAAGAUUUUUUUUUAAAAAGAAAAGAAAUUAUUAUCUAAAUUGACUUGCAUUUUAAGUAAUAAUUAUUAGGAAUAUAAAAUAGUAUUGAUAGGAUAAAAUAGAGUGUCAUGUAAGCUAAUAAUUUUGUAUUUUAUAAUUACAUAAAGUCACAUAUGACAAAACCAAAUAAAUAAAUAAAUGAGAGCUUGCAUCACCAACCGGGUUAUUAAAGUAAUUAAGCCAUUUGACAUCAUAUAUGAACCCAUAUGAGAUUUUUUUUUUUUUUUGAAAAAAAAGAAAGGAAAAAGAAAUUCCUCUUGAAAGGGGGUGUUUUUUAAAAAAAAAAUUUAAAAAUAAGCUUUUUAAAACAAGACUAUUUGGCAAGAAGUUUUAAAAAAGAAAACAAAAAGUUUGUUUGGAUGAAAGAAUUUAUAUUGUUUUUAUGUUUUACUUUUAUUUUAUAAAAAAUUUACAAAUUCAAUUUAUAAUAAUAUGAAAUCAAAUUUAAGUCUUAUUAAAAAAAAAUUAAAUCUACAAUUAUGUAUAACUUAGAUAAACAUUUUUUAAGUUGUUUUGUUGAAUAAGUUAAUAUAUGAAUGAUAUAAUUUAUCAUAUUUAAUAAUAAUAUUAAAUGCAUCCAUAACAAAUAUGAAUUUUAUAAGUAUGCAUUCAUUAUUAAAAUAUAUCAAAUAUAUAUCAUAGUCCAAUAUAUUUAUAAAUAGGCCAGCUUGCUUAAGUGGUGUGCAAGGUUUAUUACAAAUCCGUGUGAGUAGCGGUAGCACAAAACACCGAGUUCAUUGGUCAUGGACUCGGGGCUCCUUCGUAAUUAAUUCCAACAAGCAAGUCAGUUUGUAAAAUUCAGUAGAAUAAAUUCUGUCAGCGCCCCAGAUUUUGAAAUUGAACCGUUGGUUUCCACCACAUUCCCAGCAUUCUUCCUCCCAACUCUUUCCCGACCAUCUUCCUACCUCCUCACAGAGAAGCCGGUGACGAACUCAACGUCACAAAAUGCCGAAACUACCCUUUUUAUUUGCCACAAUUCCAUUUCCAGGCCAUCUUCCUCCCUCCUCACAGAGAAGCCGGUAACGAACUCAACGUCACAAAAUGCUGAAACUACCCUUAUUAUUUGCCACAACUCCAUUCCCCACCCUGUUCUUCCUCCUCGUCCUCUCCAUAUUUCAGGUAAUUUCCCAAAAUUUGGACGAUGAACGAUCAAUCCUACUAGACGUUAAACAACAACUGGGCAAUCCACCGUCACUCCAAUCGUGGAAUUCCUCAUCCUCGCCCUGUGAUUGGCGGGAAAUUACAUGCACCGACAAUACCGUCACUGCAAUUUCACUCCACAAUAAGACCAUCAGAGAGAAAAUUCCAGCCACAAUUUGUGACCUCAAGAACCUCAUCGUACUUGACCUUUCCAACAAUUACAUUCCCGGCGAGUUCUCGGAUAUUCUCAAUUGUUCCAAGCUUGAGUAUCUGCUCUUGUUGCAAAACUCCUUCGUGGGUCCAAUUCCAGCUGAUAUUGAUCGACUUUCACGUCUCCGGUACCUAGACCUCACAACAAACAACUUCUCUGGAGAUAUUCCCGCAGCAAUUGGGAGGCUACGGGAGCUGUUCUACUUGCUUCUGGUUCAAAAUGAGUUCAACGGCACCUGGCCAACGGAGAUUGGUAAUUUGGCGAAUCUUGAACAAUUGGCCAUGGCCUAUAAUGACAAAUUCCGGCCUUCAGCCCUUCCAAAAGAGUUUGGCGCAUUGAAGAAGUUGAAAUAUCUGUGGAUGACGCAGGCGAAUUUGAUUGGCGAAAUACCGGAGAGCUUCAACCAUCUGUCGAGUCUGGAACACUUGGAUCUCUCACUCAACAAAUUAGAAGGUACGAUCCCUGGAGUCAUGCUUACGUUGAAGAAUUUGACCAAUUUGUAUUUAUUCAAUAAUAGAUUGUCCGGCCGCAUUCCUUCAUCCAUAGAAGCUCUCAACUUGAAAGAAAUUGAUCUUUCCAAGAACCAUUUGACGGGGUCGAUACCAGCGGGUUUCGGGAAGCUACAAAAUUUGACCGGUCUGAAUCUUUUCUAGAAUCAGUUGUCAGGAGAGAUACCAGUAAAUAUAAGCCUCAUUCCUACACUGGAAACUUUCAAAGUUUUUAGCAAUCAAUUGAGUGGAGUUUUGCCUCCAGCAUUUGGCCUUCAUUCGGAGCUCAAACGCUUUGAGGUUUCCAAGAAUAAACUAAGCGGGGAAUUACCUCAACAUUUAUGCGCUAGGGGGGCUUUGCUUGGAGUGGUUGCUUCCAACAACAAUCUCAGCGGGGAAGUGCCCAAGUCCCUCGGGAAUUGCACAAGUUUGCUCACCAUUCAGCUUUCCAACAAUCGCUUUUCAGGUGAGAUUCCUUCCGACAUCUGGACAUCCCCGGACAUGAUAUGGGUGAUGUUAGCUGGAAAUUCAUUCUCGGGGACACUUCCAAGUAAAUUGGCAAGGAAUUUGUCCAGAGUGGAGAUCAGUAACAACAAGUUUUCUGGUCCAAUUCCUGCUGAAAUCUCUUCUUGGAUGAACAUAGCUGUGCUCAAUGCCCGCAACAAUAUGUUGUCAGGAAAAAUUCCAGUGGAAUUGACCAGUCUUCGGAACAUCUCUGUUAUGUUGCUUGAUGGGAAUCAAUUCUCGGGUGAGCUUCCAUCCGAGAUCAUCUCAUGGAAGUCGCUCAAUAAUUUGAAUCUCUCAAGAAACAAACUUUCUGGCCCAAUUCCCAAGGCAUUAGGUUCUUUACCUAACCUUAAUUACCUUGACCUGUCAGAAAACCAGUUCUCAGGUCAAAUUCCUCCUGAACUUGGUCAUUUGACGCUUAAUAUCCUCGAUCUAUCGUUCAACCAACUCUCUGGGAUGGUCCCCAUUGAGUUUCAAUAUGGAGGAUAUGAACACAGUUUCUUGAACGAUCCCAAGCUGUGUGUCAAUGUUGGCACUCUGAAACUCCCUAGAUGUGAUGCCAAAGUCGUUGACUCCGACAAAUUGUCAACCAAAUAUCUCAUUAUGAUCCUAAUUUUUGUUGUAUCUGGUUUCCUAGCUGUUGUUUUGUUCACCCUGCUCAUGGUUCAAGAUGAUAAUAGGAAGAAUCACAGUCGAGACCAUACACCUUGGAAGGUUACCCAAUUCCAAACACUAUAUUUCAAUGAACAGUACAUAUUGACCAGUUUGACAGAAAAUAAUUUGAUCGGACGCAGUGGUCAGGGGAAAUAUACCGAAUUGCUAAUAACUGUUCUGGUGAACUCCUAGCGGUUAAAAAGAUUUGUAAUAACAGGAGAUUGGAUCACAAGCUUCAGAAACAAUUCAUAGCAGAAGUCGAGAUAUUGGGCACCAUACGCCAUUCCAAUAUAGUGAAGUUGUUGUGCUGCAUAUCGAAUGAAAGCUCAAGCCUUCUUGUUUAUGAGUACAUGGAGAAGCAGAGUUUGGAUAGAUGGCUUCAUGGGAAGAAGCAGAGAACAACGUCCAUGACAAGUUCAGUCCAUAACUUUGUCUUGGAUUGGCCAACAAGGUUGCAGAUUGCUAUCGGAGCUGCAAAAGGCCUAUGCCACAUGCAUGAAAACUGCUCUGCCCCGAUCAUACAUCGAGAUGUGAAGUCCAGCAACAUCUUGCUAGAUGCCGAGUUCAAAGCAAAAAUUGCGGAUUUUGGAUUGGCCAAGAUGUUGGUCAAGCAAGGAGAGCCCGACACCAUGUCAGGAAUUGCAGGCUCUUACGGAUAUAUUGCCCCUGGUAAGACCAUCAAGGCCCUCCUUUCCACAUGUUUUCAUUUCCAUAAUUUAUCAAUAAUUUUUAUCAUACAAUUCUUGUAUACUUGGAUGAUAGAGUAUGCUUAUACAACAAAGGUGAACGAAAAGAUCGAUGUAUAUAGCUUUGGAGUAGUCCUGCUUGAGCUAGUGACGGGGAGAGAACCCAACAACGGGGACGAGCUCAUGUGCCUUGUAGAAUGGGCAUGGGAUCAGUUCAGAGAAGGGAAAACCAUUGAGGAAGUGAUGGAUGAGGAUAUCAAGGAACAAUGUGAAAGAGCACAAGUGACCACUCUCUUCAGUCUAGGCCUCAUGUGCACCACCAGAUCACCAGCCACUAGGCCCACAAUGAAGGAAGUUUUGGAAAUUCUUCGACAAUGCAGUCCUCAGGAGGGCCAUGGAAGAAAGAAAAAGGACCAUGAAGUUGCACCCUUACUUCAAAAUGGCACUUGCCCCGCUACUUACAAGCAUAACGAGAAGGGAUCAGACAAUGAGGAUGACGAUAAAUUAGUUUGAAAUUUACAGCUUGUAAAUAAGUGUAAGAAAGCUUGUAAAUUAAAGGUGGUAGUGAUCUUAGGAAGUGUGUUUAGCCUUUUUAUAAUACUUGAAAAAUAAAAAUUUGCAAGUGUUAAAAGGUUAAAAACACUGUUGGAGGUACCUAACAUCUGCAUAUCUUUAAUACACCACCUCCCAAAUGAGGUAAUUGGAAACGCACAAAAUCACCUCAUCCCAAAACUAGGACCAUAAAAGAAGACGACCUCUCGGUCCUGCGGGAUGACCUGACUAAUUGACCUAUGCCUAGAAAAACGAAUCCAACUACCCGUCUCCUCAUGUGCCCAAAAGUCAACCAUGCCUCUGAUAUGCUGCAAAAAACCAAUACUUCAUGAUCCUUCACAAGGAAAAGUGGCUAUAAAAGGGGAGCCUUUUCCUCCUCUAAUGACUCUCUCUCUCAGCCUCUAAAAGAAAGCUGUAGAAAAUGUAGAAAAUGCAUUUCUAUACCCGGAAAAUAGUGGAAUGAAAUCUCCAAUAUUUUCCUUGAAGAAUUUUGGAUUCUUCAUUGGCAUAAUGGAGGACCGAGAGUGAAGUUUAAUCAGUCCAAAGGGAUUUGGAUGUCAAUUCUAUCUUUGUUCAACAUCCAAUAUCUUCCACUAUAAGCAAAAACAACAGCAAAAACAUCAACAACAAAAUUUUCUAGGGGAGUUUUCCUUUAGUUUUUUCUUCUCCUUUUAUAAAUCUUCCUUUAAUCACUUUUGUUUUGCGUAAUAUUCAAGAAAAUGUCAACUUUGUAGCUUUAGGAAAAUGAGCAACUAACCUCUCGAUUAUCUCUUUGUUUUGGGUUUUUCUAGUACCACUUGUGAUUGGUUGUUCCUUAGAAUUGAAAACAAGAAAAUAUGGAUCGAAAUAGCAGCUCACAAGCCUUUGUUUCAUGCUAAGCAAUUCUUGAAUAUUAUGGAGUUCUAGGGAAACAUGUCCACUUGCAAUCUGCAGCUUCAGGUUUUAUGAUUUAGGCCUCAAGCACCAUGGUUUAGCCAUCUCAAUCAGUUGUUGAAGGGGACAAUGUCUAACCAAUUUCAAAGGGUACAACCUCACAAAUCCUCGAUCUCAAUAUCGCCUCAGGUAAAUAGAUAAACCUAGAAACCUAACCUAACAAAGGUACCUAUUCUUUAACCAAAUAGUUGAUCAAAAGCUACAAAUCUUUGAAGAAUGCAAUAUCCAAAAGCUAAAAAACUUUGCAGAAGUGUUUGUACUAUAUAAUCUCCACCUUGACUAUCCAGACAAUCUCCACCUCGACUAUCCAGGUGAUCUCCACCUUGAUUAUCCAGACAAUUUUCAUCUCGGGCAGUCGGAGGUACCUCAUUCUCAAAUACCAACAAAGUAACCCAAUUUGUACUUGUCAACCAAUACACAUAUCCUCACAAUUGAUUGUUUAACCCUUAUCAAAUCAACCACCCAAGAUAUGUUGGGCCUUGUUCAACUGGCUCAAGAGUUUGCCCAACCUCCCACCUGCUCAGCAUGCAUAUGUUAGAAAUGUCUAACUCCUUCUUUCAGAUAAAAUUGGUUGACAGUUUUAUGCUUGGUUGAAGCCACUCAUAUAGAAUUUGGGAGCCAUAACAAUUACCAACAAUGUAUGAAGGAGGCAAACUUUGAGGCACCUCAAAUAUUCAAGAGUUAGAUACAACUUAAGAGGUUAUUUAUCUUACCUAACCUCAACAGGAAGUCAUCAAAAAGCACAAGUACAAUCUUGAUGUCAACUCACAUACAUAUCAGCCAAAUGGAAGAAAGUCUUGUCACCUAAGCAAGCGAUCAACUAAAGUUCAGAUAAGUCUUCUCUAACAUAUUUAUCUUAUAAUCUUUGGUUAAUUUCAUUUGUUUCAUUUUACAAGGACUAAUUGUGAAAAACAAACACCUUUCAAGUUAGGAAAACCUUCCAACUAAAAAUCUAAGGUUGAAUUAGUCUCAAAACAAAAACUCUUAUUAAUAGUCUAGCUAAAAACAAACGGUCAAGGUGAGUGACCAAACAAAAAACCUCGACCUAAAACCCACUUCUGGCAUUAGUCCUCUCAAUUCUAGAUGUACUUUGUUGAACCAUCCCUGUGGUCAUACAUGGAAAUUACCUUGAUGCAAAACUGACCUCUCACUCUUCUAGAGAUGGAUCACCUGUGUGCUUUGUGGACCUUCAAGUAAAGGUCGCACUUGUACACAAGCUCUAUCUCUAGGUAUGAGUUAACUUUAUGCCAAACCAACCUCCCUCUAUGAGCAUGUGUUAUCCUUGUGCCAAAACCUAAGUGGUCAAUUCCAACAAUUCCAGUGUAUAAAAGAACUUAACCUGAAUAUUUUUCUACUAUCCACUCUAAAAGCAUUACAUGCAAACUAAAUGAUUGAACUUGCCUAUUGACUUGUGGCAUAAGAAUUAUUUCAGGGCAAAACAAGUUACGAAAUAAGUCCACCUCAUGAUUAGAUCACUUAAACAACAGAUCGAGAAACUCAAGCUAGCAAAUAAUGAUAACCUCUUAAUCAAGAGUAACAAGUUGGGGAACCUAGCUAGAAAGGUUGGCCCUAGCAGAAAGGCAUCCAAGACCCUUACCUCACAUAAGGGGAAGUGGGUGGGAAGAAAAAAACUAGGUCUCGAAUAAUGAAGUAUGACAUCAGAAUUUACAACAAACAACUUGGGAUUUGUGUGUUAUCUAUCUAUGUUACUUCCAAUUUGUGAUUGGAUACAAUAUGAAGGAAUCUCGAAAAAUAGCAUCACAAGACACAACCUUAUUAUUAGUUGGCCCCAAACUGAAAAUCAUUCAAAUGUGAAAGCUUUGAGUUGAACAAUGUUGGGACGUAAAUGCAAAAAAUUAUCUACGGAGGUUCAUUAGUUAAAAUUGCAAGUCAACUCAGCCUAAGAGGCAUCAAAGCAGUAGAACUGAGAAUGUGCAUCACCUACAACUUCCUAUUUAUUUCAAAAAAAACUACAUAUCCGUUAUGUGGCCUUAAAGUUCAACCUGCAUAAGAAACCCAAUCGAGCAUCUUUACCAUUGUUAGCAACUCAUGAUACUAGCUAACAAUUGUGAAUGACUACUCUUCUGAGUUUUCCCUAUUAACUUACAACGACCUACUAUCAUAUGGUUCUACUAAUUGUCUGGAUAGUCAAUACAUAGCUCCGCUAACUCUAUGAACUAUUCCUAAAAUAUUACAGCAACAACCCCCAACCAAGGAAAAAUGCAAACUACCUCGUUAAUGUAAGGUAAACACCUAAGGAAUCCUUGAUAAAAUUUGUUUAGUUAUUCAUAUCAGAAAUAGUGCAAGUAGAAAGCAAUGAUCAAAGAACUAUGACAAAGGCCUUUAGAAAAGCCUUGUCUACAAGAAGUCCACUACUUGGGUCAUUAGUAAGGGAUAACCUUCCCCACAUACCAGAUCAAGCUAGAUGAACAACUUGAAUUAAACCUUACAGAAAAAGCUACGAUAUCACAAUUCGCACAAUCAACACCUACCUACUUGACAAGGCUGAGGGAAAAAAUCAAGUGGCAAUCAAAUCAAUGUUAGUCACAACACAACUAGAAGAAAAGUUGGUUUGAUAUAGGAAGUUCAACCAAUAUAUUCUUUGACAACUUCUUUCAGCAAAUGAAUAAGUCAUGACUUUGACUCGAAUUGUAAGCUCUUAUGGAAAAUCUUCCAAUGCCUAGAUUAACUUGACCUUGGAGCAAAAGUAGAACUAAAGUCUCUUUCCUGAUGAAAAAGUCUCAGUCUCCUUACAACAUCAUUCUCAAGCAACAUUUUGUGGAUGCAGUAUCUCCAUCUUACAAUAAGAUGCUUGAGUUGGGAAAGAGAUCUAACAAUGAUAUUAUGCUUAAAUUCCAAAUCCAUCUCAACCUGAGAUAGCUCCGCAAAAAGGUUAACCAAACAGGAUGACAUACUCAUCCCCUAAUCUGGUUCAAAUGAGAAGAGUGCAUCAAAAACAACAAAGUAUCACCAAAAAAAUAACACAAAAUGAGGAACGAGUGGUAACUACAUUGACCUUAAUAAAGUUUGUCCUAAAAUUAGUUCUCCCCCGCCAAAGAUGGGCCAACUUUUGGACUCAAUAUCAUAACAUGAGGAAAAAAAGGUUCAAGAACCCUCAACCAUCUUGUGAGCUUACUCAACUAAAAGCAAAGGAGCAUUAAUCGUAAUGUUGAUCCAUCAAGAAUGAUAAACAAAAACUACAACCAAAAGGUAGAGACUCUUACAGGUGCUAAAACAGGUAUUCAAAAUAACCUCAUAAAAGGUGUGUUUGUGACCCCAACUUGAUGGUAGCAAAGUGCCCAAACCAUGAAACCAAGCACACCUAAAAAGGUACUAUGUCUAAACUAUAUAGCUAGUUUUAACAAUUUUGGAAUGUUUUAAUUACCUCAAUAAACUUCGCACCUUAUCUCGAUCCUCACGUAUGUGCUUGCUAAAGUGAAAUUUGCAAGAUUGAGAAAGACUGGGCAAUAAUCCUCUAGGAAGAGUUGUUCAUACAACUGAGAUCUAAGCCCUAUUACCAAAAGACAACCAAAGCCAAGCAAUUGGUUGAACCUCAUCUGGUCUAUAUUAAUUAGAAUUAUGAUCAAUUUUGUUAGCCAAGAACUAAAACAAUUAUCAUUUGGGACCAUUCACCUCUCUAAGAAGUCAAGGUCAUAAUUUGUCACUUCCUCUGGCCAAAUAAGUGGGUCUAUAAGCCUGCAACACUACACAUAUUUCCCCAAUCUUCCCUACCAUGUAUCAAACUAAAUUUCACUAAGCAACAAUUAGUACACAUUUUUUAUCACACAAAACCCACACAACAACAAAAAGUUGAAUAAGCCCAAUAAUUGGCACAACGCACAUAAAGUGUGGUCAUCAACACCCCACAAACAACAGAAAGAAAGAGAAAAAAAACUAACAUUGACACAAUUCAUCAAAGUUGCAAUCAUCAAAAUUAGCAAAACAAUGUAGCAAAAGAAAAAAACCCCACAUAAGCACCAUUCAUCAAAGUAUUCUCCUAAUGAAGUGUAAAAAAAUGGUCAUCCUCAUCAUAAUGGUCUAAAGUAUGGAAAAUACCGCCAUCAUCAAGGAGACUUUAGCAAAUGAGUUAUAACAAGUACAAGAGGGUCAUACUCUUUGCUCUUACUAGCAAGCCUAGUCUUGUUUAUAUUAAAGCUCUUGAUGCAAAGGCAUAUCAACCCCACACCUAUAAAUGAGGUAGAAAGAUUUGUAUCACCAUUUGAUUGUUCGCCUUGACCUGAUCAUCCAAUAUGCAUGGAAGCUGAUCAUUGGGAUCCUCAACACUUGUGAAUAAAACAAAAAUGAGUAAGACGUGUCAACCUCAUCAACAAACAUCAUAUCCUUGGCAAAAGUGGGAAUCAAACACAAAGAUUUUUUCUUUCUCGCCAUUCCUAGGGAAGAUCAAGACCUAAACCCACUCAUAGACACUCUUAUAUCAAAUACUAAGAGGAAUCAUGUGAUCCUUCGAAGACCCAACCUCAUCACAUGCAGAAUUGGGUCAUCACCAACUAAGCCCUGAUCAAUGCUUAACACUUAAGUGAAACAAAAGACAACUAAAUACAAACGAAAAGAAAGCUAGCGACAAGCAAAGAAACCACUUAAAAUGUCAAAACUAGACAAGCCAACGUCCUCAACUUGAGCUACAUCUAGUUGGAACUAUUUGAUUGAACUUAUGGCAUGACUUGAACUCAAAGCAAAGGUUUCCACACGAACAUUCGAUUGAGCUACUUACUCCAAUAUGACACCUCAAACAAGACUUUGUAAUACAAAACCAUAUCUCACAAUUGCAACACCAGCUAAAACAACAACAAAAUAAGCAUCAACAACAAAUGGAAAAUAUCCCGGCACGCCAAAAUGACCUCAUAGAUCAACUACAAAACAGCCUAGCCAAUUCACGGCCACUAGGCUAACCAAAUUGACGUUGGGAGGAAAGUGCAACGAGUUGCAUGCAUGAAGCCCCAUCAACCUGGGUUAAACCAAAAAAAACUAGCCAUCAUUAGCACACUAUCCGAGAUCGUUACAAAGUCCUACCCUCUUCUAGUCAUAGAAGAUGUCAGGACUUGGGAGGGACUAGAGGUACCAAAAAUUAACAUAUCUUUAAUACACCACCUCCCAAACAAGGUACAUGAAAAGACACAAAAUCAUCUCAUCCUAAAACCAAGACCAUAAAAGAAGAUGACCUCUCAGACUUGUAGGAUGACAUGACUACAAUCUUGAAGUUGUACUUCUAUAGUUGGGCCCUAAAAGAGAACCCGGUAGGGAGGAAGGGCAGCAUAUAAACCUUGUCCAAUGGGCAUGGUAGCACCUUUGAGGAAGAAAGUCGUUUGUGAAAGCAUUGGAUGAGAAGAUCAUGGCACAAUGCUACUUCAAAAAAAUGAGCACUAUAUUCCUAAUAAUCAAACUUAAUCAUGAAAACUUUGAAAAUAGUGAGAAUUCUCUUACCUACAAGUAUAAAGACAAAUAGACGGAAGGUAAAUAAAUCAUUAAUAGAACUUAAAAUAAUAAAUUGAGCAAAUAAACAUAUGGUAAAAUUGGAACUCAUGAUCCUCCUACUAAAUAAUACCAUAUUGGAUAACUAAAUUUUUUAAGAACUUAAACAUAAGAUUUGGAUCUUUAUGAUCGUGUAUCAUGCUUUCUAAUAAUAUAUUAAAUACUUUUCUAGAUUUUGUGUUGACUUGUGAUUACUUCUCUAAAUCAAUUUUUCAGCAUCCUAUAUAUAUGUAUUUGUUAGGAUGGAUCAAUUUUUCAGAAUCAAUUAUCAAAGAAUGCAAAAAUAUAACUCCUCAUAGAGUCUCUUGUUUUUCCUCUACGACUUAAAAGAAGUCCUUAGUGCUUUCACAAGGAAAUAGGAUAAUUUUUUUUAUCUUCAAACCUGCACAAAGAUAUGGAAACCAUAUCAUUGAAAUAAUUAAAACGGAAAACAACUGGAAUCAAAGUGCUAUUGCCUUAUUUUUUUUAAAAAAAAAAAUCUUGGGCUUUAUGCAAAACUAAACAUUAGUUGCCUAAAUCUCCUUAAUUGGAAUACUAGAUGGGUGUAUCAAUUCAACUUGACACCUUCUUCCAUAAAUACCAAAAAUGAUAUUUGUUUUGGGAACAAGACUAGAGUUUUGAGCAGAUAUAAUACAUUUAUGAAAAAAAGAUAAUAAAAUGGAUUUUCAACUAAAAUAAUUCCCAAGCUAGUACAUUUCAACUAUGUGCGUAUCCGUAUGGCGUGAGAAUGUUUUUUUUUUUUAUAUGUUCUUUUAUAUCACAACUAUAAUUAGUAACUAGGAUUUUGAUUUUUUUAACAUAAAAUCAUAGAUAGAUAUUAUAAUUUUAAAUUUAUUUUUAAAAUCACAGUCAUCAACUAUAGUUUUAAGUUUAAAUUUAAAAUCAUAGUUAGUAACUAUUAUUUUAACCAUUUUCCAAAAAAAAUCAAAAUUAUAAUUAAUAACUACGAUUUUAUGAUAUGAAACACUCCAAUUUGAAAAUUAUUUUGAGAGGGGAUCUACUUUGUAGAUUUUUAUUUUAAAAAAAAUAAAUUAUUUUUCCUCAAACCUCAAAAAACAAACUUGUUUAGAACUAAAUUCAAUUAUACACUUCUCUAAUUUUUCUUUACCCUAAUAGAAGAUCAAUUCCAUUUUAUCACUUUUCCACCAGAAUCCUCAUGACUACUUGUAGAAUUCUUGAGAUGAAAUGAAAGAGUGGUAUGAGAUGCUUGUUUAAACUUUAGUUUCAAUCUCGAUCAAUGUUGUCCAUUCCCUUAGCUGUGCAUUAUUCCAAUGCCAGUUUUCCUCCAUAAACUCCAGGUACAAGAUUAGAUUCCGUGUGGAAUGGAUCCUGUUGUGAGACUUGACCAUCAAUAUCCUUCUCUCCAUUUGUGGGGUACUGCCCACUUGAUCACUGCUGUGGAAAUCUGACUAACACACCCAAAUUCUCAACAACCCAAAACCACAGAUUCCUGCAUCCUUCCAUCCAUCUUUCUUUAAGUAAGAUAGACAUCCAUUUGGUCUUUGUUUUUCAUUUAUUUCACUUUCUCCCAAGAAUACUAAUCUUGUCUUUAUUGACUGAUUAGUUUCAUUAGAGAUCAUCCAAGCAAAAGAAUAUCACAUUUUAUAUUAAAAAAAAAAAAAGUAUUGAAUAUAUUAGAAAGAUAUCAUCCUCGAAAAGUUGGAAAUGUAAUCUUGUGCAAGGAAAGGAAACAAGGGAGAGUCUUAAAUAAAUUGUUUCCAAAAGAGACCUAAUGACCAAUGUCUUUAGGGGUGUAUCCUUCAUGUAUAUAAAUAAGAAUUGAAAGCGAGGGAAUAUGGAAGUUUAGGGACAAGAUUUUGUUUUCUAUGAAUAAAUUAAAUGUGGCUUCAUGACUUCCAACCCUUACUUCGUCUUUCUCCACAUUAAAUAGCCCUUUUGAAAGUAUCAGUGGAGAUUGGCCCGAUUCCAAUGGAAUCGAUCACCUUUUCCAUAAUGCAUAGUUUGAUUAUGUUAGGAUGAUUAGGUCACCAACCAUUUGCUAAGCGUCAUAUCUUUUUUCUACACCAACUCAAAAACCCCACUUGGCCAAUAUGUUUUUAUUUUUUAAAACCAAUAUAAAUAAGGCAUUAACACAUCCAUUCUCAUGUUCCUCUACCUAACGUUAACCAUUUUCAUAUCUCUAGCAUAUCUCCACCCAUAAUAUCUAAAUUUUGAAGUGAUUCUAGUAAAAAUACUUUUUAAAAAAAUACUUUAAUCAAAAACACAUCAAACAAAAAUACUAUCAAACGCACUUUUAAUUUAUAUUAUUUUUUAUCAGUAACACUUUUAUUAUAAAAAAAAAAAUACUUUUAGUGGUAAUCAUUUAAUAUUUGAAUAUACAAAUAAAAAAACCUUUUUUAUAAUAUAUUAGAAAAAAAAUGGUUUUUAAAAGAAACAUCCAUCAAUAUAUUAUAUCACAAAUUAUUGUCUUUAAAACCUAAUUUUUAUUAUUAAAAAAAUGCCAAAAUUACUACCAAAUCAAUUCUAAGAAUAGUUUGAAAAUGGGUUGAACUUUUAUAUUUAUCAAGAAAAAAUUGUAGAAGUAACCACUAUCUUUGAAAAUUAUAUGUCAAAAAUAUUUUUAUUAAAGAGAAAGAUAAUUAUAAUAAAGCUAGUUGUCAUUACUUUUCAAUAACACAAAGAAAUCAUAUGGAGCUUAUAAUCAAAAGUUCUUUUCAAAUGACUAACAAAGGUUUUUAUUCCUUGAGUUGUUUUUACUACUAUUUUUAUCAUUUACCUAUGUUAUUAAUGGUGAUUAAAUGAUAAAAAAAAUAUUUAAUGCAUAUUAAUUUCUUUUCACAUCCAAUUUUCAAGUGGAUGUGCUAUAAAAAUGUUGUAAAAUAAUUUUUUUUAAAUAACAUUUUCAUGUGUGAUUUUUUAUUCAUAAUUAGUUACAGAAAAAACUUAAAAUGCUUAGGUAUUAUUAAAACGACUCCAUUUCAUAUUUGACACCAACACAUGUUAUUUUAUCAUCUAAUAUUGUUAUAUUAAAAAACACUCAAUUUAACAUGAAUAUUAUUAUUAUUAUAUAUUUAAAAUUAUUUUAAUCUUUCUAUUUAAAAAAAAAAAAAAAUUGUAUGCAUUAUCCAUAUUCCCAUGAAAUCCAAACGUGUCCCAUGAUUGUAGACUAAUUCGUCUAUAGUGUGGACGCAAUGACAAGUCAGAAGUCUCCCAUUUCUUUUCUAGUCAAUGGGCAUGUUCCACAUUUAUUUAUGAUAUUUCGGAUUACACGAAGACUUCCAAAAGCAAUUGGUUUGAUAAGCUUCAUGGAAUCUGAAGAUAAAGGAGGAUGCUACUUCCACAUUCUUUAACCGAGCGUAUCAACCACGCUCUCUCUAAUUUUUCCAUAUUCUUAAUUUCUAAAAAAAAAAAAAUUCAAUAUGGUAUAUCUAUUUUAAAAUUAUCUUUUUGAUAGAUAUUUUAUAAAUUAUUAUAAAUUUUAAAAUAUUUUUUCAACUAUUAUCCAUCUCAAAUUAUUUCUAUAAACUACCUUUUUUUUUUAUUUUAUAUUAUCUAAUUUAAACAGUAACAAGAUGAUUUCACAUAUGUUUUUUUAAGUAUUAUUAUGUGUGUCAUUUUAUCUUAAUUUCAUUCGUUUGCAUGUUGGACUUACAACAUAAAUUUCAUUACAUAUAUUCAACCAUUUAGAAUUUUUGUUUGAUAUGUAAUACUCUACCCGAAUAUGUUCUCAAAUUAUGUAUGUUAUGGGGAUAUAUAUAGAUAUAUUAUGGUCUAUUCCAUUUCCAUCACUUCAUGAGUUUCCCCUAAUCCACUUACUCCACUCUCAAUAAUGAUGAACUAUAUCUUGAAAGUGAAGUUGGCUUCACUCAUCCCCCAUAAAAGACCUAUCCUCAGGAGUCAAGACACUCGAAUUUGAACUUGAAGAGGAUAGAUCCCUGACCACCACCAUCUAUUGUCUCCUAAUAGGGGAGAUAUUAUUAGCCUUUUUUUAUUCUUUUACCCCACCUUAACCAAAAAAUAAGAUAAUCUUAUUACAAGAUUAUAAAAGGAACUUACUUUUCUUUAUUUAUGAUAUUUUUCUUUAAAUAAUUCAACUUUAUUAAAGCUAAGUUAGAUGUAAAUUCUGAUUAUUCUACUUUUGACCAAAUCAUAGCGGUGACCAACACUAGCUAUUAAAAAAUUAAAAUAAGUGAAAAAAAAACACUUUUUUUUUUUUACUUUUAUUUUUUAGCAUUCAAUUGUUAGAGCUUCAAAACAAUGAACUAAAAAGAUAAAACUAAGUGCAAGUUAAAAUAGAGAAUAAGGAACUCAAACAUUUUAUAAGACAUACUUGACUAACAUAAGUGAAAAUAAUUUUUUUUAAAAUAUAGUUCUUGCUUUGUGUGAAACAAAGUAGUAUUAUUUUUAUAUUUAUUUCAUGUUAUCCAUAAAACAAUACAAAUAACUUCAAUAGUUUGAGUGCUCUCCAAUUUUUAAAAUUCACUCUCACAAUUUCAAGCUAUAUUUGCUAAAGCUAUACGUUGGAUUUCUAAAAAUGAGGGAAUAUAUAAGUUAAUGGAUGAAGGUUUGAUUUUAACAAUAAGGAUCGUGUUAUUGUGCUCAUACAAUUCGAACCAAAAUAUACGCAACAACUCUUAAAAGUAAUGAUGUAAUGUUACUUAUGUUGGAUUUUAUGAAAAUAUCAAUAAAAAUACUUAUAUUCGUGUAAAUUUUUUGUGGUAUCUUAUAAACAUUUUAUGUUUUAUUGCUUUAUAUAUAAAUCUAAUUUCAUUUCAUUCAUCUAUAUUUAUCUUAUCUAUUUAUGCUUUAACCCCAUAUAUUUUUAUUUUCAUUCAAUAUAAAUUUUAUUAUAUAUUUUCAAUGAUAAAAACAGAUGUACAUUUAAUACCCAAACUUUUUCUAACAUUAAAGUAAAUAUAAUUUCACGAAUUUCAUAUUUUCUAUCAUCUUUACCAAAAUAAAUCGAAUGGGGUUGAUCACUUUUUUCCCAUUCCAUGAUUUGAUUGCGUGAAGAUGAUUCCAUCACCAACCAUUUACUAAGAUGUGACACCCAUUUUCUACACCAACUCAAACACUCCCCUUUUGUUAAUAGCUUUUAGCCGAUAGAAAGAAGUGAACAAAACCGUUUUCACAUUUCACCUACCAAGGCUAAGAAAUAUAAAUAGAAAUAGAAAUAAUUACUAUUUGUUAAAUAUAUAUUUUAUGUUUUAAAUAUAUAUUUUUAUUAAAAAUAAAAAUAAUCAUGAUAUUAAUUUGUUAAAAUUUACUCUUACAUCAUCUAAUAUAAAUGAAUCAUGUACGAAAAUGCAAGAAUUAUGAUCAAGAGUUCCAUCCAGCCAAUUAUAAAAAUGAUGUUUUACCUUUAACACAGGCUCUUCUAAUUCAAAUCUUUAUUCAUUUUCUCUUAUUGUUAUUAUUUAAAUAUAUGAUUAAUCAUGAUUAGAUAUUACAAAAACUUUCAUAUUUAAUAUAUUCUUUUAUCAUCGAUUAAGUUUGAACUUUUUUUUUGUUUGUGUAUAUCUUUAUACUUUUUCUUCUUACAAUUUUUUUUUUCACAUUUUAAUAUUUUUAUCAUAUACCAAAGCUUCAUUUAAAAUUUUCGUGUUUUUGAUCAUUUUUUAUUUGUAUAAAAAUUUACAUGAAUAUAAAUAUUUUUAUUGAUAUUCUGAUAAAAUCCAACAGCAGGGACAUUUCAUCAUUGCUUCUUGAGGUGGUGCGUGUAUAGUGCAUAUAGCAUGGGAAUAAGGACACGUCUCCUUUCUGACUAUUCAAUUCAAUGCCCUUUCACAUUCAUUUAUUAAUUGUUUGGACUAUAUGAAGACUUGUGAAAGCAACCUUCCCCCGUUUUCUUGACGCAAGCUGCUACUUCCACGUGAGCAUGCCAAACACGCUUAGGGCCUGUUUGUUGGUGUUUUCAAAUACAUUUUUGGAAACAGUUUUUAGUGUUUUCAGAAAUAAAAUUAUAUUUGAAAACUAAAUUCUAAAAAAUAAUUUUUAUUCUCGAAAAUAAAAAGAAUAAAAAAACAUGUUUAGUUCAAUUAAUAAAAAUAAUUUUUAAUAACAAAUAAAACAAAAAAACUUGUUUGGAAAAUAUUAUUGUUGGUUUUGUUUUUUAAAGUCGAGUAUUUUAUUUAACUAAUUGAUGUUGUAAAUAUAUAAAUAAUUUUUCUUCAUAAAAAUAAAAAUGUUCCAUUUUGAACAUUUUUUACAUCAAUUUUAAUUUUUUUAAACAAAUUAUUACUUUGUAAACAUGUCUAAAUAUGUUUGAUUUCAAUAAUUGAUAAACCAUUUUAUCAAAAUAUCAUAAAUCGAUAAAUAUCAAUAAUUAGAUUUUAUGAAGAUAAAAUUUAUGAUAUCAAAUAAUAAUGCAUUAUACUUGGAAAUUGAUGAUCUAUCUUUUCUACUAAUAAUAUAUUUAUGAUAAUUUUUUAUUUAAAAAUAUUUAUAAUUUUAUUUUAAAUUAAAUUUUAUUUUAUAUUUAAGAAUUAUAUAAAAGAUAAUUUUUUUUAAAGUAAAUCAAACUAAUUUAUUUAUAAAAAUUUAUUAAUUUUUACUUGGAAUCCUUGUUCUCUUUUCUCUCCUUCUCCUCAUAUUCUCUUUGUUUCUCUUCCAAGACUCAAACUUUUAUUCAGUGAAAUUGAAUUAUUUCUCUCCUCAAAUAUCAACUCAAUAAAGUCAAAAGUCAAAAUCUAGAUCUAUGAUUGUUGUAAAGAUUCUUGGUUACGAUUUCAUCUUUUAUGUUAUUGUUUAUGUUUUUGUUUGGUUUUUGAGAAAUCCUAGAAUUUAUGGAAGUUUCAGCUUUGAAAUGCAUUAAAAAAAACAUAUUAGGAUAAAAUCCCAAAAUAUCCGAAAAAUAUUGAAAUGGAAAUAAAGAAAAAAUAAAUAAAAAUAAAAAUUGUCGAUUAAGUUGAAUUUUUGUUAAACCGAAUUUUCAAUUUUCUAAUUUUUCCCAUUUUCCUUGGCAGUAUAAAAAAAAAAAAGAUAUAACAAUUUUUCUUUUUCUUUUUUAACUUCACAACACAAAAAACAUCAUUUUAAAACCAAGUUUUAGAAAAUUGAGAACAAAAAAACACUCUCUUAUCAAACAUGAUUUUUGUGUUUUUUGUUCUAAAAAAAAAACAGUUUUUGAAAACACUAACCAAACAAAUCCUUAAUGACUCAUUUUUCUUUUUUCUUUUUUACUUAUUUGUUUAUUCUGUUUUCUGUUUUUAUUUAUAAAGAAAAUAAAAAUCAAGUUUAAAACACAUGUUUAGAUAUUAUUCUUAAUUUUCAUUCUUGAAAAAUUGAGUUCAAAAAAGGUCAAAAAUGAAAAUAAUAAUUUGGUGCUUUUAAUUUUUUUUUUUAUGGCAAUGUUUUUCAAUCUAACAUAAAAAUAGAAAUAUUAUCUUUAGAAUUAAUUAUAAAAUUAUAGUCAAUAAUUUUGUACAUUAUUUUAAAAUAAAAAUAUAAUCAAAUACAAAAUAAUAAAAUAAAACAAGGAACAAAUAUGAUAUAAUAACAUAUAGUAGCAUAUAAUAUAUAAUGUAUAAUAUCAAUAAAUAACAACUAAUAAAAUUAUUAUAUAUGUUAUAUUGUAUGCGCAUGAGGUUUUUGGUAAAUCAAUUUAAUGUUUUAAAGUGACUUCAUAACUUGAUUUAAAUUAUUAAAUAAAUUAAAAUUUUGAUAAAAUAAUUUAAUAUCAGAAUUUAAAAUAAAAAUAAUUUUAAGUGUUAAGUCAAAAUAGUUAAUUUAUUCUUAAUGUCAAAUCAUUUUUAUUAGAUUUUUACUUUGUUUGGUAAAAUUGAGUUAAUAUUUUGAAAUUAUCAAAUUUACAUAUUUAUUUUUCUUAAUUUUAAGUAAUAAAUUUAUUUGUUACACGUUUCCAAAUAUAUAAAAUAAUUACAAUAAUUACUAAAUAUUUAGCUUAAAGAAAAUGAGUCAUGGAUAUAAGUCAUGCAUAUUAUAUAAAUUAGUAUUACAUGUGUGAGUAAAUAAGAUAGAAAUGAUUUAACAUUCAAAAUAAAUUUAUUAUUUUAAUUUAAUAUUUAAGAAUUAGUUUUAAUAUUUAAUAACUCAAAUUAAGUUAUUAAUCCAUUAUAUUGAUUAAUUUAUCAAACACCUUUUAAAAAUCUUUUUUUUUAGUGCCCAAAAAUAAAAUCAAUAAAAUUAUAUUAGUUUUUUGUUCGUCUCACGAUUUAUUUUAUAUGUUGAUCUUACAUUCCAAUUAUUGAUACUUUAAUAACAUACAUUUUGUAUCACCGUGAAAUCAUCUAAACUUAACCUUGCACUGUUGGUACUGAACAACUCCGUGUGUUACAUGCUGGAUGGCCUAGAAUUUUCCUUCUUCCUGUGGUUAGUUGCAAUAGAUUUUCCGGCACUGCAACGUUGGACACGACAGUUGAAGGAGCGCGGACUUAAAAGUAAAAGUGACGUGGAAAAUGAGAGAAAAGAUAUAAAAAGAAUAUGCUGAGGUCACAUUGCCAUUGUCAAUCGAAUCAUAAUUGUGGAAAUGAAUUCUCUAGUGGACCAACCAGCAGCGUGUUGAGUGGCACCCCGGCGCCCACGCCCCAUUGGUCAGCUUGCUUUUGUGGUGUGCAAGGUUUAUUCCAAACCUUUUGAUCAGUGGUUAUACAAGUAGCACAAAUCCGUGUGAGUAGCACAAAACACUGAGUUCAUUGGUCGUGGCUCCUUCGCAAUUAAUUCCAACAAGCAGGUCAGUUUGUAAAAUUCAGUAUAAUAAAUUCUGUCAGCGCCCCAGAUUUUGAAAUUGAACCGUUGGUUUCCACCACAUUCCCAGCAUUCUUCCUCCCAACUUUUGCCCGGCCAUCUUCCUACCUCCUCACAGAGAAUCCGGUAACGAACUCAACGUCACAAAAUGCCGAAACUACCCUUUUUAUUUGCCACAAUUCCAUUUCCCGACCAUCUUCCUCCCUUCUCACAUAGAAGUCGGUAACAAACUCAACGUCACAAAAUGCCGAAACUACCCUUAUUAUUUGCCACAACUCCAUUCCCCACCCUGUUCUUCCUCCUCAUCCUCUCCAUAUUUCAGGUAAUUUCUCAAAAUUUGGACGAUGAACGAUCAAUCCUACUAGACGUUAAACAACAAUUGGGCAAUCCACCGUCACUCCAAUCGUGGAAUUCCUCAUCCUUGCCUUGUGAUUGGCCGGAAAUUACAUGCACCGACAAUACCGUCACUGCAAUUUCACUCCACAAUAAGACCAUCAGAGAGAAAAUUCCAGCCACAAUUUGUGACCUCAAGAACCUCAUCGUACUUGACCUCUCCAACAAUUACAUUGUCGGUGAGUUCCCGGAUAUUCUCAAUUGUUCCAAGCUUGAGUAUCUGCUCUUGUUGCAAAACUCCUUCGUAGGUCCAAUUCCAGCUGAUAUUGAUCGACUUUCACAUCUCCGGUACCUAGACCUCACCGCAAACAACUUCUCUGGAGAUAUUCCCGCAGCAAUUGGGAGGCUACGGGAACUGUUCUACUUGUUUCUGGUUCAAAAUGAGUUCAACGGCACCUGGCCAACGGAGAUAGGUAAUUUGGCGAAUCUUGAACAUUUGGCCAUGGCCUAUAAUGACAAAUUCCGGCCUUCAGCCCUUCCAAAAGAGUUUGGCGCAUUGAAAAAGCUGAAAUAUCUGUGGAUGACGCAGGCGAAUUUGAUUGGCG
RNAcentral lists this long non-coding RNA (130452 nucleotides) under Vitis vinifera (wine grape). Its description in RNAcentral is "long non-coding RNA (VVIN_LNC000895)". Lineage: Eukaryota; Viridiplantae; Streptophyta; Magnoliopsida; Vitales; Vitaceae. The record is from RNAcentral.